Molecule: long non-coding RNA, 127434 nt
Filed under: Coffea arabica (coffee)
Lineage: Eukaryota; Viridiplantae; Streptophyta; Magnoliopsida; Gentianales; Rubiaceae
Description: long non-coding RNA (CARA_LNC002188)
Source: RNAcentral
AGCGGGUCAAUGCUAUUGCUUCAAGGAAGGGUUGUACUCCAUCACAGCUAGCGUUGGCCUGGGUCCAUCACCAAGGCAAUGAUGUUUGCCCCAUACCUGGCACUACCAAGAUUGAGAACCUCGAUCAGAAUAUAGGAGCUUUGUGUGUAAAACUGUCUGCAGAGGAAAUGGCAGAACUUGAAUCUAUUGCUUCAUCUAUCAAGGGUGAGAGAUAUGCGUCUGACGCUGGCACUUGGAAAACUUCUGAAACUCCACCUUUGUCAACCUGGAAGUGCACAUGAAGAAGAGCAAGUUCACUUUGAUAUUAAGUGGACUUACUGUUCUGGUUUUGGCUUGGAAGAGCACAUGAAGUGCAAGUUUGGUUUGGUACUUCGUUGGAAGACCACAAAGUGCACAAGUUUGGUUUGAUACUUUGUGGACUUUUGUUUUAGUUUAGCUUUUCUUGUGGAAUAAUCAUCAGGUACAACAUGUUAUGUCCUGAGUUCCGGAGCAAUCAUGAGGUAGAACAGUAUUAUGUCCUGGUUUCUGAAUGUAAUAAAAUCCUAGCGCGUAGAGUUGGCACAAAUUAACUUUUGUGCAAAAUUGCUUAUUAGGUUUCGGCUGUGCAGCUAUUUGAACUUAUCGGGGAUGAUUUCACCAUAGAGAUGUAAUGCAGUUGUAUUUUGAACCUAUAAUUUAAUUUGACGUUUGUAUGUUGAUUUCCUAUUUUCUACUUUUAUUAUGAUACUUGCUGUUUGAGAGAGGUCAUUUCAGUCGGGCUUCGCUGAGCCGAGCUCCCCCUUCUCUGAAUAAAACUCUGUUAAUCCUCACCUUGGCCUCCUUGUACCGAGACGAGGAUCACACACCUAAGGUUGAACCACCCGUUCCUAUUACUCCGGCUACCGCGGUCACCACCCUAAAGUUUCAUUGUGUCUGAUGGAACGGGCGAAGUCAGGUCAACACCUACACGGACAGGACGUCUAAUAAGACAUGUCCUCAACACCGACCUGUCAAGAUAGAUUGACAUGCUCAGUCUUUUAGAUUCUAGGAAGUUGAAUCCUACUGUCAUUCCCUUCCAAUUGUCUCCUAUAAAUACAGAGAUUUCACUCAAAAAAGCACACGAAAAAAAAAUACACUCUGUAAGAACUACUCUAACGAAAAAUUUCACUACUUUCCAUUCCAAAAAGAAGACUAACUACAUCGUUGGAGGAAAAUUGGGGGAUUCAGCCCCAUCUCUAAUAAUUUGAGCAUGUGACUUCCGCAAGACAGUACCCACUUCAGGAGGUCACUCCCGCACUUUGAUACAACUUGUCAACUCCAAAAAUUAUCUCUUCAAUUGGCACCGUCUAUGGAAACCGCAAAGACAUCCAAGAAUGAAACCUACGCGUUCUAGGAGCAGGAAGGUUCUCACCAUUGAGGCUGAGCCAAGUGCUGCAGCCCAACCGGAAAAUGUUUCCGAAGAACAGGAGUCUCAUGAGGCUCGACCCACGAAUGGAGAAGCCAUGGCCCGAAUGGCAAAGUUUGUGGCUGAGAAUCCUAAUAUUUUCAAAGAGUUAAGAAGAUAUUUCAAGAGACAAGGUAAACAAAAAGCCGAAUUUUCUAAGAGAAAGCCAGAUGAAUCUUCCGAGGUCCCAUUCGAGGAAGAAUCGGAUGGAAGACAUUCUAACAGGAGCACCCCGAACGGGCCUCAUCCAAGGUUAUUUCGAGAAUUGCCUCCAUUUCUAGGGCAAUCUUACGGGGUUUCCUGGGGAAACAAGUCGAAGACGAACCUCGCGAUCGAAAAGGUUGGAGGUGGAUUACAUGAGAGCUCCGCCUUUCACGGAUAGCAUUAAUGAAGAGAGGGUCCCCCCCCCAAACUUUAAACUCCCAACGUUGCUACCUUAUGAUGGCCGAGGUGAUCCUGAGAAUCAUCUCCAUGCUUUUAUCUCAGCUUUUCGAUUAUCUGGUGUCUCUGACUCAGUUAUUUGUCGAAUUUUUCCGGUCUUUCUUCAAGAGACUGCUCGAAAAUGGUUCUGCGGUCUAGAAUCUAGGAGCAUAUUCUCCCUAGGAGAGCUGAUGAAUAAAUUUAUCCAUCGGUUUAUAUCUUCCAGGCCAACGACAAAGACCUCGGCCUAUCUGCUAAAUAUACAGCAGAAUUCGGGGCAGUCUCUCCGUUCUUAUAUACAAAGAUUUCAAGAUAAGAGCGUGCAGAUACCUGAUCCUAACAAAAAGGUAAUCAUAGCCGCCUUUACAAAUGGGUUUAUUGUCGAAGAGUUGAACACCGAAGUGCACAAAAAAUACCUUCGAACACUUCGGGAAUUGUGGCAAAAGGUCGAGAAAGGCAUACAGUCUGAGGACUUGAACCGCAUAAAUAGAGAAGCCCAAAUAGCUUGAUCAGGGCCUGAUUCCCGAAAGAAGAAGGAAUCAAGUCGAGGUGACCCUGGCACUACUGGCGGUUUUCAGAGUCUCAACCAAGAUCGCUGAAGCGUCUUUGACCGAAUUGCCAAGGGAAAGUCGUUUGUCCCUGAUUCCGACCUAACACCCUUAAAUACCAACCGAUCUUAUAUCCUUGCUCUCAUGGAGCAGAAUCACCUCGGACGUGCUCCCCCAAGAAUGGCCGGAAAAAGAGAAAAGAGAAACUCCAACCUCUAUUGUGCUUAUCAUCGAGGUAUUGGACACGAAACCGAGGAUUGUAGCGAUUUGAAGAAAGACAUUGAGAAUUUAAUAAAGCAAGGGUAUCUGAAACAAUUUGUUCGCAGAGAUGGAGACCACAACAGAAGUGACUCCCGCCGCGACAACCGAGGUGAGCAACGCCUGGAGGAUAGGCAGAGACCACGUAGCAGUUGCCGAUCCCUGAGGAUCCUAGGAAGACGAGAAGGCCUCUCCAAGGUGGGUCCUCCGAUUAUGGGCCGAACAUAGUCGGGAUUAUCAACACCAUAGCUAGAGGUCCUAUGGAAAGGGAUAGUUAAAACUCCUGAAAAAGAAUCUAUAAACAGGCUAAUCCAGAACAGGUCGAGAGCAGCUCCCGUCUUACUGAGACAAUCACGUAUGGCCCAAGUGACCCCGUCCCAACUGCUUCCAGUAGUCACGAGGCCUUGGUGAUAGAGUUGCUCACCAACAAUUAUAUAGUGAAGAAAGUGUAUGUCGACCCCAGCAGUUCGAUAGAUGUCAUGUAUUACCGAACCUUCAAAAUCUUGAUAUUAACCAGGGAUCAGCUCAUAUCUGUAAAGACCCCUUUAGUAGGGUUCAGGAGACACGUGGUCCACCCGCAAGGGAUAGUUACGUUUAUGGUGACCAUUGGGUGCCACCCUUAAUGCCGAACCAUUUCUGUCAAUUUUGUCGUAGUCAAAGCUAAUUCCCCAUAUAAUUUACUUAUGGGUCGACCCACCUUGAAUGCGCUACAGGCUGCGUAUUCAACCUAUCACUUAAGCUUUAAAUUUUCAACUCUCACAGGCAUCGUCGAGGUAAGCAGCGAUGUCUGUGUAGCAAGAGAAUGCUAUUUUGCUACCCUGCAGGCCGCCUUUUCUUCAACGGCCGAACCGAAAAUUGAGGAUAGGAGGUCUAAUAUUCUCUCGAUAGAUUGUAUAGAUCCUCAACAGUCCGGGAAGCCUAAAAAGCUAGAGACCAAAGAUGAGGUAGAAAAAAUUCCUCUGAAUCCUUUGAACCCGGAUCAAACCAUUCGCGUUGGCACCAGCCUAUCUGAGCCUCUCAAAGGCGAGCUAACCUUCUCAAAGAAUACCAGAACGUCUUCGCCUGGAUUGCCGAACAAGUUGUGGGGGUACCCCAUCAACUUAUGCUGUAUGAACUGAACGUCGACCCGCGUGCACGACCAGUUAAGCAAAAGAGGAGGCACUUCGGCCCGGAACGCAAUAAAAUCGUAGCCGAGGAGACGAACAAGCUCUUACCGGCGCGGAUGAUUAAAGAGGUGCAAUGUUCCAUCUGGCUGUCCAACCCUGUUAUGGUCAAGAAGGAUACCGGGGGUAGAGGAUGUGCUUAGAUUUUACUGAUUUGAACAAGGCCUGCCCUAAGAAUUGCUACCUACUGUCGAGAAUUGACGCUUUGGUCAACUGGAUAUUGGGUUACGAGAUCCUCUACUUCCUUGAUGCCUUUAAAGACUAUCAUCAGAUGAGAAUGAAUGAAGAGUACCAAGAGAAAACAGCCUUCUUCACAGAUCAGGAAAUCUACUGUUACACCACCAUGCCCUUCGGCUUGAAGAACACUCGGGCGACGUAUCAGCGACUGGUUAACCGGAUUUUUAAAUUUCAAAUAGGUAGGAAUGUUGAAGCGUAUGUGGACGAUAUCCUCCUGAAAAGCAAGGAGACCUCGGCUUUCUUAUCCGACGUGAGGGAGGUCCUUAGGAUCCUCCGCAACACUCGAAUGAUGUUCAAUCCCAAGAAGUGCGUGUUUGGCGCGAUUUCGAGAAAUUCUUGGGAUACCUUGCAUCACGCCGAGGUAUAGAAACUAAUCCUGAUAAAGUGAAGGCCAUUCAAAAAAUGUCUUCACCUCGAAAUUUCCGAGAUGUACAAAGACUAACAGGUUGGCUGGCAGCUCUGAACCGGUUCUUGUCCCUGUUUGCUGUCAAGGCACUGCCCUUCUUCAAAGUAUUGAAGAAGACUGACAAGUUCUCUUAGACCGAGAAGUGCCAGUAGGCCUUUGAGCAAAUGAAGGAGCACCUGCACCACCUUCCCACUCUUAAUUCACCACGCCCAGGAGAGAGUUAUAUCUUUACCUGUCUGCUGCUGAGGAGGCUGUGAGCACGGUGCUAAUACAAGAUAAUAGUGCCCAAGUGCCGGUUUACUAUGUUAGCUGAGUUCUCCGCGGGCCGAAGACUCAAUACAUCCGUGUAGAGAAACUCAUAUUAGGUUUGGUUCAUGUAGCUCACAGGUUAAAACCUAAUUUCUUAACUCACCCCAUACGUUUGAGAACAGAUCAGCCCAUUAGGCAGAUCCUGUCGCGUCCCGAGACUUUCGGACGACUCACCAAGUGGGCCAUAGAGCGAGGGGAAUACGAUCUAACCUAUGAACCUCGGACUGCCAUCAAGGCUCUGGCUCUGGCAGAUUUCUUGGCCGAACUCACAUUUCCCGUGAGCCAAGAAGCCACUCUGGAUGACGCCGAAUCGCAAAAGUGGACCUUGUACGUGAACGAGUCAUCUAACAGUGAUGGUAGUGGAGAUAGACUGCUCCUCGAAGACCCUCACGGGGAGGCAUGCUCAUAUGCCAUCUAAUUCGAUUUCACCGCCUCUAACAAUGAAGCUGAGUACGAGACUGUCAUCGCGGACUUACAAUUAGUUCGCAGACUUGGUGCUCAACGUAUUUUAGUCUAUAGCGACUCACAACUCGUCAUAUGUCAAGUACUAGGGGAGUAUGAAACUAGAGAGGAAACCAUGCAAUGGUAUCUCUCCAAAAUCCACCAGUUAGCGGCCUACUUCAAAUCCUUUGAAAUCCAAAGGAUACCUCGGUUCUAGAAUAGGCGAGCAGAUGCCCUAUCCAGGUUGGCCCCCACCUUGUUAUCUGCGCUCAACCAGACUGUUCUCGUGGAGGUCUUAACCGAACCGGAUUACCUAGAGGAUAAGGUCUACCCUAUAAGUUCAGAAGACACCUGGAUGAGUCCUCUAAUCAGAUUCUUAGGUCAGGGUGUCCUUCCGGACGAUAAGGCAGAAACGAGAACAAUUCAGUGCAAAGUGGUCCGAUAUGCACUUCGCGACGGCAACCUGUACAAACGAUCCUAUCUCGACCCAUGGGUGCGGUGUGUUACCGUAGAGCAAGGGCAAAAUGCCUUCCAGGAUAUACAUGAAGGACUGUGUGACGCUCACGUCGACUAUCGGAUGUUGGUUAAGAAGACUUUGUUCCUUGGAUAUUUCUAGCCAACCAUUCGGUGAGAUGCCCAAUUUAGUCCUUUGCUGUCCCUCCUGCCAGCACCAUGCCUAGGAGCACCACCAGCCAACUAGUCUCAUGGUCCCCAUCACAUCAUUAUGGCCUUUUGAGCAAUGAGGGACAGAUAUUAUUGGACGCUUCUCGAGCCGUCGACAAUUAUGCUUAUGUGGUGGCCGCUGUUGAUUAUUUCACGAAAUGGGUUGUGGCCUGACCAUCCAGAAAUUCUUUUGGAAGUGUGUAGUUUGUCGCUUUGGUUUGCCUCGGAUAAUCAUCUCUGACAACGGGAAGCAGUUUGCGGAUAACCCUUUCAAGGCAUGGUACGAAAAUCUUGGGAUCAAACAACACUUUACCUCGGUGGGUCACCUCCAAGCCAACGGUUGGGUCGAGAAUUUUAAUCGAACACUUCUCCACAACCUCAAAACUAGGCUACAUCAGCUCGGAUCUUUUUGGGUGGACGAACUCCUGAGCAUGCUGUGGUCUUACCGAACCACGCCAAGAUCCGCUAUUUAGGAAACUCCAUUUUCCUUAACCUAUGGGUCCGAGGCAGUGGUUCCUGCCGAAUUUCCCACUCCAAGUUCUCGAAUGGUGGCUUUCACUGUCGUGGCUAAUGAAGAAGAGCGAAAAAUGAAUCUCGACCUCGCUAAGGAGAAGCGAGAUGCCGCAGCAGCUCGAGUUGCCUUGUACAAGAAUAUACUGACUAGCUACUAUAAUGUCCGUGUUAGACAUCUUCGGUUCAGCCCAAGAGACCUUGUCCUGCGAAAGAACUUAGUCAGCCAAUCUGAAUCCUAAGGCAAGUUGUCUUCGAGGUGAGAGGAGCCGUAUCGCAUAAUUGAGGUUAGUCAGAAUGGGUAUUGUAAGUUGACUUACCGAGAUGGUACUUUAGUAUCCAGAACUUGGCAUGCUGAGAAUUUCAAAUUGUAUUAUCCAUAAAUCAUUUACAUUCCACUCAAGAUUACUUGUAGUAUGUCUUUUGUUUAUUUAAUUACUUUUCUAGCAUCACUAUCUCGUGUUGUUAAAGAAAAUAAGGGGACAAGACAAGUAGAAAUGGAAUAAGUGACUGACAAUGAAGUAAAACAAGUCAUUGAUAUUAAAGGAGGUAGUUACAAAAAUUGUGAAGUACAAAAUGCCGAGACCAAAGGCUCUUCUAAGAGCCCCUGCCUCGGCUGAGCCCUCACCCUCCCCCGCACUAGCCUCUUCUUCAGCAACCUUGUCGGGCCCAUCACCCUCAGGUGUCAGCUCGAACUCUGCCAUUUCACAAUUGAGCUCCUCUCGGACCUCAGUUAGGUUUUUCUCCGCCUGGAUGCCCUCAGCCAUGCGAUCGCAAAGCUCUUUAGCAUCAUCAUUGUAGCUGGCCUUGUCUUUGAAGAAGUCCAUCUAUUCUAAGGUGAGAAAGGGGGCUACGUCUUGGAUAGCCGAUGUAUAACCAAACAUGAAACUCAGCAGAGUCAACUCGCCGAACUCAUGAGUGAAGGCCUUGGAAGAGCGAACGGCCUCUACUACCGAGCUGCCAGCCUUCUUAAUGGCCUCCCUUGAAGACUGCUCCUCUUCAAGUCAUCGCUUCUUCUCCUUUUCUAAAGCAGUCUUCAAGGAGUUCAUGGUGGUCUCGGACUGCUCCAUCUCGGCCACCACGGUAUCACGCUGCUUGAGGAAUUGGGCCUUUUUUUCCUCAGCCAACUUCAGUUUCUUCUCCAGGAGGGAGAUCUUAUCCAGGAGCUCGGCUGAGAGCUAAUUUUCGACCAUGUUGAUGUGUCUUUGCAUCAACUCGGAGAGAAAGGCCGAGGUAGAGGCCCACACCACUGAAGUGCUUUGCAUCAGCUCGUCAGCAGUGAGCUUCUUGGCGUAGGAGUGGUCUCUUGGCAAGCUGGAGUGGACCAAAAGAUGGUGGGCCACUCUAGGGUCCUUGCAGCGGUCGUUGAUGCUCACAUCCCACUCUGGACAUCAGUGCUAGUCGGGGUGCUUCUUGUCCAUUCCGACAGGUUGCGACUGCACGUAGUGUCGGUUCUAAAGAGAUGACCUCGUGAUCGGAGUCUCGGUCGUUUGAAAUUGCUUGCCCCGGCCGAAGGUGGAGCAGUCACGGUCACACCUCGGGUGGCCACUCCUUCCGAAAUGGCCGAAACUCGGGAGGUGUUCUCGAGGACUACCGUUAGCGGGGUGCUGGCCGAGGCACUAGGAGUGUCCUUCUUCUUCUUCUGUAUUCUUGAGGUCUCACCAAGAGCCUUUCAUUUUUAUUGCUUCUUGGCCACUACGGCUGUGCCUGAGGUGAUCAGAUCUGACACUCUCACAACUGUAUAAGAAGAAGAUAUUACUACUUAGAAUCAAUGGAAAAAAGAACAAAACAAGACAAUGAAUUGAAAAAUAUAAUAUUUUUCAAGCCGAGUAAAGAAGUAAGGAGGGCGAUCCGGGCUGAUUAAAACUUGACUUAUCCCGCCGUUUACAAGGACCACCUCAGGAUAAUUCUAACUGUUGAUCUUGAGACCCGACCCGAGGAGUUUACAAAAGUUCUCCUCUUUAUGUUGACCCAGGAAAGGAUCUUUAGCCGAAGUAGAUGGCCUUCACCAAAAUCCCCGGGGGAACUUCUCGGCAGGGACGAAGAUGAAAUUGCGCUUCCACUCUUUUAUUGAUGAAUGAGCGUCCACCAUUAAUUUCGAGACGUUCUUGUUUCGGUUCUCGAAAUAGAACCAUCCUUUCUCGUUCCCAUUAUUCUUGAUGGCGUAGUAACGGCGAAAAAGGUUCACUAUGGGAUUCAAGCCUUGCUCUCGGUAGAGCAUCUCGAAUCCGAUGAGUAUCCGAACUACGUUCGGGACCAAUUGGGCGUUCUUGAUGCCCCAGUACCUUAGGCUAUUUCGGAAGAAUCUUGUUGUGGGCAUUCUCAACCCUACUUCCAGUUGGUCAACGUAGAUGGCCACCGUAUCAUCCGGGGGCAUCUCGGCUGUUUUGGUCGCCCGGGGUGGAUAGAUGUUAUAGUGUUGACGGAAGGGCUACUUUCGAAUCACCUCGUUCGCUGCGGUCUGACCAAUGACGCUGCUGAAGAAGGGAGUUGGCCAAAAUCUACGAUCAAGAGAUCUGGAGGGGUGGCUGGCUCCUGCACUCCCUCGUCUUGGGGCAUCUCGGAUCCGAGUUUAUUGUUGUACAACACCUCAGAUCCUUCUUGGCUCUGGUCUUGUGAUGUUUCGUUCCCAACGGAUGCCUCGACUGCUUCUUUCCCCGGGGUCGAUGAAGCAUUUUCUUCUUCUUCAAUCAGGUCGGGCCUUUCCGCUGUAUCAUAGUUCGGCCUGACCAUCUCCUUGUGUGUACGGGCUAUCCGAAUCAUAUUGCAGAAAGUAAAAGGGGUGGUGAACUUACUGUUUAUAGAAGAAAAGGGCUGGGGUGAGCAGUUGAAACACUUCGAGUAUUCUCCCUGACCUCGGAUAUUCAGACGUUCACGCAGGGGAUUGCUGUAAAUUUUUGAGGUAAAAGGUUAAUAGCGAGGAAGGACCCCCUAUUUAUACUGGUAUUGCGGGAGAUGAAAGGUCCGCGUCUGUUGAGUUCCCCCAAGACGCACCCUCUCUUCUCAUUUAUGACCAGCCGUCGUUCUGACUGCCUGUCACGUGUCCUUUCACGCCCUGUCAUAAUGACUGACGGCCGUCUCAUCGCCCCUUGCUUUAUCCCAUUUGCUGAUGAUUGAUGUGUUAUCACCCAGACACGUUGAUGACCUGUUGUACCCUCACGAAAGCCCCAGAAGGCAACAAAUAACCUGUUCCUUCUCGAGGCUAGGGAGGCCUAUUGAGGGUGGUCAUUUCAUCCCAAUUUCGCUGAGUCGAGCUCCCUCUUCCCUGAAUAAAGAUCUGUUAAUCCUCACCUCGGCCUCCUUGUACCGAGGUGAGGAUUACACACCUGAGGUUCAACCACCCGUCCCGAUUACUCCGGCUGUCGCGGUCACUACCCUGAAGUUUCACUGUGCCUGAUGGGACGGGCGAAGUUAGGUCACAGACUGACACCUGCAGGGACAGGAUGUCUGAUAAGACCUGUCCCCGACACCGACCUGUCAAGAUAGACUGACAUGCUCAGUCUGUCAGGUCCUAGGAAGUUGAAUCCUACCAUCAUUUUCUCCCAAUUGUCCCCUAUAAAUACAGAGAUCUCACUCAAAAGGGGACCCGAGAAAAAAAUACACUCUGUAAGAACUACUCUCUAAAGAAAACUUCACUACUUUCCAUUCCAAAAAGAAGACUAACUAGAUCAUCGAAGGAAAAUCGGGGGAUUCAACCCCACCUUUGAUAAUUUGAGCAGGUGACUUCCGCAAGGCAGUACCCACUUCAGGAGAUCACUCCCGCACUUUGGUACAGCCUGUCAACUCCGAAAAUCACCUCUUGAUUGCUCAAGUUGGCAAUUCUUUGACUACAUGACUAACGCUUAUGGUAAAUCCAAGUUUUUGUAGCUUCUUGUCAUGCUUCUCUGUCGAGGCUGGAACAGUGGCUUUGUUAUAUUGUAAUCUGUUAAGAAAAAAACAAAAUAAAAUAGCGUGUGUGCUUUUUAUGAGAAGAGGGUGUGGGGCGGGGGAAUCCUCUUCAGUGGCAAAAUUGUUUCAUUGCCAUCUCUAUUUUUGUUUGAGCCCUCACGUCCUUAGAUUAAGAUAUGGUUUUGAAUCUUGGAACUAGUUCAAAUAACUUCUUACAUAAGUUAUUUAAUGACUCGUAGGGCAAAACUUGUAAACCUUUCUUGUCCUUUCUUUCAUCUAAUGUGGGAUUUUUUUUUGUCGGGAUUUAGGUCUCUCAUUUAUCAACAUAAUAAUCAAAUCAAACGCGGGCAAUAUUUUAAACUCAAUGUGGAGUCAAAUCAAAAUUAAAUAAUAUAACGUUCGACUCUUUUGAACUCAUGUACAACUAUAUUUUUCAAAAUUUUGUACUAUUCAGGGUUUGUUUUAGUUUCUUUAGGAAAAUUAGACAUCCAAUAAAUGAGUGCUUGAAAAAUGAAACCAAAGGACAAAGAAAAUUGCUUACUUUGCACUUGCAUUAUCCAAGUUCGUGUCUCAUGAUAGAGACUUAGCUGUCAAUUAUCAUCCACAAUUACAUGGUUGCUUGUAAUGGAGUUAUUUUUGAUUGAUGGAUCGUUGUCAAUCAUGAUACCUCAGCAGGUAUUGGAUGGGUGCUCCAAGAUCCACUUCAUAAUAUAAUCCAUAAACUAAGCAAGAAGGUCUAUUCUCUCUCUCUUUUUUUUUUUUUGGGCCUGACGUAAUAGAUCUACACUACUCUCUACUAAGAGAAGGGGGAUCUGAAGAAUUUUAAGGACAAUUUGGAGAGGACUGAACCAUCACCAGUCCAAACGGGUGCCUACACACCCACUGACAACAUUUCUAGAAAACCUAGAUUUUUAGAAUAUAGGUCAAGGGAUUUAAUCUCUUGAUUUACAUUCAAGUAAAGUUUUAAAACUCUCUUGAUGGCCGAUUAGCAAGAAGGUCUAUUCGUCAUCUCCAAUUUGCAUCGAAGCUCUAGCUUGUUUGGAUGCUUUAAUAUGGGUUAAACAACUAAAUAAUGCCACUAUUCUGGUCAAGACAGAUUCCCUUCUGCCCCUAAAAUACAUUAUGGAUCCAUGAAUUUCGGAAGUGUAUGUUAGGUCCAUUUCCGAGAUAUAAUUUGUAUGUCUCAAUCGUUUGAUAGAAUUAUAUUUAUCAAGGUUUGCAGGUCAUCUGUCAAUUUAGCCCAUAACUUUACUAUUAAAGCUAGACCUCUGUAAUUAUGUGUAAAUAUUAUUAAAUGCUUUCAUUUUCAAGAAAAAAAAAAGAUGCCAAUUACUUCUCUUUAUUGAAUUUGUCCACUUGUUUCCAUUAAUAAAUAUAUGUUUGGAUAGAGUAUUAUUUAAAAUAAUUACUGUAGCACUUUUGUGAUAAAUGUGAGAUAAAAAGAUGGUCGGGAAUAUAAAACAUGAAUUAAAAAAUAUAUUUAUAAUGCAAGCGAAAUAUUAUUUGCAAUAAUAUGGUAUCAAAACAAACUUCUAGUUCGAAAAUCGGUAGCAUGUUGAAUCAAUCAAAGACAUUUGUAUCUUGUUUAUGAAUUGGAUUGGUAUACUUGGUACUCUAAGGUUAUUAAAUAACAAGUGGGCUUGGUAUUAUUAUUCUUUUCACAAGAAGCUAAUUUCAUCGUGAAAGUGUUGUAACUCAGGACUUGGAUAGUAAUUUUAAAACUUUAAUAGUGCACCUAACUUUCAACUUUUCAUGUGCUUUCAGGGUACCAAAUGGAAAAAAAAAAACCCAUGUAACUUCAAGUCUAAGAUGGUAUGCAAUUCAUUAAGUUAAUAAGUAUUCAUAAUUUCAUAUGUAGAUGUUAAUAUACAUUAAUAUAUAAAAAGUGCAUGAUUGAUCACAAACAUAUUUAUCCUAAUAUUAGAGUCUUUUUUUUUUUUUUUGAGAAUUCAACUUUUCGUGCAAACAUGUAAUCAACAUGCAUAAAUGAGAUAACAUUAGAUGAGUUAAACAAGUAGCCUUCAAAUAUAAAAUUUUGAUUUCAUAAAUGUGCAUUGGCAAUUUAGAAGAGAUACUUUUCAAAUGACAAAUCUAGAGAGCAACAACUACUCCUACUUUAUUUUGAUUUCUAAUCUUCUUUUGACGUAUCAAAAAGGUGAAAACAUGAAAUUAAUAAUGGAUCAGAUAGAGAAGAGUACACUGUGAGUAAAAAUAAAAUGAAUAAUUUAUUUUCAAUUUCUUCGUGUAUAAAUUUUUCCUUAACAUUAAUCGUUGACGUAUCAUUUAUUAUAGACUCUUUCAAGGCACCAAUCAAAAGUUCUAAGUGCUCGAAACAAUAUAAAACCUAACACUGAAUAUGAACAAUAGAACAUGUAAUUACCCAAAUGCAAAAUCAUAUUAUACAUGCACUAUUCACCCACGACGUAAAGCACAAUUUUAAAGUUUAUUCAAAUUUCGAGCUUUGUUUGGUUAGGUGUUUUAGAGAUAUUAUAUUAUAGGUUUUUUUCUUUUGUCUUUUCAAAAAAAAAAUAUACUUGUAAGAUAAAAAAAUAGUUGAAAAACUAGUUUAGAGUUUUAUUAGAAAUUUAUCAGGAGAGCAGUAAUCCCUCAUCAGCCAUCCCCUCAUUCUUCCAUGUAUCUUUUUCAUGAAUUGGGUUGAUCUAUUUGGCGUUCAAAGAUCACAUUUAAAAAGUUUUUUUUUUUUUUUUGCGAAAGUAUUAUAAUUCAGAAUAUGGAUGUAAUUUUAAAACUUUAGUAAUGCACCUACCUUCCAUAUUUUCGUAUGACUAUUGAGUGCUCUUAGAGUAUUAAUGGGAAAAAAAAAACCUUGUAAAUUUUACAUUCGAGCAUAUCCACUUUCUGAAGAGCAGGAAAAAAAAACACCACAUAAUUUCAAUUCCAAAAUUUUAUUUUUUUUUUGAACAAACUUCAAGCCCAAAAUUGUUUUCUUUUUUUGCUAAUUAAAAGUUUGAAUAAAUUCGAUUCCAAUCAUCAUUAAAAAUUAAAAAAUACCCUCUAAACCAUAAGUUACUUACAGAGGUUCUUACAUAUUACAUACUAGCACAAAGUUAAACAAAGAGUAUAACGAUCUUUUCCUUGUAGCUCUUUUCUUCUUUUUCUAUUCUUGAUAGGAUAAUAUACGUAGGAGAGUCUAUUUUGUCUUAUUUCUAUGCUCUUUAUAGCCUUCCUUUGGUCGUAUAUUCCCAGUGCCUCGUGGCUGCAUGGUAAUAUAGGGCUCCUGCUCACUAAGUAUACUUCCAAUUCCAGCUUUCAAGGGACGAGGGCCAAAUCUCUAUUUUGUCUCACCACUAAACAUGUCCAUGAAUCGAGUUUUAUCUAGAUUCAACCCAGAUCCAAUGUACUUAAAUUAGAUUUGAAUUUAAUUCUCAAAUUCGGACCUUAUCCAGACCAAAACCCUAUAAAAGAGUUGUGGGUUUAGAGAGGGUUUGAUUUUCUAUAAUCCAUAUUGAAAUCCAAAUUUAUACAAAACCCUACUCAAACCCAUAUAUAUAUAUAUUAGUAAAUUUAUAAAAUAUUCAAAUAUUCUAUGGUCAUUGGAUCGAACAUAGUAAGACUUCGUGAUUGUUUUCUUUUUUCAAUCUAAUCCUAAUUAUCAUUGUAAUUAGUACAAACUUUUUCAGAAAAAAGUAAAGGCAAAUAAAUAAAAGAUUAGACGUAAAUAUAGUUGAAAUUUUAAAAAUAAAUCAAAGUAGUCAAUAAUAGUUUUUUUUGAGUUUAUAAUAUUGCAUUCAACUUCUUGAAUAUUAAUUUUAUUAUUUGAAAAUAAAAAUUGGAUGGUGUUUAUACUUUUUGAAAUUUACAUAUUUUUAAUAGAUUUUUACUUUAGGGUAUUUAGAAAAAUACAGCGGGUACCCAUUGGGUAUCCCAAAUUCGAGAGUGUCUAGGUUUGAACUUAUUUUUUAAAAAUCAUAAAGAUCUGAGUUUGGGUCCAACCGAAUUUAAUGGAUCUAGAUCAAAGGGACAUACCUACAAAGAUAUACUUAUUUGUCUCACUAUUAUAACCUUUUUUUUAAUAUAAUCCAAUAUUUCAUGAAGUACGUAAUCAAUGACAUAACAUUAGACAAAUUUAGUCCUCCCUGACAAAUCUUUUCAAGAAAAAAAAGACAUAUCUUUUUAUGAGUAAUCUUUGACAAACCUUUCCACGAGUCUUCUUUUCAAAACUUCAAUUACGGCAUACACUUUUGACCAGAGGCGGAGCCGACAAUAAUUAUCAGUAGGGACAAAAAUAAUAUUAAAAAUUCUUCAUUGUCUUUCUUAAAAGUAGUACAUAAUAACAACGGCCCACUUGAUAAAUGAGUUUUUCAUGUGUUUGUUCAAAAUUUUACUGUAACUUAUCGUAGAAUUUGUAAAAUUUUUUUUUGAGAUUGUAUCUAUUUAUUGGAGGUUCUUGUAUAUUCACUUCGAACUUUUUCAUUGGUCUUGGAGCAACUACUAAGCUUCUCAAGUAGUUGUUCCAAAACCAAUAUAAAAUUUUCUUUGAAUGAGCGAUAUAACACAAAAUCACAUAAUAACACAAUAAUUUUCUUUGAAAAAAAUAUAAGAAACAUUUUAAAAUAACCAUAGACCUAUAGUUUUGUAAGGCACAAGGACAUAAUAUUUAUUGUUUUAUUAAAAAAAAUGACGUUCACCAUAGUAGAAGAAAAUUAUGUUUAACUAAGCCAACAUAAUUACUCUAUAUUUUUACUUUUGUUGCAAAAAUUCACAAAAUUCAUUUUACUGAUGUAGAAGGCUAUUGUUUUGAAUUUUGUAAAAUUUCAUUUCCAUUAAGUUACAAAACUAAUGAUAUUUACAUUUACUUCUAAACAACAAAAUGGGAGCACAAUCGAAAAUUUCUCAGAAUUGCAGGAGUCACAAUAGGGGCAUAAUUGAAAAAUUCACAAAAUUACUUGAGUAACAACAGAAUUCUGUGCGGGGCAGUAGGGGCCCGUGCCUACAGUUCCCCCAUUGUCGAUCCACUUCUGCUUUUGACAAUAUGCCCCCUUUCUGAUCCCCUUGCGAAGCUAUGGAUCAAUUAUUCCCAUUUGUGAAUGUCAAUAUCAUGAAAUGGAGCUUGGAAGGAUGUAUUUCUGUAUUAAAAAACUUCUUCAAUCUCCUGUUUCUUUCAAGCCAGAACUAUUAAUGAUUUUGAAGCUAUAAUUGCUCUUGCAUGAUGAUGAGGAAGCUAUGAUUGAGAACACUAGCGGAUUUAAGGUGGGGUCACUGGGGGCACGGCCCCACUGCUUCCCUUAAAUUCCUACAAUAUGCAUAGAAUUUUGAUAUUAUUUUAAGUGUGCCUUCAAAGUUUUUUUUAUGAAAUAAGUGAAAUAAUUACGUGAUCUUUUAAAUUGAUCCAUGAACUAAUAUUCUAAAAGGAUAUGUGGGUCACAAAAUUUCAUUUGAAAUAAGUUCAAAAAAUCUUUUUCAUUUUAACUUGUUGGUGAAUAUUUUUUUACUUAAAAAACUAACAAAAUAGUAGGAAAAAAAUUUUAAUGCUGCUUUUGCCCCCACUGAAAAUUUUUUCAAGCUCCGCCACUGAUUGAGAAUAUCUGACUGUCCAUGAUAGAAGCAAAUAUUGUUGAUGUAAAAUACAUUACUAAAUGUGCCAAUAAUGUAGCACAUGAAUUAGGUUUUCAUACUAACACUUCUAACAUUAUGGAAUUCCUAUGAAAUUCUCCACCUAACUUUGUUAAAAAAUUCAUGCUGGACCAAUUCCAACGAUUUAGUUAAUAAUAUUUUCUCUUUUUAUCAAAAAAAAAAAAAAAAAAAGCUCAUAGGCAUCAAUUGCUUUUUCAAUACAGCUUGCUUUUACAGUCCUACGACCACAAUCUUUUGUCAGAGGAAAUAAGGCUGAAAAAAUAUAUAUAUAAUUUUUUGCAUCAUCAUUGUGAUACAAUGAAGUACAGAAACUGCUUAUGAGAAAAUUUAAGAUAUUUUUACACUCAACUUUUUUUUUUUUGUUUCUUUCUCCUUUGUAUACAGGUUAAGUAUAUGGGAUAAAAAAGAUAAGUAUGUACCACAUAAUUACUAGCUGCUCUCAUUGAAACCUGUUGCUGCGUGAAUACUUCACAAGAUUAUGUCAAAUUAUCACUUCAAAAUAAAAAUAAAAGGAAUUCAAAAGAAAAAUUACUAACAAUUAAGAGCUAAUUCCUCAAAAUAUUUCCCCAAAAAAAUCCAGCUAAUGUGGUUCUGAUAGAGUCCAUUUCAAAAACUAUGGUUUUUUUUUUUAUUCUUGGUAGCCGCUUUUAAAGGAAAAAAAAAUUCAAGGGCUGCCAUCUCUUUUUAAAGGCAACAAUGUUUUUUUUUUUUUAAUUCCUGGCGGCCACUUUGAAAUAAAAAAAAAAUUGAAGGGAUGCUGUAUUGAAUCAGCAUGACAGCCCUCUUCUUUUUUUUUUCUUUUGAAAAAGAUGCUGAGCCUGCAUGUUAUCUUACAAAUAGGCAGUUGCUUUAUUUUUUGUGUUUCACGGCAGCCCGGUGACUUCUACAAUUGUUUAUGUUUCACACAAAACAUAUUGAAUACUUGAUGGGGUAUUAUUCAUAGAACCUAAAAAAUCCUGUGAAUGAUACUCCAUCAAAUAUUCAAUGUUUUGUGUGAAAGAUAAACAAAUAUAGAAGUCAAUGGGCUGCCGUGAAACACAAAAAACAAAGCAACUGGCUAUUUGUAAGACAACAUGCAGGCUCAGGCAUCCUUUUUAAAAAAAAACAUGGCAGCCCUUGAAUUUUUAUUUUAAAAAAAAAUUGGCUGCUAGGAUUUUUAAAAAAAGAAAAUUGUUUCCUGCCAUGCUAACACAGCGAAUUUUUAUUUAAAAAAAAAAGUGGCUGCCAGGAAUAUUUUUUUUAAAAAAAAAAAUCUCAUGGCUGGCAUAAUUUUGGAAAUGGACUCUAUCAAAGUCACAUUUGCCAGUUUUUUUUUUUUUUUGGGCAAUAUUCUGAGAAAUUAGCCACAAUUAGCGGUAUAUUCUUUCUCUUUUUUUUGACUACUUUUAUAAGAACAAAAUGUAUAACAGGAAAGUCUCAAUAGACUCCCUUAUUUGACAAGUGACAAAUAGGACUCAAGUACUACGAACACUAAAUUUUAGGGGGUUUAAUAUAAUUACAUUUUAGAAUUGAUUAAACAUGAGAAAAACUGGAAUGUGCUCUUUGUCUGUCACAUUAGUGGCCGUUUUGGAGAUGUAAUGAUUUAUUAAAAAAUAUUUCACCCAUUAGAGCUUUUGAUGAUAACACUUGAAAGUGUGUUAUUUCGACGCAUACAUUGAUGAGUGAUUGUUAUGUAUGGAUUGUUAACCCACGGAUUUUAUCAAAAUUUUAAAGAUUAUUCGAUUUUUAGGCUAUGUUUGGUUAGGUGUUUUCCAAGGUGAUUUAGGGGUAAAUUGACUAUAAAGAUGCGACGAAAAUAUACUUUGAACCUAAAGUUCAAGUUGUGAUUAGUAAGUUAAUUUCCUAUUUUCUAUUCUUUUUAUGAUGCUAUAUUCAGGUUAGAAAAUCUUUGAUUAAAUGACUGAAGCUUGUGGUGAAUCGAGUUUUUGCAACUUCUUGUCAUGCUUCUUUAUCGAGGUUGGAACAUUAGCUUAGUUAUGUUGUAAUGUGUUAAAGAAAAAUAAUUACAGGUGCCCCUGUGGUGGUAGCAUGCAGGGCAGGAAAGUUAUAUGACAACGGCGUUGAGAUUGGAGUUGCUCACUCUAUCUUUGCAUCCUCCCUCGCACUUGUAGAUGGAAGUAAGGAUAUUUAGCCUGAAGUUUUGAGUUUUAGAACUGAUCCAAAUGACUUUUAAGUGAAAUCACAGAUUCAAAUUGAUUUAUUUUUUAUUAUAUAUAUUCCGAGAAUGGAAAAAUUUUACAAGUAUACGAGAAAUGAAAACCAAAAUAAAAAUGGAAAAUGCUUACCUUUGUGCUUUUACCUCAUCCAAGUCAGAGUCGAAUGUUGCAUCCCUCUAUAAGUGGCAAAUAAAUUUAUUUAACUAAAUUUAUCCAUACCCGUCCAUGAAUAGAUGAAUAUAAAUAUCUUAAAUUUUUGCAUAUGGGUAUAAAUGGUUAUCCAAUAAUGCUCAUUUAUUAAAUGAGCAUUAUUGGAUAAUCUAUCAAACUCAAUUAACCCAUUUAAAAUUAUCUUCAUCCAAGCCUCCUCUCUUCCCCCACUCAUUUUUUUUUCAGAUUCUUUAUUUUGUCAUGAUGUUAACUACUUUUGAUUCAUUAUUAUUAUUAUUAUUUGUUGGUUUUAGCUUAUCAUUUUAUUUUCCCUUAAUUUGUUAACUUGUUCAUUUUUCAGCAUUAUUAAUUUAUAACAAGUUUUAGUCUCUUUUCCUACUUUCUCAAAAUGAAAUUUUAAAUUUACAUAUGAAAAAAAUGCUAGGGGUUCAAAAUUUUUGGAUUAAGUUUUUAUGUUAACUUUUAUAGUACUUAAUUCAAAAUUUUAUAUUCUUGUUGUUUAAUUAUUAAAUAAUAUGUAAUUUUGCGACAUAAAGUAUUGAUAGGAAAAAAAUUGGUAAUUAGAUUUAUGAGCAUUAUAAGUAAAUAUUUAAAAUUAAUGAUGGAUGCAAAUUAUGGUAUAAAUUGAUAAUUUAGUUUGUAAAAAUGAAUUUAAAUGAGUUCACAAAAAAUUAAAAUAAAUGGGUUAUAGAUAGGUAAUUAGGUUAUUCAAUUCAUUUUUUAACUUACUCAUUAGAUGAAUAUAAAUGAGUUGACUCACCUAUUCCCAUUAUCCAUUUUAACUGAUUCAAACCCGUCCAAAUCACUGAUUUUGGACACAUCUACAUCCCUCCAAAGUCUACCUCAGACUUUAAGGUUCCCAUUUUGUCCUGCCUUGGGAAGCGGGAUGGAAGAAGGACAUGUGUGAGUGUGAUAGUCAUAGAUGGAUGCAUGGCACACGCUCGUUAAUUCGGAGAGGGAAGGCCGACGCGCAUGUACAUGGAAGCAAAAUGCUACGCGUCGGGUUAGAAGGAAACAUGAAUAAAAAAGAAAAUGUGUUAAGUGAGGGACCAGAGGGGCAAAUACCAACGAAUACCGUAUGUGAUCGGUUAGAUAUAUGUAUAUAAAGGGAUAAUUGCAUAUUCCCACCCUGAGGUAUGUACCAUUAAAAAUAAAGACUAAAGCCAGAGAGCGUCGAUGUAAGUCUCGCAAAUUGUAACAUUAGCAUGAGCGUAUUAGAAUUUAGUAACAUCAGCAACCAUCCAUAAAACUGCAGAAAAUGCAAAAAUCAAUAAAGUGGAGAGAAAAUUUUUUUUAAUUUGGAAUCGAUAUUUACAUGUAAAGUUGUUAUAGUGUUGGUAAUGGAAUUUCAAAAACUUUGAACAGGAAUUGGACAAGAGGUGAAAAAAAACACAUAUACACAAUACAUUCCCAAGGUGAAAAAAAAAAUAAAAUACACUGCAAAAGUUAAUACGUUUGGAAUCGUUUUGUUCACUCAUGGAGUCCAUCCUUUUACAUGAUUAACAAGAGAUGUUCAUCUUUGUAAAGAAAAAGUAACAAUUUUGAGGUGAUGUUGUAAUUAAAUUUUAAAGAAAAAACAAGUAAAGCAAAGUAGAGAAAAUCUUUCUAACCAUCUUGUUCAGAUUACGUAUACAAAAAAAAAAAAAAAAAGAAAAAAAAAACACUAAACAUCAUUGAAAAGAGCGAAAAUAAUAGAUUAUUUGCAAUUACAUUUUAUCUACCUAAUGAAAUCUAACUGUAUUAAGUCCCUCACAAGUACAUUAACUUACUAAGACCAUGUAAAAGAUUUGAUUGUUCUAUAUUAAUAGUAAAACUUAUAUUAAUUUGAUCGUGCUGAGUGUGCAAUAAUAGUUGGACUCACAGAAAAGACCAAAAAUAAAAUACGAAAUUGAAACAUCCGCUCACAUGAAUGAUUUGGUAAAACAUCAUACUUGCAAAUAUAGGUAAACAUAACGCCUUCUUCAGAGGACUAAGAGUGGAGUGACGAAAAAAAGGGUAUGAUACUCCUCUACAUUUUGGUGAUCAAAAUGUAUAAUACCAAAAUGUAUAAUACCAAAAUGUAUAAUGAACAGUAUAAACUAGAAUAGUAACAAAUAAAAAUGGUUGCGAAAGUGUAAAAAAUUAAAUCCUUCUUCAAUAUAUUGCCAUAUUCCCCUCCAUUUAUUUCUUUUCUUAUGCGUCCCACAUUCGCUUUGCCAGGCGCGUUUUGAGUGCUUGCUCGGCCAAUUCAUUUCGGACCACAAACAAGUGGCACUUUGGAUCGCGUAAGACGUGUCCAUUUAUUGCUUCGUUCCUCCCAUAAAGCCAUAAAGGGGUCCCGUCAUUUUUUUUUGUCUACUUUUUUUUUCUUUUUUUUUUUUUACACACGAGAUAUCCGGACCUUCGAUCCAACUAAUCUCAUUUGUCUAUAUGUAUAUAUAUUUUUUGUCUACUUGUUUCUAUUUUUUUUUCUUCCAACUUCUAGGGAAAUCCCAAGAAUUCGCUAACUAAACUGAGCCCAAGAGCAAUCGUAAAAAACCGGCAACUUUUGACGACGCCCCAGGAGCUUAACUACCCAACCCUUAACACCCCCACAGCCGAUGUGGGAUAGAAACCCCAACAGGGGCCAAGCCUGCGCUGGAAACUGCUACCAGGCCUUAACUAAGAACCCAUCCCCAACCGCCGACCCCUUGCUGUUGUUUUUUUUCUUCCAACUUCUAGGGAAAUCCCAAGAAUUCGCUAACUAAACUGAGCCCAAGAGCAAUCGUCAAAAGCCGGCAACUUUUGACGACGCCCCAGGAGCUUAACUACCCAACCCUUAACACCCCCAACCGAUGUGGGAUAGAAACCCCAACAAGGGUCAUCUACUUGUUUCUAUUGAUAACAUCUUUUGACCGAUAUGCAGCACAAAAAGUAACUCGCCCAUGAGUACAAAAUAGGCGUUACAAAAAAAUCGUUCCUACCAAACUCGUGGAGUUAUUUGCCUAAAUAACUCACUUCACAACAAAUAUAUUCCUAAAAUGAUUCAAUUUCAUACUUUAUUCUCGUAAGAGACUUUUCUCUCAUAACAGAGUUUUCUGUUAUCCGUCCGAUCAAAUUAAAACGAAAAUGAAAAAUAUCUUCCCAUUUCUAGCUAUACCUUUGUUUGUUACUUUAUUAUACAAAAAGUCUUGAAUACUUAACAUGAAUUUAACAAUAUUUUUAAAUAUGAGAGCAAAAGUCUCGAAUACUUAACAUAAAUUUGACGAGAUUUCUAAACAUGAGAGCAAAAUCUACAAUUUGACUAUUUAUUUUUGUUUCAGUUACGACAAUUUUCUCUUUAAGAUACUUGUAAUAAAAUUUGAAAUCGAAUCAUUGUAGGAAUAUUUUUUGAAAAAAAAUGUUAUUUUGGUAGAAGACUCUGAGUGUGUUUGACAGUAUUUUAUUUGGAAAAUUUUUUAAAAAAAAUUAUGAAAUUUUUUUAAUAUAAUAAAUAUAAAAAAAUAUAUUAAUGAUACAAAUAAAUUUUGAUAAAUAAUCCACCAUCCAAACACACUCAACAGGCAAUGCCAGAAACAAAGGUUCGCGACUCAAUGUGUUAACCACCCAAAACCUUCUAGGCAGUGCCAUAAAGAAUGGUCAUUGCUCUACGUGUUAACCACCUAGAAGCUUCUAGGCAGUGCCAGAAAGAAAGAUCCACAACUCUACGUGUCAACCGCUUAAAACCCUGGAAGAACGGUAAAGAUGCUUUUAAUAAAAUUAAAGUUUAAAAAUUAAUAUCUGAACUCUGAAUCCGUCAAAUUAUUAAAUCUUAUAUAUCAUACAUUUGAAUGUAUGUCACGUUAUAUUAAGUGACAAGUAAAUAGUUUAUUAUUUAUUUAUUAAAAUAAAUUUUAUUUAAAAAAUUUAAUAUUAUUUAAUUAAUUUAUAUAUUUUAUUUUUUAUUAUCAAACGCGUCUGAAUAUAUUAAAAUAUGAAUCUAUAUAAUUACAAAGUUAAUUGUGAUAUUAGGGACAAAUAUAAAUAAUUAAGGUGUGCUGUGCUGUGCUGUGUGACAAAGUCCCGUGAGUCUGGUCCAUCAAUUAAAUUACUUGAUCCAUCCAAUUGAGAUGAAUUUUUUUUUUUUUUUGUCGGAACAAUAAGUCCAAUCGAGAUCAGCUUGAGUGUGAAUUACUAUUCCUUGUUUUAUUUGUCCACUUGUUUCAAUUGACAACUCUUUAAGAUACCAAAAAAUCAACUGAAAUCAGUGGGAUCUCCGCAAUUAAUUGCGGAAUAUAAUCCUGUUUUUAUAUAUUCUUUGUACGUCUAAUUAGUUUCGUCUCAGGAAAGGAAAAAUAUACGCACAAAACACAAGUCUAGCUCAGAAUUUAGCGGUGACCGAUUCUACCUUCCUUUUUGGUAUCAUACCUUGAUCCUGAAUUCACGGUUGAAUGGUCAAAUAUUACUAUUUUUGACAUUUAGAUGGUUACAGUUUCAAUCGUUUAAAUUAUGGGUUACUAUCAUCGUUGAAAGAUACGCAUUGAGGGAACGGUAUCCUAAGAAGACUAUAGAAUUUUCCUAAUGGAUUAUACAACAUAUUAAUAUUUGGAAAAAAAAAAAUACUUCUCACACAGUUGUGUUUGAUCUCAACGAAUCUUCACUAUUUUAAAUUGGUGUGGAUCACAAUCAAUGUCAUGACUUUACAUGAAUAUCAAAUAAGGGUGCACGAAUAUUAUAAUAUGAAAAGUACAUGAUAUGAAAAAAAAAAUAAUUGUGUUUGGUUAGAAAAUUAUUUGAAAUAAUUAUUGUAACAUUUUUUAUGAUUUGAGAUAUAUAAGAUAAAAAAAAUUUAAAAAUAUAUUUAUGAUGUAAUUAAAUAAAUUUUUUUUGACAAAUAAUGCCCAUCCAACCGCACUUGUAUGUACUCCUUUUCAAUUUCUUUAUGUAGAAUAUUUUUUUUGAUUAAUCGUCAAUUAUAUCUAUAUAAUACUUUAUUCUAAUUUAAUUAAGAGAGGAUCAACUGGACCUACAAAAAGUUGAUGGGAACAGAAUCACCAUCAGAUCGGACAGGUGCAUCAAGCAUCCAUUUGAAUUUUUUUGAAGAAAUAAUUAAUGUGGCAAUUAGUGGAUGGUAAAAUUUGCUACUUUAAUAGAAUAUUUUCUUGAAUAUUGAUUUUUGACAUGUCUUUUGUCAAGGCCAUAAAUCAACCCGGGCCUACUCCACAGUUCACACCGAUUCCCGCCGACGAUGGAUAUCUUAUCCACAAAAGCAUGUUCCUACCGCACUAUUAUAUAUUAUUCCGUCAUCCCCACCUCCUUCCUCCUCACUCCUCCCUCGCAAAACAGUAAACUCUGAUCCAUUCCACUCUUUCCUCUGUGCUUUUUUGUCUGAAAAUGGCAGCACCAGUGACAGUGCCAAGAAUCAAGCUGGGCUCGCAAGGUCUUGAAGUUUCAGCUCAAGGGCUGGGCUGCAUGGGCAUGUCAGCCUUCUACGGGCCACCAAAGCCCGAGCCCGACAUGAUCAAACUUAUUCACCAUGCUAUUAGCAGAGGCAUCACCCUGCUUGAUACCUCUGAUGCUUAUGGACCCCAUACCAACGAAAUCCUCAUCGGCAAGGUGACUUUAAUCAUAUUUAUUUGCAUUUUUCUGCAGUUGUGCGGUAUGCAUGAGCUCUUGUACUUUUAGUUUUGACUUUGUUCUUGGUUGCUUUAGAUUUUGCAAAAUUUGAUUAUGGGAAGUGUUUAUAAAAAAUAAUUAGAAUCAGCAAAAAUUGUGCUUUGGCCAAUUAUGAAUUUCAGAUUUUUUGGUUAUUAAAAAAAUUGUAAUCUGAAGCGUCAUAAAAAUUGAUUAUUCAAAAUUAGAAUAUAUAAUCAAUUAAAAUAACAAACCUGUAGUUAGUGAAUGCGUAGGAACUCUCACUAUCUGGGAAGUCUUUCUGAAAACUACCAGUAUUAGAUAAUUUACUUUCCAAACAGGGCAAUAGGAAAACUGUACUCCUCUAGUCUCCUAUUCUUUCUUUUUCACUUGGAUGUUUUCAUUUGGAUCCUAAUAGGGCACUAUUUACUGCACCUUAAUAAUUUGAUUUGAGUUUCCUUUUUUUUUUUUUCUUUUUUAUUCAGGUUCAUGUGUACGACUCUCUGUCUAUGUUCAUGUUUUGCAUCAAAUCUUAUCAAUGGUAAAGAUAGACUGAAAGAAACAGAAAGAAGAACAGAAAAAAGAAAAGGGAUUGGCUCCUUUAACUGAAUCAAACUUCUAAAGUCCAUGGUUUACAUAAUCUUCAUUCUGCAUGCUACCAUAUUCAAUGGGAAGAAGUAGAAUAGUCUUAAAAAUGAAAAGGAUGGAAAAUCUCUGACAGUUUGUGCCAUGCAUGGAUCACAAAUCAACUUGCUAUAACAUGCAAUAAUAUGUAUGUCCUCGGUGAUUGAUGUUAUGAAAGCAUGGUUGUAGGCCUUGAAGGGAGGAAACAGAGAGAAAGUGGAGCUAGCAACAAAAUUUGCAUUCACUUAUGAGGGUGGGCAGUUUGGUAUACGUGGUGAUCCAGACUAUGUGAGAGCUGCAUGUGAAGGCAGCUUGAAGCGGCUUGGUUUGGAUUGCAUUGAUCUCUAUUAUCAGCAUCGCAUUGAUACAAAUGUGCCCAUUGAAGUCACGGUUUGCUCUAUUUUUCCUUUCUUGUUUUUAAGUUCCACAUUCUUAAUUAAAUAAAAGUUUGAUCAACUUCAAAUAUAGGCAUACAACUGAGUUUCGUGUCCUUUGCAAUUGCUUCAAAAAUACAAAAAUAAAAAAAAAAUUCUUAAAAAAUGCAAUUGGUGUACUAUGCAUGUUAGUCUGCAUUAAUGUAAAGCUCAUUUAGCACCAGCAUCUCAAAAUUAAAAAGAACCAUAGUGUUAGUCUUGUAGGCACAAAAAUUGUAGCUUGACGGCCCUGCUGAGGGAGUUACCAAUGGAUAUGACAUGCUAUAGAUUCUAUGGCUUUCCUUUAGGACGAGAAGGCCUGUGUAUUCUCUUUCAUUUGAAAUAUGUAAUCUGGUUGAGUAUUCAUAUGCUAAUUUAUCCACCUUGUCAGUUCUCAGUUGCCACUUCUUUUAAUUCAGUGCAUAAAGCAGCAGAUUGGUACUCAGUUUUUAUCAAAUUGAAGUUUUUAUGGAACGAUUUAUGUAAGUUCUUUUCCUGGUGUAGCCAGCAAAAUAUAUUUUGCUUUUCCUGAGUAGUAGGAAGAAAUUUUCAUAUCGUACAAUCACUCAAAAUACAGGUAAGUUUGAAUGAGAUCAAGCAAAAUUGAUGACUGACAAUUGAUGUGUGCAGCCAUUAGUCUGUUUAAAAGAAGUCAAGAAAGUUGUAUAAUGUUGUAUAAUGUGGUAUAAUGAUAUCAGAGCUAAGUCAACCUGUGAGUUAACAUCAUCAUCAUCUAGAGAAGUAUAUUGGCUGCUUGUUGCCAUUUUUGUCAAGUAGUGCUUUCAGUUUGAUGUAUACUUUGUCAAAGUUGUGCCACUGCACUGAACUAGUUCUUCUUUUCGUUUAUGCAUGUAUAAUUUCAAUUAUCUACCUUAGUAUGGAAAAAAUCAGCUGGGAAAUUUCUCGUCCAUUACAAAAAUUCUAUUUUGCCCAGGUAGGAGAACUUAAGAAAUUGGUUGAAGAGGGUAAAAUAAAGUAUAUAGGUCUAUCCGAGGCCUCAGCUUCAACAAUUAGAAGAGCACAUGCUGUUCAUCCAAUAACAGCUGUACAGUUGGAGUGGUCAUUGUGGACCAGAGAUAUCGAGGAAGAGAUUAUUCCCACUUGCAGGUAGUGCAUUUAUCCUGCUUCAUUUUCUACAUGGUCUGGAAGAAAUAUGAAGUUCUAAGUUCAUUUUGGUGUAAUCUUGUAGAGAGCUUGGAAUAGGGAUUGUUGCAUACAGUCCACUUGGAAGAGGAUUCUUCUCUUCAGGUCCAAAGCUGGUUGAGAAUUUGACUGAUGAUGACUACCGAAAGGUUUGUGAAUAUCCAAAAAGAUUAGUAGUUUCUAGUGUAGCAUAGUCAGUAGCAAUCUUGCUCAAUAUCCCUUUGAUGUCCAAUAAUUUGGUGGAGCUUUUCUGAAACUAUCUAAUUUAAUUAACUUCUGUCCAACAAAGCGGCACAACAAGCUUUUUUCUAUCCACCAAGUCUUCUAGCGUUGGAUUCCAAUAAAUGCAGUUUUUGGCAUUGUUAGAAACUGAACCUUUUGUACAGACAGGAUUGAAAGUGUGUGCUCUGUAUUUAGUUUGAAUUUGAAGAUAGCAAUAGCAUUGUCAAAUAUCACAAGCAGUGGGAGUGUUCUAUUUUAUGGUGGAAGAACAUCCUAGACAUGAGAAAAGGAAGAAACUAUGGCAUUUUUUAGUAAUAUUCUCUUCACAAUUUUGAGGGGAAAUGGACUUACAUUGCAAUGGCAUCAUCUGGUGUUAGGCACAAAAGUUAUACAUUGUCCUCUGAAAUUGUUUUUUUUCCCUUUUCAUAUACAUCCUCUACAGUUUGGUUGGUCACAAGUUCACUUGAUAAUACUGUCCAGAUGGUAUGAAACUGUAUUGGAUUUCUAUUUCGAGUUUCCUCUCUGAUGGGAUAUGUUUCUCAGGAUCUACCUUCUACAAUUGAUGUUUCUUAGCGUACUCAGUCCACCUUACUGGAUUGUUCUUUCCCCUGAACUUUGUACGCCUCAAGCAAUAGUAUCGAUCAUCUUGAAGUUAUUCGUAAUGUUUUCAUUUGUAGACAACACGUGUUGCUCCCUUUUGAAUUUCUGGCAUUACAGUUGCUUAAAUUUCGAAAUUCGUACAAUGCAGUAUAUGCCAAGGUUUCAAGCAGAGAAUUUGGAGCACAACAAGAACUUGUACGAGCAGGUCAAUGCCAUUGCUUCAAGGAAGGGUUGUACCCCAUCACAGCUAGCUUUGGCCUGGGUCCAUCACCAAGGCAAAGAUGUUUGCCCCAUACCUGGCACUACCAAGAUUGAGAACCUCGAUCAGAAUAUAGGAGCUUUGUCUGUGAAACUGUCGGCAGAGGAAAUGGCGGAACUUGAAUCUAUUGCUUCGGCUAUCAAGGGUGAGAGAUACGAGUCUGACGCUGGCACUUGGAAAACUUCUGAAACUCCACCUUUGUCAACCUGGAAGAGGACAUGAAGGCGUACCUUUGUGAUGGCAAUAAUCCCUUCUAGCUGUGUGCCUGUUGGUGGAUUUCACUAUAUUGGGAGUUGAGUAGCAUGUAUUUGUUCCAAGAAAUUUCGUCAUAUUAUUGUCUCGGGGGUUAAGGCAUGUAAAGUUAUAAUAAGAAGAAUGGAGUUUUAAGAGUGAUUGUAAUGAAUGAAGAUUUGGUCAUGUAAAAGCAUAUAGUAAUUUUCCUUGCAGUAUGCAUUAAAAAUUAUCUAUUGUACUUCUGAAUAUUAUAGUUUGGAAAAAAAAAAGGAAUACUUGUUAUCAUUUGGGGGAAAAAAAAUAGUGUAGCUGUCACGCCUCAUUGCUCUGUUAUAUUUCUCGCACGUGCUAGUAACGAGACAUCUGUUAUAUUUCUCAAGGACAAGACAAUAUUAAACUAGAAAUACUUACUUAAAAAGUAAUAGCAUUAAUGGAACUAAUUAUAGUGCGGUAUAACUUUGUAUUCGAAAUAACCUAUAAAUAUUUGAGGAUUUCAUAUGCUAAACAUCAAGUAGAGAUAACAUGUGCGAGUAUCAACUAUUAUAGUAUAGCGAAGUACAACUAUACUACUAAUUCCUAUCUCCUAAAGAUUUAGUAGAAAUCAUUUUUUGGGUUUUGGACAUAGACUAACUCAUAAUAUCCAAAAUCUACAAAAGUAAUAAAAAUGGGUUGAGCGAUGAUUGCUCGGUAGGUAGCAGCUACUGUGAUGUCUCGCAAAAAUUUAUUAUUUUUAAAAUCCAUUCCGAGCAUAUUUAAAUAUUUAAUUGUCCAUUUACUCUGAUUAUUAUUUUCUAACCUCUUUAAAUCUAAUUACAUGGAUUUAUAGUUUCGUUAUAUUUUUUUUAAAGUGUCUCGUUUCAAAAUUUAAUUUUUGGAAGCUCAUUAAGUGAAUAUGGUGAAUACGCGAUUAGGGAUUUUAGCUGAUUUGGAAAUACCAUAAGUUGGGAAAAUUGGAGACUUGUACAAUGGUCCUAAAAUAAGUAUUUCUAUGUUUAAAUAUUCAAGUGAUAGUUAUUAGUACUAUCGUUAUAAGAAUUUCUUGGAAGUUUCGUUUUAUCGCGCUUAAGUUGGAGAUACGCGUUUUUACACGCGCGAUUUAAUUGGGGGACUUUAGACCCUUAUUCUGGGACAAUUAAGAGUAAAUAAUAUUAAUAUGAUUAUAAGUAUAUUGGAGGUUUAGGGCACUAGUGAAAUGAACGCGAGAGAAAUCGAGCACAAAACGCACGCGUACGCGCACUAUUGAAGAGUUGACUUUUGCACCAAUUCUAGCCACACAAAUAAAGCUUUCUUAGGAAGCUAAAUCAGAUCAAAACACUCUCUCUCUUCCUCACAAAGUGGCCGGCCAUCAGCUGCAAAAAUAACCCAAGGAGUUCAUCAUUUUUCAUCUCAAAAUCUUGCACAAAUCAUCUCCAAUUCCUUCCAAAUUUCACACACACUUAGCUUAAUACUUGGAGAUCAUAUUAAGCUGCAAAAAGGGGGAGCUUUUCACGGUUUUCUUGAGCUAAGAGAGGGCCAAAAUUCUGCCUUGUUUACCAACACAAGUAAGUGACGAUCAAUUCUCAAAUUCUUGGUCUAUGGAAGUUGAUUUACACUUAUGAGCUUAGAUAUUCAUGUGGGUGGCUUGUUAUUGUUGGAAAAUUUUGAAUGUGGGCUCUAUGAACUCCCACUCUUGGGUUGAUGGCUGAUAUGAUGCUUGAUGAUGGAUUUAAUGUUGGUUUAGUGCUCAAAUUGGUAGAUUAAUGGUGCAUAGCUAGUAUAAACUUCAAGGAGUGCAUGGAUGUAAAGCUUCCAAUUCUGCCCCUGUUAUGAUUGUGCCUCUUUUUGCAGAAUUUUGAGGUUUUAAUGGUUUGUAUAUGAUGUUUAUCUGUUGUAUAGAUGUUGUAUAAAGUUUCAUCGAAAAAUAUUGAGGUUUGGUUGGUCAAAUGGAUUAAUCUCGCACAGCUAGCAAACCUGGAAAAAUUUUCCCGUAAUGCUCAGACAGCUUUCUUGUUUCGUCCAUAACUCUGUGCUUCGAUGUCAAAAUCAAGUGCCGUCAGUGGCAUUUGAAACUAGACAUUCCCAGAUUUCCAAUGGUAUAAAAUAUAACUCCUAAUUCCACCCGAGUAUUCCGUACCAACCGUUUAAAGAUGACUGUCAUGUUUCUCUAUUUUCCUGGAACGAAGUUCAGAAGCUACAACUUGAGGCUUGAAUUUGAGCUAGUUGUGUGCUGAAUUUCAGAACGAUUUCUUCUGUGAAAUUAUAGUUUCAUGAAUGCAUUUUCCAACGCCACCACCCAUGCUCAAUUCCGAGUUGAAUUGAGUGAUUUGUGAUCAAAAUACGAAACCUGCCUUGUUCUUGAAAACCCUAAAUUUUGGGCAGAAUUGAUGCUAGACUUGGUGUAGACUUGCCAAUUGAAUUUCUUGGAAUUGAAACACUUACCAAAUGUACCAUGAAUGUUCCUUAGGUUUUUCCCACACAAAUGAACCAUGUUUGAAGGAUUUUCCUUGGUCAAAUGUUUUGGAAUGGAAAACAAAAAAAAAAGCUCAAGGCAGUUUUGCCUUAGGAUUUUUCGAAACUUUGGAUGUUUGGUUGACUACUUUCCCGAAGGUAUUUUUCCAUGAAAUUUGAUAGAGGGAUACCCUUUAUAUAGGAGUAUUAUAUUGCCAAACUUGGUGUUAAUCCGAGUCCAUUUCACUGCUCGACUAAAUUACCAAGAUUCAUGACUCGAGUUUGGAAAACCCUUGUUUCACAAGGGAAUUUUGGUAACUUUGAAUUGCCAUAUCUUAGUGCUCAAAACUCCGUUUCUCGUUCCGCUUAUUUUGUUGUAAACUUAGAUUGCGACUCUAAUAGAGUUCCUAAUUUCAAAGGCUAGUUCCAAUUAAGUGAAUUUUGCCGAAUUUUCAAAGUUGGCCAAAAACCAACUUAAAUCUGCCUUAUGAAACAAAACAGCGACUUUGAGCUUAUUUUUGAAUAUUUUUCAUUUGGAAUCUUAGAAAAAUGUAUUUUAGGAACUUUUAGUACCUUGGAAGAGGUUUCCAACGGUACCAAGUUUUCCAAUUUUUGACUUGUAAAGCGUGAGAUACGAUUUUUCUAAUGUAUCGUAUCAAAACUGAAAUUUUCCGAAUUCCAAGGAAAUGGAGUUUUUUCAAGUACUCCUUAUUCCUUCGAUAUUACUUGAACAUUUUAUACUUGAUUUCCAAGAUGAAAACUAAAUUUCUCCUGUACUUUGAAACCCCACUUGAGAGCCUUGAUUUAGAAUAAUUUGGGCUCGUUUCACGAGACUUUCUAAGAUUGUACUGUGGUAUGAUCUUCUUUAAUAGUAGGGGGUUUGUGAAUGAUAGUCUAUUAUUAUUUGCUCAGGCGCACACGAGAACCUUCAAGAGGAUCCCACAGUGAACGCCUAAAGCUCUGAGGGACAUUUCUUCCUCAUUACUUAUAUUGAUGAGUGUCAAGUGUAUGAAUACUUGAUACAUGCUUAAUUGUUAUGAUUGUUUGGAGAUUUUGAAAAUAGAGGCGAGUGUGUAUUUUACCGCACUCAUUCUUAUUUGAAAUAAAUGACUCAUGAUUCAAAUGUACUAAAUGAAUUAUGAAUGGCUUAAUUGAAUGAAAUGAGAUGAUUGAAUGAUUGAAUGAAAUGAAAUGGUAUGCUAUGGCUGCAUACGUCGUUGGAGUGAAUCUCCUUGACUCUCAAAUAAAAAUGGGGGACGCCCAAACUCAUAGGCCGAACUUGGACUCGAGCCGGCAUGGGAUUGGUCGGGAACCUUGGCAAGCCAUGAGAUAAAUAAGCUCGACCUAAUGAGAGGUCUUGCUUGGCAUACUCGUGGAGUAUCGCCUUAUAAAUGUCUUGCGGGCCCGGGAGGUGCACGGUGGACGGAGGGAAGUAAGUGGUGAUCUACGGAAUGGAAAUACCGACCCGGUUGACGGAGUGUCAUCGCGGGAAGGUAUACGAAUGAUAUUGGCAAAGUAAGUGGAAAUUAGCUUCUGAGAGCUCCGAUAUCCUUGAAUUGUUUCUGUUUACUUUUCCACUCGAAUUGUUAUUUAUUGCAAUAUUGUCGCUUUACUUGUUAAAUUGGGGUUGUUACUUGAACAAUGUGCUUACAUGUGUGUUCUUGGCCUCACGAGCGUUUUGCUCACCCUGUAGAUUUGUUUUCCUUAACAGGAUUUGGGCUUGGAGUGAGAUUCGGAGGAAUUUCUCUUUUGUGUACUCUUGUAAUAGGGUUCCAACUCUUUUGUCUAGACUUUUGGGAUAUUAUAUAUUUUGGGUUGUAUUAUGGAAACCCGCUAUAAGAAUUUGAUGAUUGUUAUAUCUCAUUAAGCUUGAACGCUUCCGCGUUAAUUGUAUUUAUCUUUUCUGGUUGUUGAUUUCUAGCACCGCUAUAAGCUUGAAUGGUGAUUGCUUGAGUCCUGACGAGAGUUGGGCAGGCGUUCCGCGGAUACCCUUUGGUUCGCCUUAGGGAGAAGUGGGGGCGUCACAGCUACUCUACUGUUGUACCAUGUAAUUGUAGUAUUACAUAUAUCAAAGCAUUUUCACACACUUUACAUGCACUAGGAGGAUUCGCACGGUGUAAUUUUCAACCUUGCCCAAAAAUGACCAAUUAUUCAAAUUUAGAUAUUAAGUAUGAAAAAUUAUAUAAAAAUGAACUUAAAUCUUUGUGGUUAUAUUUUUGUAGUUUUAUUAAACAAUGAAAAUAAGUAAUUUGUUAAGGUAAUGCAUGAUAAUAUAAUCAAUAGAUUACUGAGAUUAUUAAGAUGUCCCUUGUUUUGGAUACAAUGAAAAGAAAAUAAAAAAAAGAAAGAUAUAUUUGAGGAGAAACUGAUAGUUUUGUUCGUAAACUUUUGCAUGAUUGAGUUGGAUAAUCAUUUACUUGUCCUAGAAAUAAAAGAAAUUAGAGGAGAAAAAAUGAAGAUAGAUGAUCAUGCACUUUAGCUUGACAAAGUCCUCAUAUUGGCUCCUAUAACAUGGAAUAGCAAAUUUAUAACAUAAUUGAAGGGAAAAAAAAAAAAGAAAAGAAAAGUCGAGAAAUUUUCAUUGUUUGCUCCGACCUCAACAAAAAGCAACCAGUACUCAAGUUUCGCUUAAUCUGCAAAACAAAUAAGAUGGAACAUGUAAACUUAAACAUUUAUUUAAUUUUAAUUUUAUUUUAUUGUGUAAGGUAAGCUAAAUUUAUAAUAAAAAGGAAACAAAAAUUACAUUUCUUUGUACAUGCGGAAAGAAAUAGGAUAAGUGUAAGGAAGAAUCAUUCUCAAUCUAGAAAAAUUGGUGACUUUUGAGCAAAUAAAAAAAAUCAUGGCCAAAGUUUCUUACCAAUAUGAGAGUAACUAUCACAAAUUCGGUGAGUUCAAAGCAAAAGCCCAAAUAAGAAAAUGAAAAGAAAAGAAAGUCAAUGUCAAAAACCAGAAUUUGAGGGGAGAUCUCUUCGUGAUGGCAAUAGUUUCUUUUGUUCCUUUUUAAUAAGAGGAAAAGAGCAAAUUAGCAAUGCAAACAAAGCAAAUAUUAAAAUAACUAAUCUCUAAAGCAGAAAAUGGAGAGAAAAACGUCAAAAUUAUGGAAACUUAGUAAAUACUAAAACUUCUGGGCACUUAAGCGCUAUGGAGAUAAACAAACAUUUAGAUUUUUUAGAUUCCUAAAUUUCUAUCACAUAAAACAUUAGACAUCAAAGAAGUAAACAAAAUUUAGCCCAGGCAAUCAUCAACAAACAAAAACCUCUACAUUAUAUCUGUAAAUCAGAAUUCGACCAUAUUAAACUGUAUCAAAAAAAAAAAGAGAAAUUCCACCCGGCAUGAUAUGAAAACAACAUAUUUAAAAAACUCUUAUUAUUGCACAUUAAAUUUUUUCCCAAAAAUAAUUUAAAAAAUGCCUACAAAUGUCCUACAUCAUGCAACAAAGCACAAACCACAUAUAUAUGUAUGUGUGUAUGGAAAAAGCUAAAAAAUUAAAGGUCAGUAAUAUAAAAAAGAAUAGUCGAAGCAACUCAUGACAGGAUCCAAACAGAACAAACAGCUACGAACAAAUACAAAAAAGGUAUAGUGAUGCAAAUUUGGUAUAAAUUUAUCUUUAAUAUCUGCAUUAUCCCUUUAAUCAAUUCAAAUGUCCAUUUGUAUUGUAAGUAAGAAAAUCACAUAAAAGCAAGAUACCAAGUGUCGGACAAAAUCUAUGUUAAGGCUAGAAGAACCACCUAUUGAUAACACCUUCGAGGGCUGCUGGAAUAAGAAUAUCACAGUCUUCAAGCAAAAUAGAAUUGGGAUCAACACUGUCAGCACCCCUCCAUGGUUUUCCCUGACAUGCUUCCAUAGGUUUGGUACGUCAAUUCCCUUACCGUGCUGCUUUAUGGCUCCUGUUAUAUCACUUGCGCGAAUUACCUUUUCCCCUUGUUCACUGAUAAGUUGAGCAGCCCAGGAUCCGACAUUACCAAAUCCCUGAAAUCAAGAAGAAAAUUCUAUGAUCAUAUGACAUUCGAUAAUUUUUGACUUUUUAACUCGCUCUCUCUUCUCACGAGUCAUGAGACAUUUUGUGAUGUAACUUCUAAGUCCUCAAGGAAGGCUCUUUGAAUGAGCUUGUAGUUUCAACAAAAUGCAUCCCACAGUAUUUGAGCAUAUCAGAAACUAAAGGUACACUUGAAACUACAAAUGCAUCCCACAGUAUUCGAACAUAUUAUAAACUGAAGGUACACUUCCCAGUGGUGCUACUUGUACAACAAAUCAUUGCCUAGCGAUACUCUUUCCAUAUUCAUUAAGCAGCGCUUUAGUUGCAAAGAGUACUCCCCUCCCUGUUGGUGCAUCUCUGCCGAGGGAUCCACCAAGAUCAUGUCACCCAAGAAUUUGAAUAUCUUGCGAUAAAUAAAAGUUGAAAUUUUUUGAGGUUCAAAAUCUUAGAAAUCAAAGAAGCACAUUGAUCCUUAUACAUUUGGAAUUGGAUAAUUUACUACAGGUUUUCCAGUUACUAUUGCAGGUGAAUAGCCAUGAAAUUUAUAGUACUCAUCCAAGCCAUUGUCCGCUCAAAUGCGAGACAUUUCCAAUCCAGUUAAUUGGAUGAGCUUCAUAGACAAUGUUGUGUUUAUCACUAUAUUUUUCUCCAAAAACAAAAAUGUCACCUAGAUAUGUACUCCAAUCAUAUCAUACUGUUGAAAACCAGUUUUGCACUGACCUGUGCAUUUGUUCCCAUAUCAGGCGCAGGAACAUCAGUGUGAACUCUAAUCAAAUUAUUCUUAGUGCUGCUAGUGUAACUCAAAAUUUUGGUCAAUGACUAACUUGGCAUGGAAGUUCUAGAUUCCCAGAGGAGAAAUGUAUUAAUUCAUCAAGUGCUGAAAACCAAUGAAGAAAAGGGAACUGGAAGAACUAAAGCAAAUAGAAAGACAUUUUAAAGAUGAAAAAAUCUAUUUUAAACAACUGAUCUUUUUAGUUAGCAUAUGGAUUGCUUUUUCUGAGCAGGAGAUCAACAAAACACCUGCAUGAAAGACACCAAAAAAAUGACUAAAACGAAAACUCGAAAAGAGAAAAUGCCAAAGAAAAUGGCUAAAAAGAAAAGCAUAACAUAAUAAAGAUAACAUAAUAAUAAUUAAUACAGCUAGAGCAUAGCAUAAGCAAUUAUUACAAUAAAUAAAAAAUAAUAAUUAAUAAUUGUGAUUUAUUUGGCAACCAAAAAAAGCAUUGAUAAUUGUGAAUAAUUGGGAUACCAAUUUUUUGUUAACACAAUUUAUUGUUGGGAAAGGGAAAAAAAAGGCUAAAUUUUAGCACAAUCCUACAUGCAAUUAGAAAACUACCACCUCCCAUCCAAUCAAAACUCGCCACAUCACCAUCUUCAUAAACAAUUGGGAGGACUACCACCAAUGAACGAAUCAGAGGGCAACAACUCAUCAAAUUAGAAUCAAUUGGAGGACUACCACCAAUCAGCCAAUGAGAGAAUGCCAAGUCAGCAAUUGAGUUCAAUUAGAGACAAUUGCAUUCACACAUAGACUAUGUAUGUUAAUAACUAUUCAAUAUAACAUUUAACCGGUAACAUAUAAUAUUAAUGUGUGGCAAUGGCAACUUGUAGUUCAUGACAUUUAUUAUCAUACAUAAGGAGUUGCAAGAAUAUAAAUCAUUUCAUAGAUAUUCAUAAUUCAUAAUUUCAUAUACAAUCACAAUCCAAUUAUAUUGAUCUGUUCAAACCCGUUUACUAAUAACCCGUUCAAAUUCACCCAUUAAAAUUUAAACGGGUCUAAGUGAGUACGUAAUUAAAUUCAUUUGAUUGGUGGAUAGUUGAUUGAUUGGACUGACCCAUUUAUACUCAUUUAAAAAUAAAUAUACAUUUAAACUCCAUUUUUACUAAAUGUUAAAAAGAUAAAUUUGAAUUUUCUAUUAAUCUAAUAAUAAUAAUAAAAUAUUAUUUUUUUCUUGUUAAACGACAUGCGAAAAAUUAAAAAAAUAAGUAGAAUUUCAAAUCAAUGAUAAAUGGGAAUAUUAACUAUUCCCGAAAUCAUUUCCUCCCUACGCUUAAUUCAUGCGCGUGUGGCCUCCAGUGUCCAUUUUCCCUUACGGUUCACUACAUUAAUCAUCAGUGUACGUGCACGUGCCUAUUUCUGAGCACGUUCCUAUGGUAGGCACGGUCAAACCGUGCCUGCCAUAGAAUGAUCCCCACACGCAUCCCUCAUCAGUCCCGUCCAUACUUCUUCUUCAGGUCUCAGCUACUAAACAAUAAACUCUGCUCCACUCAACUCUUUCCUCUGUCUUGUGUUUUUGUCGGAAAAUGGCGGCGUCAGAUGAAGUGAAAGUGCCAAGAAUCAAGCUGGGCUCGCAAGGUCUUGAAGUUUCAGCUCAAGGGCUGGGCUGCAUGGGCAUGUCAGGCUCCUACGGGCCGUCAAAGCCCGAGCCUGAUAUGAUCAAACUCAUCCACCAUGCUAUUAGCAGAGGUAUCACCCAUCUUGACACCUCCGAUAUCUAUGGACCUCACACCAACGAAAUACUCAUUGGCAAGGUACCAUAUUUGCAAAUUUUCUGCUGUUGUGCGCUAUGCAUAAACUCUUGUACUUUUAAUUUCUUAAAGAGCAUAUUUGUAAAUAUUUUAUUUAUACUUAACCCCCUGCACUUCAAAACUUGUCUCCCUUUGUGCCCCCUUAAUUUUGCUUGUCAGCACUUAAACUCCAUUUGUUUAAAUUGUAAGUAUUAUUAGUCAAAUAGGACAUUGUUCUUCUUUUCUGCUUCUUCAUUUUUUCAUGUUACUGCUUUUUCAGUUUGUCCUCCUUUAUAAACAUGGAAUGAAUUACUUUGACUUUGAUUUUGGUGCAAUUUUGUAUCAAAUGAUUUUUGCUAUGAAGUUAUUGAUUUAUUAUGAACUAUGCGUUGUAUAUUUACACAAAUUCUGCUAGUUAAACAUUCAUUUGAGCAGGCAACAUGAGUAAUAUAAUUCUCUAUGGGUGCAUUUGGUAAAUUUGAAGUUUGAAAACUGAAAUUUAAUCUAAAGUUUGAAUCCAUAAAGUUAUUAAAUUGUUAAAUACUAAAUCUGAUACGUUUGAGUGCAUGUCACACUAAAUGAUAAGUGAACAACUCUAUCACUUAUUUUUGGAGUAAGUGUUGCUUAAGAAAUUCAGUGUCAUUUAAUUAAUUCAAAUAUUCAAAUUUGAUUUUAAAUGCUUCUGAACAUAUUAAGAUCUGAAUUCAUUAACUUUAAGUGCUAAAUUAGUUGUCAAGCAGGGCCUAUAAUUAUUAGGUAACCAAGCAAACGUGUUUAGGGUAUAAUAGUAAUUAACUUUCAAUUCGUCUCGUUGUUCUUUGGUAAGGAAUUCUUUGAUUCAUUUAAUAAUAUUUUUCUCGUACACAGGAAUCAAAAUAAUUGAAGUUUUAUCUCUACCAUUGAGAUAUGUUACCUUCUAAAAGAAAGGAAAGGGAAGCAAACAAGGGCGGAAAAUAGGAAAGGGCAAAGUGAUGAUAAAUAAAAUUGGAAGUAGCAAAAUGAGACAAGUGAAUUAUUACAAGGGGUUAAGUGUAAAUUAUAUUUAUUUUAUUAGACUAUUUAACCAAAAAGACUAGACUCUUUUAAGGCACCAAUCAAAAGUCCCAACUGCUGGAAAUAACAUAAAAACGACUUUGUUUGGUUUGGCGUUUUUGGAGGUGGUUCAUGAAAAUUUUAUUGUAGUUUUUUUUUCUUUCUUGAAAAAAUAUACUUGUAAGAGAAAAAAAAAGUGGUUGAAAAAUAUUGAGAGUUUUUUUUUAUAAAUAGUUUUCUAUAUAGCUCAGUCACCCAAAUUUUUCAAUAUUCCGACAAUGGCAUCCAUGUGGUGUCAAUUGUCAAACGUGCAACAAAGUUGAGAAGAGAAGGAUUUCAAAAUCUUGUAGCUACACGCGUAUAUGUUGAAUAGCUCUAUCCCAUUAGAAGUAGCCACGUGACAUGAAGGAUUUAGAACUUUUCUACCAUCUCUUUAUUUUCUCUUUUUUUUCCCUUCAAAAUUCGACGUCAUAAUGAAAUUGGUAUUUUUGUCCUUGAAGUUAAAACUUUCAUCAAUUAAUGGAAAGUUUACUAUUUCUCUGAUAAGAGAGAGUAAGUUUUAAAGAUUAUGAAAAGAGAAUUGUAUGAAGGAAUAGAAGGGAAAAGAAAGGUAAGAAAAUGGACGGAUUGUGUUUGGAUUGAUUUUGAGAGGGGAAAGGAGAUGAAACGGAAAGAAAAGGAAAUGGAUGGAUUUUGUUUUGCUCAGACAUCAUUUCCAUACAAAAGUAGACGGAAACAGAGGGAAAGAAAAUCUAUUGACAGGUGCCGAACCUGUACAAUAAUAAAUACCUACUCGAGAAAAAUACAGAUUUUGUAUAUAGCGGUGAGUAGGGUCGAAUCCACGGGGACUGGGGAUAAUUCGUUUCUUCUAGAGUCCAAAGUAUGGGGGGUUUUGGAUUGAAUGCUAACUAAAUAAAUUAACUGCAGAAAAUAAUUGAUUAAGAGAAAUAAUUAAGGGAAAACUCUAGCCAAGGGUACACUUCAGACAUGGUUCAGACACUGAUCAUUGAUUCACACAUAAUUCCACAUUUAUUAAUAGACCAGUUAUAGUUGUCAUGCACGCGAUAAACAACCAACCUUUCCUUAAUUUCUCGAUAGUUAAGGUACGACCGUUAACUAUUUCUCUAACCCAAAAACAACCCUAGGUACGACCGUAGGAUUUAAUUUCUAGAUUGCAUUAAUAAUUAGAAAGGCCCAAUCCUAACUAACAAACACGCUACGGGGGUUUGUUUAAGUUAGAUCGUAUGCUCCCCUGACAUAAACCCAAUUACGCCAGUUGCUACUGAGAUAAAGAUAACGAACAAUUACGGAUUCAAUUAUCCCUAUUUAGCAAAAUAGCCUAUGUGAAUAAUUAAAUAUUGCGCAUCUAUUCAAUCACUCACACGAGCUAUAGCAAUUAAAAGCAGGAAACAUAUAAAUAUAAAUAAAUUAAGGAAGCAAUUAAAAUAAAUUAGAUCUCACAGUAAUUGUUGAACCAAAUCUUCAGUUGUCCCCUUGACUUGAAUUAAGAGGUUAGUUCUCCAUUAAUGGAGAACAACCAUGCGAAAGAGCUAAGAAAAGAAAACUCAAAACUCAACUAAAAACCUCAAACUAGUGAUUCAUUCCUCCCCGUUCUCUUGUACGUUUCUCCCUUUUUAAAGCCAAAAGGAAGUCUAAUGCUAUCUCUAGUGGUCCCCACACCAAAUUCAAAGUCUUGUACGUUUCUUUUCCUAGAGUCCAAAUGAUUCAUGCUUCUUAUCCGUGGUCCCCGCACAUGUGGACAAAGCCUUCCAAGUACUUCUUGUUCCAAGUCUCUUUCCGUAGCUUUCUUUGAAGAGCCCAAAUGACUUAUUAGCUUUUCACUAGCUUGUGGUCCCCACCACUCCAAGGGCCCAAGAAUUGAAGUCCUUAGAAGUCUCCCUAUUUUCCAUAAAGUCCUUCCUUUUUGGUAGUUUCCUGCAUCAUUCCUGAAAUUAAGUCCAGAUACCAAAUAUGAGUAAAUAUUAGCAAUUAACACAAUAUUUAUCAGGGAUGAAAGGGGAAAUUAAUAAUAAAAUUACUAACAAAUUAUACCCUAUCAAUUCCCCCCACACCUGAAUCAUGCUUGCCCUCAAGCAUGGGAAAAAUUCAACUCAACAAUGGCUAGCUUUCACAUUAUCAUAGCCAGCUGUGCUUAUACCCAAAAUCAAGAUCUAGUAACAAAGUGUCAAGACAUGUCUCUCCCGGUUAGCUCCUAAGUUCAUAGACUUGUCCAAUUCAUGGCUAAUUCGCUUAGGAAAUCCAAAUACUAACUAGCAACAGUCAAUAACUAAGUCAACUGGCAACCAAAAUCUCAACAAUACGAACCAAGGAUCGGCAGGCUAACAUGAUCAUAAACUCACAUAUUCUCCACAUCUGAUUUUCUCUUCUUUUUUUUUUCUUCUUUUUUGUUUGAUUUCCCUUUUUUUUCUUUUCUUUUUUUUUUUUCCUUUUUCUUCCCUUUUUUUUUUUUGGAUUGCUUAGUCCCGAGCUGUUUAAAUCUUUUGACGUGAACUCUAACAUUUUUAGAUGAAAGAGCCCAGUUACUUAACUUUUCACUGCUCCAGGACCACUUACUCAUAGAUAUCGCCACUUUUUGACGCGAGAGCCGACACUUGUGGUGAAGACUCCCGGUUACUGGGUGGCGACACUAGCGGAGUAUAGCCAUACGUUAUUCACCAAUAAACACCAAAAUAUCAAGUAAUUAAAGAUCAUAGCCUGCGUCAUGUCCUAAAUAUGGAGAACUAAGGUAGACAGGAGACCAAUCCACACAACAAUGCCAGCCAAAUAUUUACAUUGCCUAAACAAGUUAGCCAUAAAUUGCACCAAGUCGUUAAACUCAAAAAAAAAUUCACCAAGACAGCAUGCUCUUACUUGCCAUCGAAACUCAAUUCAUAGUGUAAACUACAACUAGCAAUAAAUAAAUGAGCUGCCAAAAUAUUCACCAAGAUAACAGCAAGGGAAAAAUACCCAAAAGGGAUAAAGGAACAACACCUAAACAGAAAACAAGAGGAAAACAAUAAUAAAAAAAUGAAAAACUGAAAAUAUCCAGCACCCAAACUGACCCCCCCACACCUAAAAUGACGCAUUGACCUCAAUGCGAAAAGAUAAUAGCAGAAAAAGGGAAGGGGCAACGGUACUUCCCUGAAGUCGUCCAGACAAGGGAGGGUUAGGCGGAAACGGCGGAGGGAAACCGGCUUGCUGCAUAAAUGCCGCUAUACUCUGUGCCAUGCCGGCGACAUUAGUGUCAACAGUGACCAUCCGAGCCUUCAAAGCCUACGUUUCUGAAGCCUUUAUUGGGCCACAUAAAACGCGAUUGAAAACGCGCCUUCAACUCGCGUUUUCUAAGUCGCGUUUCCUUCACAAAACUUGCAGGACUUAAAACGCGAUUGAAAACGCGCCUCUAACUCGCGUUUUCUGAGUCGCGUUUCCUGCACAAAACUUGCAGAAAUGAAAACGUGACUGCAAAAAGCGCCUCCCACUCGCGUUUUCUGAGUCGCGUUUCCUGCACAAAACUUGCAGAAAUGGAAACGCGACUGUGCAGGUAAACGCGACUUCAAGUCGCGUUUUUGAAUCUUGACCCCUUCCUGCACUUUAUCACGCGGGCGCGUCAAGAGGAAAUGCCACCUACAUAUUAGCAACAACGAAAACUGAAACCCAAAAUCAGUCGAAUUCAAGGGAAAUAUAUUUAAACUAUCACACGAAAUCAAACAAACAAUUAAAAGAAACAAUUGGGUUGCCUCCCAAGUAGCGCCUUUCUUUAAUGUUUUUGGCUAGACAUGCUAUGCUUGUUCACGGGGGAUAAAAUCUUGUGGCUCGUUUCAAUGCUUCAUCUUCAAUAUGAUCCUGGUAACCCUCAUAGAUGGAGUAAUCUUUGAGCACACGAGUUACGGGCUUCCAUGGACUAGUAAAUGGCGUUAAACAAGUCAACAAUGAUCUGCAUUCUCCACUCACUCCUCCACCACACGCAUUCAUCGGUUCAAGAUAUUUUUUCAUUGCCACUCUUAACUUAUUCCUGUCAUGAAAUUUCAGAUUUUCUGGUAUAAUAAAAUCAAUUUCAGUAACAGGAAUUGAAGAGGAGGAAUUAGGAAAAUAUUGAUUAAGGAGUGGAGAAGAUGUCACCGCAUUUGGAAAUUGUUCACUGGAUUCAUUCACUUGAAUAAUUUGAUGUUGGAGUCUCAUGUCUUCCGCUUCAACUUCCUUUUCAACUGUAUCUUUGGAUCCUCCUUCUUGAGACUCUUGCAGUUCCAUAUCACUUGUCAGGAUAAUUGCACUCUCACCUUUCUUAGAGUCAUUGAUGGUCUGUGAGGGCAAGUCUGACAUGAAUGACGAUUGUUGAGACUCUUGCAGCUGAAAACUCAUUGGCCCCUCUUCAUAAUUAACGUUGGAGUUAUCCCACCAUCCUUGAUCAUACCGGUUUGAAUAAGGGUCAUACCACGUUUGAGAUCGAGGUGAAGAAUCUCCAAAUUUUUUUUUGAGAUAGUCACUCAGGUAGUCUUGAUAUUCGGGGCACAUACCGGUUGAAUGAUCCCUGGCAUAACAAAUUUCACAGGUUGCAGCAGCCAUUCUUUCUCUAACAGAGUUUAGUGCCUCUGCAUAUGCAGACCUCACAAAAAAACUAGCCUCAUUACCUUCCCCGGAAAUAAAAUCCAGUAUAUCACCAAAAUACGGAGUGUAAGAAACCAUAAACUAAAUAAAAAAAAAGAAUGUAAACAAGAUGAAUUGAAAAAGAAACAAAUAACUAGCGCCAGUCCCCGGCAACGGCGCCAAAAAUUGACAGGUGCCGAACCUGUACAAUAAUAAAUACCUACUCGAGAAAAAUACAGAUUUUGUAUAUAGCGGUGAAUAGGGUCGAAUCCACAGGGACUGGGGAUAAUUCGUUUCUUCUAGAGUCCAAAGUAUGGGGGGUUUUGGAUUGAAUGCUAACUAAAUAAAUUAACUGCAGAAAAUAAUUGAUUAAGAGAAAUAAUUAAGGGAAAACUCUAGCCAAGGGUACACUUCAGACAUGGUUCAGGCACUGAUCAUUGAUUCACACAUAAUUCCACAUUUAUUAAUAGACCAGUUAUAGUUGUCAUGCACGCGAUAAACAACCAACCUUUCCUUAAUUUCUCGAUAGUUAAGGUACGACCGUUAACUAUUUCUCUAACCCAAAAACAACCCUAAGUACGACCGUAGGAUUUAAUUUCUAGAUUGCAUUAAUAAUUAGAAAGGCCUAAUCCUAACUAACAAACACGCUACGAGGGUUUGUUUAAGUUAGAUCGUAUGCUCCCCUGACAUAAACUCAAUUACGCCAGUUGCUACUGAGAUAAAGAUAACGAACAAUUACGGAUUCAAUUAUCCCUAUUUAGCAAAAUAGCCUAUGUGAAUAAUUAAAUAUUGCGCAUCUAUUCAAUCACUCACACGAGCUAUAGCAAUUAAAAGCAGGAAACAUAUAAAUAUAAAUAAAUUAAGGAAGCAAUUAAAAUAAAUUAGAUCUCACAGUAAUUGUUGAACCAAAUCUUCAGUUGUCCCCUUGACUUGAAUUAAGAGGUUAGUUCUCCAUUAAUGGAGAACAACCAUGCGAAAGAGCUAAGAAAAGAAAACUCAAAACUCAACUAAAAACCUCAAACUAGUGAUUCAUUCCUCCCCGUUCUCUUGUACGUUUCUCCCUUUUUAAAGCCAAAAGGAAGUCUAAUGCUAUCUCUAGUGGUCCCCACACCAAAUUCAAAGUCUUGUACGUUUCUUUUCCUAGAGUCCAAAUGAUUCAUGCUUCUUAUCCGUGGUCCCCGCACAUGUGGACAAAGCCUUCCAAGUACUUCUUGUUCCAAGUCUCUUUCCGUAGCUUUCUUUGAAGAGCCCAAAUGACUUAUUAGCUUUUCACUAGCUUGUGGUCCCCACCACUCCAAGGGCCCAAGAAUUGAAGUCCUUAGAAGUCUCCCUAUUUUCCAUAAAGUCCUUCCUUUUUGGUAGUUUCCUGCUUCAUUCCUGAAAUUAAGUCCAGAUACCAAAUAUGAGUAAAUAUUAGCAAUUAACACAAUAUUUAUCAGGGAUGAAAGGGGAAAUUAAUAAUAAAAUUACUAACAAAUUAUACCCUAUCAAUCUAGUUCAUGAUUUUCUAGUAAAAUGCCUCAAGCACCCAAAAUUUUACGUAAACUUGAGUAAGCAUGUAUUUCAUAUCUGUAGAACUUGCCAUUUGUGAAACCUGCUUUAGAUAUGAAUUGUGGUAUGCAACAGCACGCUAGGAAUGUUUGGCUAAGCAACUUAUGUAAAUAUUUUAUCGUUAAGCAAAGUUCCUCCUUUCAUGUCUGUCAUUCUAUGCAAACCUCCUUUUAUCGUUAAGCAACUUAUGUAAAUAUUUUAUGUAAAUAUUUUGGUUUUCUUACUUUCCCAUCCAUAUCUAAUCCAAAUAUGACAAAUGAGAACUAUUUUCCUCUACUCUCCUUUCCUUUCUUUUUUACUAGGAUGUUUUAUUUAUUUAUUUAUCCUUUCCUUUGAUCCAAAUGGUUCCUAAAAGGGCACUAAUUAAUCUACAUUGAUCAGUUCCCUAUAUUUGUAUUAAUGUGCAUGUACACGAUUCUGUGAAUGACAAUUAGGCUAGAUUGCUUCAAAUCUUGUGAAUGACAGAGCUAGAUUGUAAAUUUAAGUUGAAGAAAUAUAAAACAAAAAGAAAAAGAAAAUGGAUUGGCUCCUUUAAGAGUAUCAGACUUCUAAACCCCAAGGAUUACAUAAUUUUCAUAUCCUUUGCCACACAAAGAAGUGGCAUAGCCUUAACAAUGAAGUGUUGGAAAAACUCCAGAAGGACUGUGCAAUCCAUGAAAUCACAAAAUCCGCUUGCUAUACCAUGCAUUAAUGUGUAUGUCCUUGAUGAUUAACAUAAUGAAAUCAUGGUUCUAGGCCUUGAAGGAAGGAAUAAGAGCGAAAGUGGAGCUAGCAACAAAAUUUGCAAUCAGUUAUCAGGAUGGGAAAUUUGAUGUAUGUGGUGAUCCAGCCUAUGUGAGGGCUUGUUGUGAAGCGAGUUUGAAGCGGCUUGAUGUGGACUGCAUUGAUCUCUAUUAUCAACAUCGCAUCGAUACACGUGUGCCCAUUGAAGUCACGGUUUGCUCCAUUUUGCCUUUCUUGUUUUUUAGCUCCACCUCAUUCUUGAUGAAACAAAAGUUUGAUCAACUCCAAAUUUAGAAUAAUUCAGUUUCAUGUCCGUUUCAAUUCUUCAAAAAUUGCACAGAAAAGUUAGUCAACCUUAUGGUCUAGGCUAAUCUGCAGUAUGGUAUUGCUGAAUUAGCACAAGGCAUCCUGAAAAGUGAAAACAAUGAAAAUGUCUUAUAUUAGCUUGACAGUCCUGCUGAGGGAUAUACAGGUUGAUAUCAUGCUAUACAUUAUACAGCUUUCGUUUAGAACCAAGAGACCUGAGCAUUCUUUUUCAUUUGAGAUAGGCUAUCCAGUUGAGAUAUACUAUUUACUUACCUUGUCAAUCGUUUUCAGUCGGUGCCAAAAGCACUGCAGAUAGACGUUUUUUAGUCAAUAUCUAAAAACAUGGUACUCAUUUUGUUCAGAGUAUAGCUUUUUGUCUAAUUGUGAAAGCCAACUGCAACUGCCUCAUUGACCUCUCCAAGCAAUUCAAAGAUUUCAGCAGCUUGCUUACAUUAAGCUUUUAUGAAACGAUUUCUCUGUCUUCUUUUUCUCAUGUAGUCAGCAAAGAAUUGUCUUGUUUUCCCUGAGUAUUAGGAAGAAACUUUCUUGCAGUUUAAUCACUCAAAAUACAGGCAAGUAUAAAGGAAAUCAAGCAAAAUUGGCAACUGAUAAUUGCUGCGUACAGCCAUUAUUAUAUAUAUAAGUCAACAAUGUCAUGUAAUCAUAUUGGAGGAGCAUUAUGUUGGCAUGGUCCAGUAGAACUAAGUCAUCCGUUGGGCUGUACAUAGAGAACUAUCACUGGAUGCUUAUUGCCAUUUUCAUCAACUAGGGAUUUCAGUUUGACGUAUACUUUGUCCAAGACUUCGUUGAACUAGUGCAACUUUUACUUGUUCCACGUAAUAUUUCGAUUAUCUGCCUAAGUAUUGAAUGUAAUAAAUCAGCUUCGCAUCUUCUUGUCCAUUGAAAUUCUCUAGAUUGGAGAGCUCAAGAAACUGGUUGAAGAGGGUAAAAUAAAGUAUAUAGGUCUGUCUGAGGCCUCAGCUUCAACAAUUCGAAGAGCACAUGCUGUUCAUCCAAUAACAGCUGUACAGUUGGAGUGGUCAUUGUGGACCAGAGAUGUCGAGGAAGAGAUUAUUCCCGCUUGCAGGUAGUGCGUAUAUUCUGCUGCAUUUUCUACAUGGUCUAGAAGAAAUAUGAAGUUCUCAAUUCAGUUUUUGGUAUAAUCUUUCAGAGAUCUUGGCAUAGGGAUUGUUGCAUAUAGUCCACUUGGACGAGGUUUCUUCUCAUCAGGUCCAAAGCUGAUCGAGAAUUUGGCUGAAGGUGACUUCCGAAAGGUUUGUGCAUAGCCAAAAAGAUUGUUUAUAGUUCGAAUAAGUUUCUCACUCAGUGGCAAUCUUGCUUGAUCACAUUUAAUCAAAUUUCUAUUAAGCAUAGCAAUUCAACGGGUUUUUUUUUGUUUUCUUCUUGAACAAGUCUUGAACUCUUUAGUUUGAUUCAAUGAAUGCAGAUUUUGGUGUCCUCGGUACUUAGUUCAAAUUAAAAGAUAUAGCACUAGCUUUGUCAAAUUUUAGAUCUUAUAUGAAUUGAAGGUUGUUAUUGCAUGCUGGAAAUUUAUAUAGAGGACAACAAUCGCAAGCAAUGGAUGGUAUUGAAUUUUAAAGUGCAAAGACGUCCUAAGAUGUCAAAACAGGAAGAAACUAUGCCAGUUUUUAAGUAAAAGUCUCUUUACUGUUUUGAGGGGAAAUGGGCCUUAGACUUCAAUUUCAUCAUUUAGUCUCAGGCACAGAACUUAUGUUGUCUUGUGAAACUAUCAUUUUUCUUUUACCAUUAAUCCUAAAACUGAGUUUCAUUGGUCAGAACUCAGAAGUAUACUUCAUAGUUGAUUUGUAUUUUAAGUUUCCUCUUUGAUGGGAAAUAUAUCUCAGAACUUAACUCCAACAGUUGAUGAUUCCUACUUGGGAGUAUUCAGUCCACCUUGAUGCAUUGUUCUUUCCCCUGAACUUGUGCCCUUCAAACAAUAUUUCUGAUCAUCUUGAAGUAAUUAGUACCGUCUGUUCAUUACUCCCUUCUGAUUUCUUGCAUUAUAGUUUCCUCUUUAAUGGGAAAUGUAUCGCAGGAUCUACCUUCUACAAUUGAUGUUUCUUUCCCCUGAAGUUAUUCGUAACGUCUUCUGGCAUUAUAGUUGCUUAAAUUUUGAAAUUCAUACAAUGCAGUAUAUGCCAAGGUUUCAAGCAGAGAAUUUGGAGCACAACAAGAACUUGUACGAGCAGGUCAAUGCCAUUGCUUCAAGGAAGGGUUGUACUCCAUCACAGCUAGCACUGGCCUGGGUCCAUCACCAAGGCAAUGAUGUUUGCCCCAUACCGGGCACUACCAAGAUUGAGAACCUCAAUCAGAAUAUAGGAGCUUUGUCUGUAAAACUGUCUGCAGAGGAAAUGGCGGAACUUGAAUCCAUCGCUUCUGCAGGAGUCAAGGGUGAUAGGUAUGGGCCUGGCCUUGUUACUUGGCAAACUUCUGAAACUCCACCUUUGUCAACCUGGAAGAGGACAUGAAGACAUAUCUUUGUUAUGGCAAUAAUUCCUUCUAGCUAUGUGCCUGAGGGUGGAUUUCAGUAUAUUGACAGUUGAGUGACGUAUUUGUUCCAAUAAAUUUCGUCAUACUAUUGUCUCGAGGUUUUAGGCAAGUAAAGUUAUAAGAAGAAUGCGUUAAAGGUUUCUUCAGAGGUUGUACUGAAUAAAAAUCUGAUCAUGUAAAAAUAGAACAUAAUUUUCCUUGCAGUUGAAUGCGUUAAAGGUUAGCUAUUCUAGUUUUGAAUGCUAUAGCAGUCCAUUUCUUAUAUGCUACACUGUUACAAGAGAUAUAGACUGUCGAACAGCAUUUUAUGGUCGGAAUGUUUACAUCAAAAGCAUCUCCAAGGACAUGUCAUUCUAAAGUGUAUAAACUACAUCAUACCAACAAAAAGCAGAAAAAGGCCUAAGGUAUGGGAUAUUUCUAAAAUUUCAUGGGAGGCUUGUGAUAGCAAAAACUUCUGAAAUUGUCCCUUGAACUAAACUGAAAGACAGACAAUGGUAAGAUUUUAAGCAUGUCUUGUUAAGUUAAAAGGUUAAAACUUUACAUACAAAUAAAUGGUCAAAUUCACUUUAAAAUUGUGGUGUCAUCUUCCACCUUAAACUUUUGUACUAUCCAAGUUUGUUUUAAUUCCUUUGGGAAAAUGAAACAUCGAAUGCAUUCAAAAAAAUGGAAAGGAAAUGGCUUACCUUUGCACUUACGUAUCCAAUUCCAAUUUGAACAUUACAUCAUCCAUCCAAUUGAAAACAAACUCCUAUGGAGAUUUUUUUUUUUCCUUUAUUUUGUUAUUAGAUCUGAAUUUAUUUCACAUUUGGUUGUCAGAUCUAAAAUUUUUUUCAAAGUUUGAAUCUAUUUCAAUAUAUUUCAUUAUCAUUAUUGAAACUUAAAACAGUUUAUUAACAAAUCUGGCGAUUGCCAUAUGUACGAAAGGGAGACACUUUUAAAAUUCUUUAUAUUUUUUUAGAUCUGUUUGUAAUUUUCAAUUCUACUGUAUCUGUUAAAUUAUGAUCUGUAAUUUUUAAUGCAUGUUUGACCUACCAUUAGGGGAGUUAUGUAAAUCAAAUCAUGUUAGAUGAUUUCCAAAAAAAACUUAACCGUUAAUUUCUCUUCCCCGUUUUAUUUGUCCACUCUUCAAUUGUCAAUAACUCUUUUAAGAUACUUUGUAAUACAAAAUCAACUAAAACCGGUAGAAUCUGUAAUUAAUAGCAGUAUUCAUAUCAUGUUUUUGUAUAUUACUCGUACAUCUAAUUAGUCACAUUUGGAGAAAGAAAAAAAAAAGAUGAAAAUAAAAUUCCCCGAAUUUUGUGGUUUUUUUUGGUGCCUUGUUUAAUCUCUAAUUUUGUUUUUUGGGUUUUUAUUUUAAUCGAUUUUGGUUAUAGAGAUUAAGUUUCUCAGCCCGAUUAAUCGGUUAAUUAAUUAAACAUGGUUUGAGUUGGGUUGGUUUAGAGAUUUGGUUUAUAAAAGGACACUUGGCAAGUUUAGAAGGGGUGGGAUAGGGAAUGAGACAGGGUGUGAUACAGAGAUCCGUUGCGCAUGGCGAGCCACAUUUAAAAAUUGGUUCCUACCAUAAAGCCUAUCAUGUCCUGACACAAGAUGGACUGUUUUUUUAAAUUUUUUUUGAAAGCAAGUGAAAAGUGUUGCAACUCAGGACUUGGAUAGUAAUUUUAAAAUUUAAUAGUGCACCUACCUUUUAACUUUUUUCGUGUGCUUUUAAGGUAUCAAAUGGGGAAAAAAACCAAUACCAUAUAACUUCAAAUGCAAGAUGGUACGAAAUUUGUUAAUAUGGAGAUGUUAAUAUACAUUGACAUGUAAAAAGUGCACUUUUAUCAAAAAGAUAUUUAUACUAAUAUUACAGUCAUUUUUUUUUCGAAAAUUCAACUUUUCAUGCAAAUAUGUAAUCAAUAUGCAUAAAUAGAUAGCAUUAGAUGAAUUUAAACAAGUAGCCUUCAAAUUUAAAAAUAUUUGAUUUCGUAAAUGUGCAUUCGCGAUUUAGAAAAAGUACUUUUCAAAUGGCAAAUCUAGAGAGCAAUAAAUACUCCUAGUUUAUUUUGAUUUUAAAUCUUCUUUUGACUUGUCAAAAAAGUGAAAACAUGAAACUAAUAAUGGGUCAGAUGCAGAUGAGUAUUAGAAAUUUGUUUUCUAGACUCUUUGGUCUCGCAAUUUUUUCAACAAUCAACUCCGACCAUUAUCACGGUCAUGUGAUUGUAGGUCUACCAGGUUUCGUAGUCCACGACAUGGAUUGGAUAUGUUGAUUAGCUGCCACCUUUUGGCGGAGGUGAGGUUCAAACCUCACCUGUAGUAAAAAAAAAAAAUUUAAGGGUUGUGUCAUAGUACUUUCUUGAUUUAGUUGAAUAUGUAUAUCCACUAACACCUAACACAAGUCUCCUUAUGCUCCCCUAGAUUAGGAUAGAAUAGGAUAUACAAUUGUAUCGUUGCCGAAAAAAAAUAUUAGUUGCCACCCUAUUGUCAUUAUUUUUCUUUUGUCAAUCAGCAACGUCUAUUCUAUUCAUAGUUAUUAAACCCGGCCCGGGAAGGAGUCCGGUGAAAGAGCUGAGUCAACGGGUUACUGGUUUAACCGGUGGGUGAGUGGUCCAACCGUUAGGUCACUACAUAUAUUUAAAUAUUAUGUUUUAUAAUUUUUUACGCCAUAAUAAAUAUUCAGUUAGUUUAAUUUAUUAUAGAUUCAUUAAUUUUUAUAAGAAUUAACAACCUAAAUUUAAUUAGUAAUCCACCAACUUUCAAGUAUAAAAUUUUAUCUCAGUGUAAUUAUCUAGUUUAUUUAUGAAUUUUAAGUGCAAAAGUUUAUUAAGAAUAAUAUUGGCCUUUAAAAUGAUUUGUGUAAUAUGUUAUUUUUAAGUCAAUUUCAUAAUUUAUAGAGUUCAGGGAAUAAUAAAAAUAUUAUUAAAAGAUUCCAAAUAACUAAUACUCUAAUAUAUAGUAUAAGAACAAAAUAAUUAAUAUAUGGUUGGCUGGUCUAGUGGUAAUGGUAGUCUACUUUUUUGCAUGAGAUCACGUGUUCGAAUCUCCAUUCUAGCAAUAUUUAUACAUUUUUUUCUUUUUCGUAGAACGGGUUCAAUGUUGAAACGAUCUUAUCAAGAACUCGGCUCGGUUUCAUGGCCGGUUUACCGGAUUGAUCGAUUGAACUGCCGGGCCGGGUCGGAUUUAAUAACUAUGAUUCUACUUCUAUUUUGAUUUCUAUUUUAGGGGAAGGGGAGGUCCAAUUGAAAAAUUGAUAGCUAUUGAACCAUCAUCGGAUAAAAUGAGUGCACUAUGCACGUAUGCGAAUCUAGGAGAAGCCGGCGCAAUGAUGGGAGGCAAUGUUUGAAUUUUUACCUGUCAUUCCACUAAGAUUUAUAGUCUUUGGUGGUGGCUAAUCACCCAAAGAGCUGUUGGUUAGCUCCCACCCUAUUAGAAACUAAAGGUUUUCAACCUUCUAAAAAAAAUGUUUUUGACUUUAAAAAAAAAUGUUUUUGUUUUUGUUUUUUCAAAAAUUAUUUUCAUCUAUCACCAACGGCAGUCAUGGGUUAUUUAUCCAAACAUAGAUCCGAACAACACUAAUCUCUCAGCAGCCAUCCCCUCAUUCCUUCUUGUAUCCUUUUUAUGAAUAGGAUUCAUCUUUUUGGUGUUCUAAAAUCACAUUUAAAAAGUUUUUUUCCCGAAAGUGUUAUUAUUUAGGAUGUGAAUGUUAAUUUUAAAAUUUUAAUAGUGGACCUAAAAAAAACUUGUAAAUUUUACAUAUGAGCACAAAGGGAAAAAAAACACCACAUAACUUCAAGUCCAAGAUUGUAUGCAGUUUGUCCAAUAAAUAGAUAUUCAUAAUUCAUAAUUUCAUAUAUACAUGUUAACUAAAAGCGUUAAUCACAAUCCAAUUAUAUUGAUCUGUUCAAACCCGUUCACUAAUAAUCCGUCCAAAUUGGCCCAUUAACUUUAAAUGGGUUAAAGUGAGUAUAUAAGUAAACCCAUUUAAUUGGUGGAUAGUUGAUUGAUUCGUCUUACCCAUUUAUACCUAUUUAAAAAUAAAUAUACAUUUAAACUCAAAUUUUACUAAAUGUUAAGAAGAUAAAUUUGAAUUUCCUACGAAUCUAAUAAUAAUAAAAUAUCAUUUUUCUUGUCAAACAACAUGUGAAAUAUAAAAAAAAAAGUAGAAUUUCAAAUUAAUCAUAAAUGAGUAAUUGAGUAUUCUCAUAUCUAUUUGUUAAAUGGAUAUAAAUGAAUUGAUUCAAUUAUAACUAUUACUCAACUAGAAUCCGCUCAAACCCGUCUAAGUUAAUCAUUUGACACCCCUAAUGUUAAUAUAUAUUGACAAGUGAAAAGUGCAGCAUUUAUCACGAAGAUAUACUUAUUUAUCUCAAUAUUAAAGUCAUUUUUUCAUUACAAAAAUAUUGAUAAUUUCAUAAUUUCAUGGAAGUAUGUAACCAGUGACAUAACAUAGUCGCCAGUGGCGAAUCUUGUCACGAGUCCUCUUUUCAACACUUUGAUUAUGGGAUACACUUUUAACAAUAUGCCCCCACGUUGUUUUUCGAUCACUUUUUUUUUUUAAACCUCACAUUCGUUCGUUAUGUAUGUAUAAUUUCUUUUCAAAAAACUCCAAAAAAGUGGCAGCCCAAACGGGGCCAACAAUCUACUAUGUUCGGCUGUUCUCCCGCCGGACCCACCGCCGGCGGCCAAUAGCCGCCGGACCCACCGGCCGCCGGCGGCCAUGGCCAUGGGUCAUCUAUAAAAGCAUAGAUCAAGACUACACUAAUCCCUCAUCAGUCCAGUCCAUCCAUACUUCUUCUUCAGGCCUCAGCUACUAAACAAUAAACUCUGCUCCACUCAAUUCUUUCCUCUGUUUCUUGUGGUUUUUGUCUGAAAAUGGCGGCAUCAGAAGAAGUGAAAGUGCCAAGAAUCAAGCUGGGGUCGCAAGGUUUUGAAGUUUCAGCUCAAGGGCUGGGCUGCAUGGGCAUGUCAGCCUUCUACGGGCCGCCAAAGCCCGAGCCUGAUAUGAUCAAACUCAUCCACCAUGCUAUUAGCAGAGGCAUCACCCAUCUUGACACCUCCGAUAUCUAUGGACCUCACACCAACGAAAUACUCAUUGGCAAGGUACCGUAUUUGCAAAUUUUCUGCUGUUGUGUGCCAUGCAUAAACUCUUGUACUUCUAAUUUCUAAAAGAGCAUAUUUGUAAGUAUUUUAGUUGGGUAUAUUAUAUUUAAACCCCUGCACUUGAAAUCUUGUCGCCCUUUAUAUUAUAUACGACAACUGGUCACAUCAAAGUGAAAGAGGAGGGCACUGUAAUUUUUUAUAUUGAAAGGUAUUUAUGUGUAAUUAUCAGAAACUUCAGGGGAGGUUUCUGAAAUUAUCCCUAAUAUUUAUACUAUAUAUAAAGGGAGCCUUAAAUUUGGUGUAAACCUUUUUUUGUCAUCUUUUAGAUUUCCAGCUUCACCCUCUCGAUCACUUAAUCAUACCACCAUAUUGCUAAUCAGCUUAACCACAAAUUAACUUUCACCCCAAUUAUCUAAAUAUAUAUUGCCUACAUAACUACCUACAAACAUUGUAACCAACAAGUUAAUUAAAAUUCUAUUAAAGAACUAUUUUUUUGACAAAUAUUCAAAAAACUAGUAAAAGAACUAUAUUGUCUCCCUUAAUUUUGUUUGUCAGCACUUAAACUCCAUCUGUUUAAAUUGUAAGUAUUAUUAGUCAAAUAAGACAAUAAUAUUCUUCAUUUUUUCAGAUGUUUGUCCUCAAUUGUAAGAGAAGGUCGUAGGUCUAGCACAUACGUUGAAUAGCUGUAUCCGAUUAGAAGGAUUUAGAACUCUUCUACCAUCUCUUUUUUUUUUUCUUUUGUUUUUUCCUUCAAAAUUCUACAUCAUAAUGGAGUUGGUAAAAUAGUACUAUUUUCGUCUUUGAAGUUAAAAUUGUCAUCAAUUUAUGGAAAGUUUACUAUUACUCUGAUAAGAGAUGUUAAAAUUUACUUUUUACGAGCACUAAAGUUUUAAAGAUUAUGAAAAGAGAAUUGUAUGAAGGAAUAGAAGGGAAAAGAAAGGUAAGAAAAUGGAUGGAUUGUGUUUGGAUUGAUUUUGGGUGGGGAAAGGAGAGGAAACGGAAAGAAAAGGAAAUGGAUGGAUUGUGUUUUGCUCAGACAUCAUUUCCAUACAAAAAUAGACGGAAACAGAGGGAAAGAAAAUCUAGUUGAUGAUUUUCUUAUAAAAUGCCUCAAGCACCCAAAUUUUACAUAAACUUGAGUAACCAUGUGUUUCAUAUCUGUAGAACUUGCCAUUUGUGAAACCUGCUUUAGAUAUGAAUUGUGGGAUGCAACAGCAGGCUAGGAAUGUUUGACUAAGCAACUUAUGUAAAUAUUUUAUCGUUAAGUGAAGUUCCUCUUUUGCUGUUCAAAAAAAAAAAAAAAAAGAGAGAGAGAAAAACCAUUCCUUUAAUGUCUGUCAUUCUACCAAACAGCAGAUUUAGGUUUUCUUUCUUUCCCAUCCAUAUCUAAUCCAAAUAAGGCAAAUGAGAACUAUUUUCCACUACUCUCCUUUCCUUUCUUUUUCACUAGGAUGUUUUAUUUAUUUAUUUAUCCUUUCCUUUGAUCCAAAUGGUUCCUAAAAGGGCCCUAAAUAAUUAUUCUACAUUGAUCAGUUCCCUAUUUUUGUAUUAAUUUGCAUGUGCACGAUUCUGUGUAUGUUCAUGUUGUGCAUCAAAUCUUGUGAAUGACAAAGCUAGAGUGUAAAUUUAAGUUGAAGAAAUAUAAACCAAAAAAGAAAAUGGAUUGGCUCCUUUAAGAGUAUCAGACUUCUAAACCCCAAGGAUUACAUAAUUUUCAUAUCCUUUGCUAUACAAAGAAGUGGCAUAGCCUUAACAAUGAAGUGCUGGAAAAACUCCAGAAGGACUGUGCCAUCCAUGAAAUCACAAUUCCGCUUGCUAUACCAUGCAUUAAUGUGUAUGCCCUUGAUGAUUAAUAUAAUGAAAUCAUGGUUCUAGGCCUUGAAGGAAGGAAUAAGAGCGAAAGUGGAGCUAGCAACAAAAUUUGCAAUCAGUUAUCAGGAUGGGAAAGUUGAUGUACGUGGUGAUCCAGCCUAUGUGAGGGCUUGUUGUGAAGCGAGUUUGAAGCGGCUUGAUGUGGACUGCAUUGAUCUCUAUUAUCAACAUCGCAUCGAUACACGUGUGCCCAUUGAAGUCACGGUUUGCUCCAUCUUGCCAUCCACCUCAUUCUUGAUGAAACAAAAGUUUGAUCAACUCCAAAUUUCGAAUAAUUCAGUUUCAUGUGCGUUUCAAUUCUUCAAAAAUUGCACAGAAAAGUUAGUCAACCUUAUGGUCUAGGCUAAUCUGCAGUAUGCUAAAUCUUAUUUAGCACCAGGCACCCUGAAAAGUGAAAACAAUGAAAAUGUCUUAUAUUAGCUUGGCAGUCCUGCUGAGGGAUAUACAGGUGGAUAUCAUGCUAUACAUUGUACAGCUUUCCUUUAGAAGCAAGAGACCUGAGCAUUCUCUUUCAUUUGAGAUAGGCUAUCCAGUUGAGUAAUGAUAUGCUAUUUACUUACCUUGUCAUUCGUUUUCAGUCGGUGCCAAAAGCACUGCAGAUAGAAGUUUUUUAGUCGAUAUCUAAAAAACGUGGUACUCAUUUUGUUCAGAGUAUAGCUUUUUGUCUAAUUGUGAAAGCCAGCUGCGACUACCCCAUUGACCUCUCUAAGCAAUUCAAAGAUUGCAGCUGCUUGCUUACAUUCAGCUUUUAUGAAAACAAUUUCUGUCUUCUUUUUCUAAUAUAGUCAGCAAAGAAUUGUCUUGUUUUUCCUGAGUAUUAGGAAGAAACUUUCUUGCAGUUUAAUCACUUAAAAUACAGGCAAGUAUAAAGGAAAUCAAGGAAAUUGACAACUGAUAAUUGAUAUGUACAGCCAUUAUUAUAUCUAGACGAAGUCAACAAUGUCGUGUAAUCAUAUUGGAGGAGCAUUAUGUUGGCAUGGUCCGGUGGGCUGUACAUAGAGAAGUAUCACUGGAUGCUUAUUGCCAUUUUUGUCAAUUAUUGAUUUCAGUUUGACGUAUACUUUGUCCACGACUUCAUUGAACUAGUGCAACUUUUACUUUUUUGCACGUAAUAUUUCGAUUAUCUGCCUAAGUAUUGAAUGUAAUAAAUCAGCUUUGCAUUUUCUUGUCCAUUGAAAUUCUCUAGAUAGGAGAGCUCAAGAAACUGGUUGAAGAGGGUAAAAUAAAGUAUAUAGGUCUGUCUGAGUCCUCAGCUUCAACAAUUCGAAGAGCACAUGCUGUUCACCCAAUAACAGCUGUGCAGUUGGAGUGGUCAUUGUGGAGCAGAGAUGUCGAGGAGGAGAUUAUUCCCACUUGCAGGUAGUGCAUAUAUUCUGCUGCAUUUUCUACGUGGUCUAGAAGAAAUAUGAAGUUCUUAAUUCAGUUUUUGGUAUAAUCUUUCAGAGAGCUUGGAAUAGGGAUUGUUGCAUACAGUCCACUUGGAAGAGGAUUCUUCUCUUCAGGUCCAAAGCUGGUCGAGAAUUUUACUGAAGGUGACCGCCGAAAGGUUUGUGCAUAUCCAAAACUAUGGAGUUUUUGAGUAUAGAUUGUUUAUAGUUCGAAUAAGUUUCUCACUCAUCUAGUUUUACCACAUUCAGUGACAAUCUUGCUUGAUAUCCCUAUUCUUGUCUAUCUGUCAUAUGUUGCUGCACUUUUUGAUGUCCAAUAAUUUGAUUAAGCCUUAUAAUAUGAUCACAUUUAAUCAAAUUUCUAUUAAGCAGAGCAAAUCAACAGGCUUUUUUUUUUUUCCUGUCGAACAAGUCUUGAGGUCUUUAGUUGAUUGAAUGAAUUCAGAUUUUGGUGUCCUCUGUAUUUAGUUCAAAUUAAAAGAUAUGGCGCUAGCUUUGUCAGAUUUUAGAUCUUAUAUUAAUUGAAGGUUGUUAUUGCAUGCUGGACAACAAUCACAAGCAAUCGAUAGUAUCGAAUUUUAAAGUGCAAAGAUGUCCUAAGACGUCAAAACAGGAAGAAACUAUGUCACUUUUUAUGUAAAAGUCUCUUUUCAGUUUUGAGGGGAAGUGGACCUUGGACUUCAAUUUCAUCAUUUAGUCUCAGGCACAGAAUUUCAUCAUUUUGUCCUGUGAAACUAUCAUUUUUCCUUUACCAUUAAUCCUAAAACUGAGUUUCAUUGGUCAGAAGUGUACUUCUUAGUACAAACAAUAGUUGAUAUGCAUUUUAAGGUUCCCCUUUGAUGGGAAAUGUAUCUCAGAACUUAACUCCAACAGUUGAUGUUUCCUACUUGGAUUAUUCAGUCCACCUUGAUGCAUUGUUCUUUGCCCUGAACUUGUGUCCUUCAAACAAUAUUGCUGAUCAUCUUGAAGUAAUGUACCGUCUGUUCAUUUCUCCCUUCUGAUUUCUUGCAUUAUAGUUUGCUCUUUAAUGGGAAAUGUAUCUCAUGAUCUACCUUCUACAAUUAAUGUUUCUUAAGAGUACUCAGUCCAGCUUACUGGAUUGUUCUUUCCCCUGAACUUUGUACACCUCAAACAAUACUAUUGAUCAUCUUGAAGUUAUUCAUAUUGUCUUCAUUUGUAGACGACACAUGCUUCACUUCCUUUUGCAUUUCUGGCGUUACAGUAGCAUAAAAUUUUGAAAUUCAUACAAUGUAGGGUAUGCCAAGGUUUCAAGCAGAGAAUUUGGAGCACAACAAGAACUUGUACGAGCAGGUCAAUGCCAUUGCUUCAAGGAAGGGUUGUACCCCAUCACAGCUAGCUUUGGCCUGGGUCCAUCACCAAGGCAAAGAUGUUUGCCCCAUACCUGGCACUACCAAGAUUGAGAACCUCGAUCAGAAUAUAGGAGCUUUGUCUGUGAAACUGUCGGCAGAGGAAAUGGCGGAACUUGAAUCUAUUGCUUCGGCUAUCAAGGGUGAGAGAUACGAGUCUGACGCUGGGCUUGGUACUUGGAAAACUUCUGAAACUCCGCCUUUGUCAACCUGGAAGCGGACAUGAAGACAUACCUUUGUUAUGGCAAUAAUUCCUUCUAGCUAUGUGCCUGAUGGUGGAUUUCACUAUAUUGAGAGUUGAGUGAUAUGUAAUUGUUCCAAUAAAUUUUGACAUACUAUUGUCUCUAGGGCUAUGUCAAGUAAAGUUAUAAGAAGAAUGGAGUAUCUUCAGAGAGGUUGUAAUAAAUAAAGAUCUGGUCAUGUAAAAGCAGAAUAUAAUUUUCCUUGCAGUUGAAUGCAUUAAGAGUUAUAUAUUGUACUUUUGAAUGCUAAAGUGGUCCAUUUUUUAUGUGCUACUGCUACGAGAGUUAUAGAUUGUUGAACAGCAUUCAAUUCAGGACUUAUUAAACAUAAGCAUAUAAACAUUUUAUUCUCGGAAUAUUUACAUCAAAAGAAACUCCAAGGUCACAUCAUUGUAAAGUGUAAACUAUAUCAUAUUAAUAAAAAGCAAAAAAAAAAUGUCUAAAUGAGGAAAAAAAUGUACUAUAGAAGAAGUCAACAAUGUCAUGUAAUCAUUUUUUCCUAAAAUUGAGAUUCAAAUUUAGUUGAUUUGUAUUUUGAGUUUCCUCUUUGAUGGGAAAUGUAUCUCAGAACUUUAACUCCAGCAGUUGAUGUUUCCUACUUGGAGUACUCAGUCCACCUUGAUGCAUUGAUCUUUCCCCUGAACUUGUGCCCGUCAAACAAUAUUUCUGAUCAUCUUGAAGUAAUUAGUACCAUCUGUUCAUUACUCCCUUCUGAUUUCUUGCAUUAUAGUUUCCUCUUUAAUGGGAAAUGUAUAUCAAGAUCUACCUUCUACAAUUGAGAUUUCUUAGAGUACUCAGUCCACCUUACAAGACUGUUCUUUUCCCUGAACUUUGUUCACUUCAAACAAUACUAUGAUCAUCUUGAAGUUAUUCGUAUUGUUGUCUUUUGUAGACGACACAUGCUUUACGGCCUUUUGAAUUUCUGCAUUGCAGUUGCUUAAAUUUUGAAAUUCCUACAAUGUAGAAUAUGCAGGUAGAGAAUUUGGCAAAAAUUCAACGAAUACUAGUUGUGGGCAUCUGAAAAUGGUUAUAGAUGACAAGGGACGAUGAUUUUACUUGGAAACUUGGGUUUUUACAUUCUUGUGGUAUGUAUUACUAUACAAAAAUGGUAAAAUUAAAACAUAACCAAGUUUUGGGGUUAAAUAAGAAAUUUGAGAUAACAGGUUAGCUAAAUUUUUAAAGUGAGCCAAAGCACAAGGACUUAAUACUACAUGUUUUACUAAAAUGGGACCCACAUCUCUAAAUUCAGGCCUGUCAAGUUCAUCGAGGCGCUUCGUUUGCAAACGGACCCAUUUGUCAGCCCAAAUCAUCAAACGCUUCCUUCCUCCCCUUUUUAUUUAAUACUAGUGCGGUGUGAUUUUCAAUAUUGCCCAUAAAUGCCCAAUCAUUCAAAUUUAGAUAUUAAAUAUGAAAAGUUACAUAAAAAUGCAUUACUAUCUUUGCAGUUAUGUUUUUGUAAUUUUAUUAAAUAGUAAAAAUAAGCUACAGUCUUAGCUUUUCAUAGUUUUAGAAGUUUUUUUUCAUAAAAGGAACUUUAAAAUAAUAUACAAUCAUACAAAAUGAAAAUAAAAUCCCCAAACAGUCAUCUUGCAACUAAAAGAUGGUGGGACAUAACAUCAUAAUAAAAGAUAUCUUGUUGUUAGCAUCCUAUACAUUAGCUAAACAAUCUACCAUCUGAUUUGCUUCACUGCUUACAUGCUUUGAUCAAGACUUGCUGCCAAAAUACGAUAAGACACCUACAAUCAGAUAUAACCAUAGCACAUUGUAAAUAGCAGUAUCAUAUUGGUUUAAAAGAUUAAAAAUAUUAAUAGCAUAAACUUCUAAUUCCAGUUUGUAGCAAUAAUGAUCUAUGAAGAUUGGAAGCUAUUCCUGAUCGUUUACUGAUCCGAUGGUCCAAAAUCCAUAUUAAUUCCUUACAACUACAGCAACUCCAAGAUUGCCUUUUGAAACCCUACCAGUGAUAAGUUUUCAAAAGCCAUCCUUAGGACGAGUCUCUAUAGAAUCAUAACUUCAUAUUUUUCCCUAGCCAUGGUCUGUUUGGGUUCUGAGGAGUAAUUAGAGGUAUUCAAAAGAGGAAAGGAUUGCGGUUUGCCAACAUAGAAAGAUUAGAUUCGUUUUGAUAAUUCAAUGAGGACCAACCAGUGAAAGAAAUCACAAUGCCCCAAAGAACUUGAAAAAUGGUGAAGGGUUUUUUGCUAGGUAUGCUUUUUUUUUUUUUCAUUCAUUCCUCACAGCUUAAAUGAUGAUCAAUACCAAUCUCCCAAGACAAGCGUCCAUGUAAUAAAAUCAGUAAACAGAAUAACUUUUCAAUUUAACUUGAGAGAAGAAAAUGUACAACCGAAGCAAAUCUCACGAGGAAUAGAAAAAACCACUGUUUGGAUAUAUAACUGAAGCUCAUUUCUCAGCACAUCUUUAUCAAUAAUACAAUCAAGAUAUGCCAAAUUAGGUGAGAGAAACUAUUAGGUGAGAGAUGUUACAAAUCUAAGAGAACAUCAUGUUUUGUAAAUACAUAUUUAAAUCAACUAAAACUGAAUUUUCUAACAAGAAUUUCUAAGCUACCAAACAUCAUAGUCUAUGAUUAAAGAGGCAAAACUACAGUUAUGCAGUAAGUUAAUUCUUUUUUCGGCAAAUGAAUAGAACAUUUAAGGUGUUAAAACAAUAACUUACUAUUUCAAGCAGGUGCUUAGAAUCUAAUAUUUGAGAAUCCUUGUGUUGGGCAAAACUUUAACCACCUACAAACAGGAAAACUAUUUAUAAGAUCCAGUGAAUCAGAAACAAUUAAUCAAAAAAAGAUUGCUGAAAAUACUUGGUUUAAUAUCCACUUAAGGCUCAUAAAACAAAUAUUCAAAAGGUUUUAACAAAGACAAUUUUCUUUGCUAAAAAACAAAAAAAUUGAACACAAAGCAUUCAAAAGAGUAGCAUCCCAAGAUCUUUUGUAACUCAAAAUUUUGGCCAAUGACCAACUUGGCAGAGAAGUUCCUGAUUCCUAGAGAAGAAAUUCAUUAGUUCUACAAGUGUUGGAAACCCAAUGAAGGAAAAAAAAACAGAAGAACUGAAGCAAAAAGAAAUACAUUUUGAAGAUGAAGAAAUAUAUUUUAAACAAGUGUAUCUUUUAGUUACCAUAGGGAAUGUUUUUUUUGAGCAGAUCAACAAAAUACCUACGUGAAAGACGCCAAAAAAUGAUUAAAAAGAAAAUUUGAAUGAGUUUGAAAAGAGCAAAGGCCAUUGAAAAUGACCAAAGAGAAAAGCAUACCAGGUCUCAAAAGAGCAAUUUAAAGGAAAAAAUUAAAUCAGAAUGACACAACAAAACUUACGUUUUGUCUCACCAGUUGUUCUUCACAGGUGGCCAUUUUUGCUUCCAACUCCAGAAGAAAUCCAAGAAAGGCAAAAGCUUAGGUUGAGCUAAAUAAACAAAAGGUCAUUUUCUUUAGCAAAUUAUAGGCACAUAAGUAGGUGAGAUAAUUUAAGAGAGUACUCAAGUUUUGAGACUUCAAUCUUACCAGUCUCAAAUGCAAGUAAGAAUAACAUAAAUCAUCUACAACCAGACAACACCAUGGAAAAGAAAAUUUCCUAAACAAUCCAACUUGUAAAAUUACUUAAGAGGUAAUCUAUAAGCUUAAGCAGCAGUCCAUCGGAGGGGAAGAGCUUAUAUUGUCCUCUAGGCAAUGCAAUAAAUGAAGGAAAAUAUAGGCUGCAAAACCAUGUAAAACUCAUAGUUGGCAAGGGUAGCCUCAGCACAAGUUAGGACACUACUGAGUCAUGAGAAAUUUUGUGAUUACAUCUUUAACAGACAUUAUUCAUGAAGCAACAAUAUACAUUGGCAAGUAGAACACAAAAAUGAAAAUCCUUUCCCUUACAAUGCUUGGUAAUGAACAAAACGGAAAGAUGAUUACCAACUAUCACUAAGAAGCUCUAUUUUGUUUGGCUAUGAGCUCAAAACUAUCACUAAAAGAUUAUCGUUAAGCACCUGAUGAUCCAAAUGUCCAAAUAGUGGAAAAUAUACAGGAAUACAAGAUUUAUUAUUCAAUCCUUUAUCGCUAUGUAAUAGUUGUACCCUGAGCUGAUUCGCCUAUAUAAUGGAAUAGAGAAUCAUAGAGGUUAAGCCAAUACCUUAAAAUUCAAUAACCACAAAAAAUUGCACAAGAAAGUAAUACCUUAAGGACCACUACGAGCUAAAAGAUUGCAACGACUAUGGCAGUUUUUUUCCUUCAUGAUUAGUAUAUCAAUCUAAUAAAAUUCCCCACAAAUUAGAGAUCAAAACAAAGUAAACAUUGAAUUUGCUAGAUCCAUAAACCUAAUUACCACUUCCAUACACAAUAUAGCAAGGUCAAUGAAAAUAACACCAUUUAAACAAACAAAAAUUUACACUAUAAUUAACUAUCCAAAAUAUCAACAUUUCAAUUUCUACCUAAUGAAAACAACCUCUGAUGAGAUGUUUCUGCACAUGUGAGAAGUGCCAUUUUGUUAACAUAGUUCUGCAAUUGAGUUUCUUAAUCUGAGAAGUCACCAUGAAAGAAAAGAAAAGCUUGAGUUUAGUCAGAUUUACCAAUCCAAUAUCAUCAUUCCUGAUGAUGGAGUGCUUUAUUAUGCGCUUGCAGCUAUCAAAGUAGUCAUAGCAGAAUGAAAUAGAGUAGCUCACAUAAAGGCCAAUCGGGACUUAUGUACUGCACUUGGAAUUGAUUUUUCUAUCUUCCAACCAAAUAGUGUUUGCUUAUUAGUGUAUUUCAGGUAAUAUCUUGAUGUAUUGUUGUGGGUAUUCCCUUUGAUGCUGAUCAAUUGUUGUGGGUAUUCCCUUUGAUGCUGAUCAAUCGAAAGGAAGCUCAUUAGAAAAAAAGGGAUAAUAAGUAUAGAUAUGUUUAUGACCCUGUGAGGUGAAUCGUGCACCACUCCAAAGAAAACAAAAAAAAAAAGGAUAAAAACCAUCCGUUGAUUGUAUAUCUCAAUUCCUCAUCUUGUAACCAGGAAAAAUGGAUAUGUAGAAACCAAAAAAAAGGGUUCCGAAGAAGGAAAAAAUACAGUACUAUAUAUAGUUUAUAGACAUCACCAAACCAGUAACUUUGAGUGCGGAAUUUCUAGGAGAUCAUGAGAGAGUGAAGCACAAAAAUAUAAAGAGAAAGUGGAGUUAUACAGUACCCAUACCACAUGGCCAAAUCUAGUUAAUAUUUUCUUUUCUUGACUGCAGCAAACUGAGAAAAAUUCUCAAGGGAAAAAAUUUUCAGAACAUAACGUGAACUUUAUAAAUACCAGAUUUCUGAGAAACAAAACAACAGACCUGGAAAAGUAAAAAUCAUGCUGAAAGAUAAAAUUGACUCCAAAUUUCCGACUGCUAUCAGCCAAGAAUCGAAAAAAUAAUUAGCCAGUACUUCUAAAAAAUAAUUAUUGGCUGAUUAUAAUUAGCCAAGAGAAAACCACCAAAAAAAGGCCAAAAUCCUAAACUUACAAUUAGCAAGCACCGAUUGUUUAUGCUUGAUCCCCCCCCACCAAAAAAAAAAAAAGGAUUGAGACAGGCUAAUGCAUUUCAAACAUUAGCAGUCAUGCAUUAGAAAAGCAACAAGUUAACCACAGUAUGUGACAUUAAAUGUUGGCAAAUUCAUCUGCUAAAUACAUUUUCUCACGUCAUCCUAAAAUUUCUAAUUCCCAUCCUGCUUAGUAAAAUAAAAUAAAAAUACUACAAUAAAACAUCACCAGAAUGAGAAAAGCAUCAAUUGUGUGACUACAAAAUUAUGUGCAAGUAGAUGGAAAGUAAUAAAAACUUUAAGAAUUGUGUACUACCAUCCAUAAACCAUUCACAAUUUGAAGAAAUGUAAGCUCAUUUAAGUAUCUUGUUCAAAUCUACAAGAAAUUUUAGCACCAUCAACCUGCAAAUUACAUACAAACAAGCUCAAAUUUGGAUGGAAUCAACCAUAAUUAAUGCAAACUAAGUACUACAUUUCAUCACGAACCAAAUUUAACAAAAAAAUAAUUACUACUAUCACCUUUUUGGACGAAAACAUUAUGCAUUAUUAUCAUUUUCAUAUCCAAAUAACUACCUUUACCAAGCAUCCACCUCAUUGUAAGAAUUGUGUACUACCAUCCAUAAACCAUUCACAAUUUGAAGAAAUGUAAGCUCAUUUAAGUAUCUUGUUCAAAUCUACAAGAAAUUUUAGCACCAUCAACCUGCAAAUUACAUACAAACAAGCUCAAAUUUGGAUGGAAUCAACCAUAAUUAAUGCAAACUAAGUACUACAUUUCAUCACGAACCAAAUUUAACAAAAAAAUAAUUACUACUAUCACCUUUUUGGACGAAAACAUUAUGCAUUAUUAUCAUUUUCAUAUCCAAAUAACUACCUUUACCAAGCAUCCACCUCAUUGUAAUAUAACUCCUUUCCCCUUUACUCAACCCCUAUAGCAUUAUGUAACUCACUUUUUACAUUAUCAUCAAGUAAAUAAAAACAGAUCAUUAAUUGAAGCCGUCCCGCUCAAGGAAUAAACACUUGCAUUACAGCUCCCUACCCAUCCUAAACUUGGCAUCAGACCACAUCAAUUUGCAUAAAUGAUUAUUCUAAGCAAUUAUUUCAUGUGAACAGAUACGGGCCAUAAAUGUACAUACAUAACAAAACAAAAAAUUGCAUUUUCCAUGUAAAAAUGUGAAUAUGGCAUUUUUCCCAAGGACUAAAUUUUCUCAUACUCAACCUUACCAUAACUUAAUAGAAAACUCAUUAUUCUUGCCUAAAAUCUAAUAAAAAAACCUUUUGCAGGUAGUGUAGGUAAAUGAUCUAGUGUAUUGCUGGCAUAAUAAAGCUCUAAUAACUUGACAAAAUUGUAAACCCACUAAUAAGUAUUCAUUAGCUAAAAUGAGUCUUAUUUUGAAAAUACUCCAGAAUAUUCAUGUUUUUGCACGAAUAUACCUUGGCUCUGCAUUUUUCAGUAAUUAUUGCAAUAGCAAAAUGAAAAGAAAUGCUUGCAAAAGAUCCCCUCAUCUGAUUUAAAUAAAUAAAAAAAAAAAGCAAUCUGUUCCAAUACAAAUCUAGAUUUGGUCACAAUGAACGAGAACCAAUCUGUCAUGCCAUCGACAUAAAACAUAUACGAUCCAAAAUAUUCAGUUCAAGAGAAUUAACCAACUAAUUAAAAACAUUGCCUGCAAUUCAUCAAUUUGUUAUAAUAAAAAUAAAAAAUUCACCAUAAUUGCAUUCACAAAAUAGUCACACCAAGGACAACCUCAAGAAAAUAUGUGAUACCCUAUAUUAAAGAACAGCAUAUGGUAGAAUUUGUUGAUUCACAUACCAAUUCAAGUUCAAUGGUAAAUUAGAACAGCCAAAAUUGUUCAAAAUACAAAGAAAAUAACAACUUGGGAUCCAUUUAUCUCUAAUGGCAGCUUGCUCAACAAAAUCCGCUAGCAAGGAGGCACCGGCCUUUUCGUUCACUGAUAUUGCAAUGACAAAUGCAAGAAAAAUCAGAAUGAUUUAGUAAUUUAUUCAAGACGGCACAAAAAUGGAAAAACAAGACCCAUAACUCAGUAUCAUAGAGUGCCAACAACCAACUAUAAAAUUCUUAAAUUGGCAUAUACUCGUAUCUAGAACCACAGGUACAAGAAAAUUUAAAUGCAAAAUCAUAUCCUAACAUGAAUAUGAAUAUUAACAUGACAAUGAAAACAACAACCACAUCAUAGUAGCUCUAUUAGUUUUUUUUUUUUUAAGAAGGUAAUAAUAUGAUCAUUCCUUUCUUAAAACUUUGAAUCCAUUACCUUAAUUAAUCCAAUCUCCUUAGUGUUGCUGCGGAAGCAUUGUCUGCACCACAUCAAGUCAUACUUUCUGAUAAUACCAUGGGAGUUUCCACACACAAGGCUGUCAAAACAAACCAACGUAUAACCAUAAGCAACAAGUCAAAUCAUCAAAUAAUUCAAUCAAGUAUUUAAAAAAGAAAAAGCACCAAACCACCAGGAGGAGAAAAUAUCCACGUGGUUAGGUACAAUUCUUAAAAUGCCAUAGUGAAUAAUACCGUUAUCACUACAAAAUACUACUUACAACAGCUUACUAAACUCCCAAAAUUCAGUCGAGCCAUCAACGACACAAGACUUUUUUAGCAUGAAAAUCACAUUGACCCGUCAUUAGGACCAAUUUAACUUGAAAACAAGAUUAUAUACCAUAUGAUCUAGUAUACAAGGCAGUACACCAUGAACCUACAAUUUCUUGAAAUCCAAUCAAGGACUCCAGCAUCACUGAUACAAACACCAGAUUAUACUGGUAGACAAAACCACAAUAAAUGGGACUAAGAAUGAUAAAAUAAAAAAAGAUUCAAGAACCCCACAUGAUAAAUAUUCAGACAGAAUUAGACAACUGAAAAAAGAUGAAAAGCAAGUACUUUAUUUCAGGAACAUUGAUCUGCUUUUUCUAUUUUCUUCCUUAAACUGAGAAGGUUCAAGAAGCAUGGGAAACAAUGUUAAAGAAUACACUUUUUUGAGAAAAUAACCUUAUAGAAUCUACCUUCAAAAGGGAUAAACAAAACUUACAAAACCGCAUGAAGAUGGUGGAGGAAAUUUCCAGAUUAUGUACCUGCAACAUCACAACAUCAUAAAAGGGAAAAAAUUAGACAACUAAUCUGGUAAAUAAUAGGAGAUAAAAAAUACCAAAGGGCCAAAUAUCUGAGGAAAGGACACGAGGUGUCAGAAAACACAGCAAUCAUGAUACUUAUGCAAUAGCAAUGAAAUGGAGGCUACAUUUCCAAAAGAGGGCAGUAAAUGCAACAGCACAAGUAUGAUCAGUCUGGAACAAAAUUUUCAUUAUAUGCUAAUUCAGAGCCAAUUACAAUGUCACAGAGUAACAGGCAAUAGACAUGAAACUUCCAAUACAAGCCCUUACACAUAAACUCCCAAUUACAAGGCUAAUUUGUAAGAAAUUCCUGGGGAAGUGUCACCAUAGCAAAAAUAAAAGAACGUUAACUGAUUUAAUCCAGUUCUUUGGAUUAUAGGGAUAACAGCACAUUUUCUGUGUCCUAGUUGGUCCAAACAGAGACAAAAGAAAUCUGGCAAAAUUAAAACAGAGAGGACGAAGCUACAAUCUUUGCAAUUUCAAGGCCUAUACAUUUAAAAUAACGUUAACGACUACUGAUGAUGGUCUUUUUUCAUUUAAAUAGGUUUUGGGAACAUUUUCAGUUCAAAUAUGUCUGAAAUUUUCUAUAUUUUUGUCUAAUUUCUUUCCAUAACUUUCCACAGAAAAAAAGUGCAUAUAAUAAGUAGAAAACACAAAACAACAUUUCACCAAAAAAGAGAAAUGCAUUCUUAUAGAAUCCCAUCAAUAAUACAAAGAAUCCCAUCAAUAAUUUCAAUUUCAUAACUCUCAUUAAAAAGAAACAAACAAAAUUCGAAUCAGUGAUCAAAACUUGAACUUCAUAAACGUCCAUGCACUAGUCUAAUGUUGGCGAAUUCUGGGACUUGUGCAUAAUAUUUACUAUAGUUUCUUGACCUAAUAUAAGUUUGCCAGUGUCAAGUGAAAAAGGCGAAUAAUCUGCAACUCUAACCAUCAAAUGCUACCACCACGAGAUGGGUUAAAAAUUCUUCCGAGUGCAGUUCAAGAACUCAGUAGAGGCGAACAGAGGGACUUACGUGAAAGGAACUGCUUAGAAUCAGAGGGAGAAGAGGGACUUACGAGAGCAGCACUAAUCAGCGGGGACAACACUGGCAAGUGGCACGAGAUGUCAGAAAUAAUAGGAGAAAAAGAACUAAAAGACUAAUAAACAUAGUUCGGAGAAAAUGAAGCAAUAAGAGAAUUUGAAGCAAAAAAAUUCCAGCCAACUUUUCAAUUUUGUUGUUGUCUAUCAGAAAGAAAUUGGAGAGAAAAAGUGCAGCUUUCUUCGCGAUGAUGAGGAAGAAGACGAGAAGAAAGAGAGCAUGGGUCAGAGAAAGGGAGUCGGAUGGCUAAUUCUUCCUUUCAUAAAAAAUAAUUGAUGGCUAAUUGAUGGGUUAAAUUAAAAUAAAAAAUAAACUUACAGACCCGAUUAGGCUGAAAAUCCAUUCUCUUCUCUUCAUCUGCUUAUUCUUCUUCUCAUCUUCUUCCUCUGAUCAGGGAAAAAAUUAAACAAAAAAAGACUCACAGAACCAGCUUAAAUUUCACGAAAAAAAUGUAAAACAAAAGCAUACAUGUUCUGAUGAAGAUCCAUUUUUCCCCUUUCUACUUCUUCUUUUCAUGGCUUACGUUUUUCUUUGUCCCAUUUCUCUUGCUGUAAUAUAAAUCCAACAGAUAGACAUGAUAUCUGGGAAAAAAAAAUUGAACUCAAACAGGUGGGCAUUCGACAGUUGGACUGUUGUUGGCUUGUUCCAGUGGAAGAAAAGCAAAGAGGGGAAGAAGAGAGGAAGAAAUGAAAAGAGGAAAGAGAAAGAUGGAACCUUUCCUGGUCUCGAGCUCAUCGGCCAAAAGAGAAAUCGUGUGGCUUGGAAAAGGAAACAAAAAUUGAAUGACAAAGAAUACAAACGGCAGCGGUGGUUUACCAAGGCACAGCUAUCCCAAAAAGAAGAUAAAUGAACAUGGCAACCAGGGCAAAUGAGUAAGACAUGACCCGUCACAUUGAGCUCAGUAACUACUCCAAUUUUUAUCACAAUUUAUUAGUCCAAUCGGUGUCACCAAAAGGCUGCAAAUAGGUACGGUGGGAAGAGAAAUGACCCAAAUGUUUGAAGAAAAAGGACAGCUAUUAAUUAUUGCUCUUUUGGUGGGUUCCAUACAGCAAAACACUCAGGCUUACAAACGCACGACCCAAUUUGCAGCCUCUGCAUUUAAAAAAAAACAAACACACACACACACAUGGACGAACCCACUCUAGCCAAUAAUAAUUGGCCACAUCAGCAAAACAACCAUCCCUUUUGAGCCAUGGCAUUCGCUCUUUUAUACAUAUGUUAAUAAACCCGAUACGACUUCCUGAUUAUUCCAGGAUCCAACAAUUAAAACUUUACACACAAAUAAAUGGUCAAAUUCACUUAAAAAUUGUGGGGUCAUCUUCCACAUUAAACUUUUGUACUAUCCAAUCGCCACUACUUCAAAUUAAUUUGGACCGUAAGUAAUGUCAUUACUUUCUGUGAAUAUCAAAUAUGAAAAGUGCAUUAUAUAUAUGAGGAAAAAAAAUAAAAUGUACUAGUUUUCAAUUUCUUUAUGUAGAAUAUUUUCUUGAAUAUUAAUUUUUGAUAUAUCUUAGUCAAGGUCAUUAAUCAACCCGGACCUAAUCAACUCCAAACCCAGGGCAAAUUUCUUUAAAAUAUUGCCAAAAAGAAGUUCGAAAAAUAUUGUUGAAAAGUUGAGUAUUUUUCUAUCCAGGCUCGUAGUAUCUCUGACAUGCAGUGGACUAGUUCACUAGUUCCAUUUUCUUUUUAUAAAAGCAGUCUGUUUGCCAGACACAUGGUGAGCCACAUUUAAAAAUUGAUUUCUAUCAUAAAGCCUAUCAUGUCCGGACAGAAGAUGGACUGUUUUUUAAAUUUUUUAUUGAAAGCAAGUGAAAAGUGUUGCAACUCAGGACUUGGAUAGUAAUUCUAAAAUUUAUUAGUGCACCUAGCUUUUAACUUUUCGUGUGCUUUUUAGGUAUCAAAUGGGGGAAAAAAAACCAACACCAUAUAACUUCAAAUGCAAGAUGGUACGAAAUUUGUAUACAAUGACAUGUAAAAAGUGGACCGUUCAUCACAAAGAUAUUUAUCCUAAUAUUAGAUUCAUUUUUUCAAAAAUUCAACUUUGCAUGCAAACAUGUAAUCAAUAUGCAUAAAUAGAUAGCAUUAGAUGAAUUUAAACAAGUAGCCUUCAAAUUUAAAAAUAUUUGAUUUCAUAAAGGUGCAUUCGCAAUUUAAAAAAAGUACUUUUCAAAUGGCAACUCUAGAGAACAAGAAAUACUCCUACUUUAUUUUGAUUUCAAAUCUUCUUUUGACUUGUCAAAAAAGUGAAAACACGAAACCAAUAAUGGGUCAGAUAGAGAGAAGUAUUAGAAAGAGAAAUUUGUCAAAUUGAUCCCUAAUAUUUAUACAAAAAUUUUUUUUAGUCCCUAUAAUUUAAAAUCAGUCAGAAUAGUUAUUAACAUAUAAAUUAUGAUUCAUUUUGGUUCUAAUGCUCGUAUUUGCUCAUUUCUUUUACUAAAAAUAGCACGCCUCUCUCACGUGGACAUAUUUUCAAGGGCAAAAUUGAAAAACACAAGCUUUUCUCCCCUUUUCAAGGAUAACAUUUUCGCAUAUUUUUCUUUCCAUGUUCUGAAAUUAGGGCUUUUCUCCCCUUUUGCUUCUGGUCAUGGACUCUUUGCUAUCGAGCUACGUCUCUUCCGAUGAAGAACAAGAAGAUAAACCACAGCUCUCAAAUCCCAGUUCCGCUGGAUUCCUCUCCUCACUGCCACCCCCAAAAUCUUCAUCAUCAUCUUCUUCCUCAUCCAUCUUCUUUCCAUUUCCCCCACCCCCAAUCCCACCCCCCAAAGCCCCCCAUCUCAUCGCCUUCCUCAACCCUGAAUCCACAUAAAUCUAAUGAACUUCAAGAAGAGAGGGAUGGGCAGCAAUUGCUAAAAAAUUGGGAAAGUUCGAGAUUUUUUAUAUCACUUCCAAAACCAUUGUCAUCUUUGUUCGCUUGGUUUCCUCAACCCAAAUCAUCUUCCACGUCAUCUCUUUUCUCUUCUCUUCCGUAGCCCACCAAAACCCACAAUCUUGAUGCCCGGGUUUCGCCUCCUGUGCAAUUUGCUAGAAAGAAGGUGGUGGUGGUUCCUUGGCAGUUGGAUCACACAGCUUUAAUGGAAAGGUGAUGGAAUCAAGCUCGCCGGGUUUAAUGGUGGUGGUUCCUUGGGGGAUCAACAGCAGCAGCCACACCGCUAAAGGGAUCAAGCCUCAAAUUGACGCGGGUGCUUUUCAGUUUGAGGAGAAUAUACUGAAGUAGCAGCAGCAGAAGCUUCAAUUCCACAUUUACACUGAAAAUAAUAGUGUUUUCUAGUUUUGUCCUUGAAAAUAUGCCCACAUGAGAGAGACGUGCUAUUUUUAGUCGGAGAAAUGAGCAAAUACGAGUAUUAGGAUAAAAAUGGAUCAUAAUUUAUAUGUUAAGAACUAUUUUGGCUGAUUUUAAAUGUUAGAGACUAAAAAAAUUUUUUGUGUAAAUAUUAGGGACUAAUUUGACAAAUUUUUCUAUUAGAAAUUUGUUUUCUAGAUUCUUUGGUUUCCCAAUUUUUUCAACGGGUCAACUCGACCAUUAUCACAUUCAUGUGAUUGUAGGUCUACCACGCUUCAUAGUCCAUAACGUGGAUUGGCACCACAAAAGAUGGUGUCAAAACACUUUUUUAGUUUAGUAAGAUCUGUGUAUGUAUUAGUUCCUAACACAAGUCUCUUUAGAUUUUCCCUCCUUUGUAAUUUAGAAUAAAAUAGGUUAUACAAUUGUUAUCGUCUCCAGAAAAAAAAGGAUAAGUCCCACCCUAUUAUUAUUUUUCUUUUAUCAAUCAACAACGCCUAUUCUACACCUAUUUGACUUCUAUUCUAGGGGAAAGGGAGGUCCAACUGGAAAAUUAAUGGUGAUUGAACCACAAUUAGACCAAAAACUUUCUAGAUAAAAUUUGAUCUAAAAAAUAAAUAAUAAUAUAUUAACUUAUUAUUUAAUGCGAUACAUAUUCAAAUAGAUUAAAUUUAAUAAUUUUAAAUUUUAAAUUUUACAUUUUAAAUUUUAAUUUUCAAACUUCAAUGUUGCCAUACUUACAACAACAACCUCUAGAUGGUCAACACUUAGAGUCGUAGCCCUUGCUUUUGGCAUUCCCUGGUCCAUAUGCUAUGUUGUUAUCAAUGAGGAAGCAAAUGUCCGCUAUUAAUUACACGAGACAUCAGUCAAAUCAGUCAAAAGAUGUUAUUGAUUGAACCAAGUGGGCAAAUUGAAUGAACCACCAGCUCCACCAAGCCCUUAAGGCUUCGGUAACCUUGCCUCCCAUUAAAAUGUCAUUCUUGUGGCUUUUCUUCAAAUUUAGAUCGGUGUAUUGUGCACCCGUCUGAUCCAGUGGUGAUUCUGUUCUCAUCGAUCUUUCAUAAGCUCAAUUGAGCCUUCCUGUAAUUAGAAUAGGUGUAGGAGUAAGGAUGACAAUUGAUUAAAAAAAAAAAAAAAGUGAGCAAAUUGAGCGAGGAUGCGUAAUUGACCUGGAAGUCUUGGCAGACUUGGAGGAAUCAAUCAACAUUCUCUAACUUGAAUGAGGUAAGCACAAAGGUAAGCAUUUUCCAUUUUUAUUUUGGUUUUCAUUUCUUGUAUACUCUAAAACUUUUUUCAUUCUACCCCACGCACAUAUAAUAUAUAAUGAAAUGUAAAUUUUUUUAUGAAAACAUAUAAAAUAUAUAAAAUGAAAAAUAAAUUUUUUAUAAAAACAUAUGUUUAUAUUUAUCUUUGUAUAAUGAAAAUAUAUAAUUCAUUCUACCAAUAUAUACGCAUAUAUAUAUAUAUAUAUGUAUAAUGAAAAAUUAAAUUUCUCCUUCAUCUUCAAGGCUGCACCUACAAACAACAAAACUCCGCUCCACUCAACUCUUUCCUUCGUGUUUUGUGUUUUUUUAUAAAAAACAUAUAUAUAUAUAUAUAUAUAUAUAUAUAUAUAUAUAUAUCUUUUAAGUUUCACUAAUUGUUUUGUUUUUUACUAAUAUUACCUCAUGAGAGGUAAAAAGGGUAUAAAUGGAACAACAUUAUUAUCUCAAUUUCCAAAAGACUUUUUUAAUGGUACUUUUUCGAACAUGGGUUGAAGCUAUUAUCAAAAUCUAGUUUAGGAAAAAUUAGUGCUAUUUUUCAAAAUUUAGGAAAGCUGAGUACAACUGUUAGAAAUCUCAGGGACGGUUUUUGCAAUUAUCCCUCAAAGCAUAGACCAAGACUACACUAAUCCCUAAAAAUUUGACACCUAUUUCUUAUAACUAUACUAGAUAAUUUCAUAAUUGUAUAGAAAAAUAAAUUAAAAUUUAUUAUACAAAGGUAUUUUUGGAUAUUUAUUUAAAAAUUUGAUCAAAUUAAUAUUAUUUUAAAACUUUAUUACAAAAACUAUCAAAUCAAAGGAAGUAAGCGUAAUAUUUCAAACCUUACAGUAAAAUUGUUAGAAACCUCAUAGAGGUUCCUGAAAUUAUCCCUAAUAUUUUUUUUUGUACAAAAAACUCCAAAAAAAGUGGCAGCUCAAACGGGGCCAACAAUCUACUAUGUUUGCCUGUUCUCCCGCCGGACCCACCAGCCGCCGGCGGCCAUGGGUCAUCUAUAAAAGCAUAGAUCAAGACUACACUAAUCCCUCAUCAGUCCAGUCCAUCCAUAAUUGCAGAAACUGGUAGGUUUUGUAUUUAACAAAAAUAUGAGACUUUGUAGAUUUUGAAGUUUAAGGAAUGGAUAUUUGAAGUUUAACGAUCGUUAUACAACUUUCAAAACAAAUAAAUCCAUUCUAAUUUUUUUUUGGAUAAUUUCAUAAAUCAAAUCGUGGUCACUUUCGCAAAAGUCAUAUUUUUCCAUAAAAGACCAGCUCUUUAUGGCUUUCCUCCAUUAUAAAAACAUAGUACCCAUUUUUCCAUAAACAAAUUUAUUUAUCGAAUAAAAUAAAAAUAAAUCCGUUUUCCAAUAAAACACCAGCUCUUUAUGGCUUUCUUCCAUUAUAAGAAUAGAGUAACCAUUUUUUCAUAAACAAAUUUAUUUAUCGGAUAAAAUAAAAAUAAACCCGUUCUCCAAUAAAACAUGAGCUCUUUAUGGCUUUAGAAUGAAGGGUUACUCCCUCUUGUUUGAUAUAUCUGAACCUCUUGUUUAAUUUAAAAAUCACCACCAUCAUUCUUGUUUGAUAUAUCUGAACCUUUCACAUUUUUACCAGUUUUUUUCCCUUUUUUUUUCUCUCUUUCAAUUUCCUAAAGAUUGAUGAAAUCUUUGCAGGUCCGAAUAAACCAAAGAACGAAAAUCCAAUCAAAAAGUUCGAAAUUAAAGUUUAAAGGAAUGGCAACCUCAGAAGUCGUUCUCCGGUGCCUCCCUCGUCCCUCACGUCGCAGUAGUCACCAAGUCUUCAGCAGUCAACAAGUCUUCAGCAGUCAACAUCCAAAGCUUAUAAAGUAGCACGAAUACUAUUGUAUAUAAGAACUUAAAUUUUGCAUCCGCGAGGGCGGCAGAAGUCAAUACUCCAGGAGGGACUAGGGGCAGAGGGCGGCCGCCGCCGAGGGAAGUGGGAACUGGCUAUAGAAGGUCAUCGGGUGGUGGACUAUGAGGAGAGCAAAGGAAUAUCAAUUGAGAGUGCAGCGUAUGAUGGAGAGAAAGAGAGGGUAUGUCCGUCAUAAAUGUUGUCUGAGGGAAUAAGUUGAGAGUUUUGUCCAAAACUUCCCAAUUUGCUCGAGAAUGGGAUAAGUCAGAUUUUUUAGAAAUGAUUCCAAAAAUUACAUUCCAAUAGGCUUAACCCAAGCAACAAAUAAAGGGUUUAUUCCAUUCUGUGAUUCCCAAACCCUUUAACCCAAUAGCCCCUUAAUAUUUUUUUACUAAUAUUACCUCAUGAGAGGUAAAAAUGAUAUAAAUGGAACAAAAUUAUUAUCUCACUUUCCAAAAGACUUUUUUAAUGGUACUUUUUCUAACAUGGGUUGAAGUUACUAUCAAAAUCUAGUUUAGGAAAAUUUAGUGCUAUUUUUCAAAUUUUAGGAGAGGUGAGUACAACUGUUAGAAAUCUCAGGGACGAUAUUUGCAAUUAUCCCUAAAAGCAUAGACCAAGACUACACUAAUCCCUAAAAAUUUGACACCUAUUUCUUAUAACUAUACUAGAAAAUUUCAUAAUUGUAUAGAAAAAUAAAUCAAAAUUCAUUAUCCAAAGAUAUUUUUAGAUAUUUAUUUAAAAUUGAUCAAAUUAAUUAUUUUAAAUUUUUAUUACAAAAUCUAUCAAAUCAAAGGAGGUAGGCGUAAUAUUUCAAACCUUACAGUAAAAUUGUUAGAAACCUCAGAGAGGUUCCUGAAAUUUUCCCUAAUUUUUUUUUGGUACAAAACCCUCCAAAAAAGUGGCAGUUCAAACGGGGCCAACAUUCUCCUAUCUUCACAAGUCCUCCCGCUGACCCACCAGCCGCCGGUGGCCCCGGGUCAUCUAUAAAAGCAUAGACCAAGACUACAGAAAUCGUCCAGUCCAUCCAUACUGUAAGGCCCGGUGCAACCCAAUGAGUACAAACAAUUUCACAAUGAUGCACAAAGAUAUAUCAAAUUUAAGCACAAUAAAGAAAACUUAAUUAAAGAGAAAAGAUAAGAAAUGCAAACCAAAUAUCAAUCCAAUAGCCUCUUCAAUUGAUGGCGAUGCUAACCAAGAUGUACAAGUGAAGGCUCACUCCUUCCUCACCCCAAACACUCUUUGGUUGAGCCAAGGAGUUUUACAACUAUUCUAGUUAACCCUCAACAACUUACACUUGAAAGAUCACUCACCCAAUUAAGAACUAUUUUAUACAAAUGAGGCAACAUUCACCAAGAUUUUACCACUCCAAGUGAUAGGUUCACCUUCACCAAGGUUUUACUCCUGCUAGAGAGUAACCUUCACUUGAGCAACCUCACAACCCAACUUUCCCAACCCCUUAUACAACCAACAAAGAAUCUUUCUACUCAAAAAUCUCACUUGUAAGCUUGUAUUUUGUGUUGGCAAAAGUCUGGUGUCUUCUUGUGCUUUGGGGUGUUUAUAGAAGGUGAGAAAUGGCUCCAAAAGGCUCUCCAACGCUCAAAUAUUAAAUGCUGUCAAAACUAGCCGUUGGCUUGUCGGACGUCCGAACCACCUGUCGGACGUCCGAACCCUGCGUCCAAACCACCUGUCGGACGUCCGAACCCUGCGUCCGAACGUCGUCAGAGAGUCAUCAAAUCUUUGCGAAAUUUCUCGGACGUCCGAUGCUUUCUCACGAGCGUCCGACAAAGUUUCCUUCUGGAUGUUCUUCAUCCUUUCGGACGUCCGAUAGCUUCCUUUCGGACGACCGACAUGAGUGCCCUGUUUUUGCUUCUUCUUUUGUGCCACAAGAAUCUGUUCUAACAAAUUGCUCACAUAAAAACAUUAGCCCAAAUCUACAUUUUGGUUUGUUAAUCAUCAAAACCAAGGUCAACACAUACUUCUUCUUCAGGCCUCAGCUACUAAACAAUAAACUCUGCUCCACUCAACUUGUGCUCAAAAUAUGACAGUGACCAAUUGUUCUACAAAAUUAGUAGGAUAAGCAGUUGACAGAUUUUAUAAUCCCUUUUGGUCAAAUAUUAUUUAAAUUCAUACUUUAAUCUUAAAUUUAUAGUUGGAUGGUCCAGGAUGUGGUAAAAUUUUUCAUUCAAACUAACGAUAGUAUGAAAAAAAGACUAAUUAAUAAAAAUACGAUCUCGAAAAAUUUUUAAUUCACAGUCACAAUAUGUGAAUUCGUGAUAAAUACAAAAAAGUAUGGUACUUUGAUAAUACAAUGAAGGAAAGCCAUAAAGAGCAGGCCAUUUACGGGAAAAGUUUUCAUUAAUAAAAAUACCAACUCUUCACGGCUUUUUUACCAGUCCUUCAACGUAUGAGCAAAGUGCCAAUAAUUAAAUUAGUAAUUUUUUCGAUUUAUACAUAAUUAAUUUUUUUUUGCAUUUCCACAAAAAACAAAUGAAAAUUUUUUAUCAGAAAGCACAAAAGUCAAAAUGAUUGGUUUAAAAGGGAAAGGAAUAGCAGAUAUGUACAGUACUUGUAUUUCACGUUCGAAAUGCUACAGUGCUAUUUUUGAAAAACACCCCCAACAAAAUCUAAUCCAAACGGAACCAAUUUUCAGUAUUUAAAAUACCAAAUUUGUGAAUGUGUUUUAACUGUUAUUCAUUGGUAUCCUAAAAUAUCAUUUUUUCCAUCAAAUAUCAGCUCUUUAACACCUAUUUUCCCAUAAACAAAUUUAUUUAUCGGAUAAAAUAAAAAUAAAUAGCUAUUUCCAAUAAAUAGCUGGUGUUUUAUUGGAAAAACCCGUUUUCCAAUAAAUAGCUAUUUCCAAUAAAUGGUUGGUGUUUUAUUGGAAAACGGAUUUAUUUUUAUUUUAUCCGAUAAAUAAAUUUAUUUAUGAAAAAAUAGGUUCUCUGUUAUAAUGGGAAACAGAGUACCUAUUUUAAACAUUUCCCAUUGAAUUUGUUUUGGAUAUUUAUUUAAAAAUUUGAUCAAAUUAAUAUUAUUUUAAAACUUUAUUACAAAAACUAUCAAAUCAAAGAAAGUAAGCGUACAGUAAAAUUGUUAGAAACCUCAUAGAGGUUCCUGAAAUUAUCCCUAACUUUUUUUUUUGUACUAAAAGCUCCAAAAAAGUGGCAGCUCAAACGGGACCAACAAUCUACUAUGUUCGCCUGUUCUCCCGCCGGACCCACCAGCCGCCGGCGGCCAUGGGUCAUCUAUAAAAGCAUAGAUCAAGACUACACUAAUCCCUCAUCAGUCCAGUCCAUCCAUAAUUCUCCUAUCUCCACAAGUCCUCCCGCUGACCACCAGCCGGCGGCGGCCCUGGGUCAUCUAUAAAAGCAUAGACCAAGACUACAGAAAUCGCUCAGUCCAGUCCAUCCAUACUUCCUCUUCAGGCCUCAGCUACUAAACAAUAAAUGAUAGGUUGCAUUUUAGUGGGUAUUUUGGGCAUUAUUGCAUAAUUAAUUGACUAAAUAUUUUCGUUAAUUGGGUGGAUUCUACUGAUAUUUUGUUUUGGUGCUAAUUGCAGGAAUGGUUGCUGAAAAGCGCUUAAAUUCAACUUUUAGAAGAUUCAUCGGAGUGGGGCCCGUUUGAGAAGCGGAAAAAACCUAAUUGUAAUAGAUUUUAUUUUAAUAUAUAUUUCUAGGGAGUCUUGCUGCAAUUUUGGAGAAGUAACAAUUUGUAAUUUAUCUCUGGCGCGGCUUAGGUUAGAGGAGAGUCUUCGUUUUUGGUUUUUGAAUGAGAGGAGAGAGCCGCAGCCUGGAGGGGAAAAAGGCAACGGACAGAAGCCAUCAUUGUUGACUUGUGAGAAACGAAUUCUUCAUGUUUUGACUUGACAACUUGAGAAAUCAAGCAAUUGAGAAACUUUCACUCUCGUGUAUCUUGACUUCAAUUGGAAAAAGGAAGAAAGCUUAAAGGAGCCGCCAUUGUUGACUUUGCUCUUGGGCUGUCCUACCUUGUGCGAAUCGAAUUGGAGAACAAAAGCAAUCUCUCGUAUGUUUCCACUUAACAAUCGAGAGCAAUACAAAUUUGAGCUUUCUCCUCCUGUGGUGGACCGAAGCGGGAUAAUCGAAGUGCAAACCUUUCUCAGUUUUCCACGCGCGGUUUGUCCUCCAUUAAUGGAGGGCUAAUUCUCUAAUUCUAGUCAAGGGACAGCUGAUGAAUUGGUUCAAUUAAUGCUGUGAGAUCUAAACCGCUUUUAAUUAUUUCCUCCGUUUAUUGGUAUUUAUAUGUUCUUUGCUUUUAACUGUUAUAGCUCUUGUGUAUGAUUGAUUAGUGCGCAAUAAUUGAUUAUUCAUAUAGGCUAUUUUGCUAAAUAGAGGUAAUUGAAUCCGUAAUUGUUCGUUACCUCUAUCCCAGUAGCAACUGGUAUAAUUGGGUUUAUGUCAGGGGAAUAUAUGAUCUAGCUUAAAUAAACCCUCGUAGCGUGUUUAUUGGUUAGGAUUGGGCCUUUCUAAUUAUUAAUGCAAUCUGGAAAUUGAAUCCUACGGUCGUACCUAGGGUUGUUUUUGGGUUAGAGAAAUAGCUAACGGUCGUACCUUGGCUAUCGAUAAAUUAAGGAAUGGUUGGUUGUUUAGCGCGUGCGAGACAACUAGAACCAAUCUAUUAGUAAAUGUUGGAAUUACCUUUGAAUCAAUGAUCAGUGCAUGAACCAUUUCUGAAGUAUACCCUUGGCUAGAGUUUCUCUCAUUUAUUUCUUUUAAUUAAUUAUUUUCUGCAGUUAAUUUGUUUAGUUGGCAUUUGAUACCAAAACCCCCCAUUAAUCUUGAUUUGAAAAGAAACAAAUAUCUCUCCAGUCCCUGAGGAGACGACCCUGCUUACCACUAUCUACUAGUUAGAGAACUCAGUUAAAUAAUUGAUUCAGGUAUAUCGGAUUAAGCAAACUCUUCGGGAACAGGGUGAAUCAAGUAACCCAUUGCACACCUAGAGUCCCUGCUCCAGUACUCGAAUUGAUUACUAGCUGUUGCAGGUGGUAGUUAGGAUUUAUUUAUUAUUAUUGCACAGGUUCGGCACCUGUCAAUUUUUGGCGCCGUUGCCGGGGACUGGCGUCUGAAUUAGUUGUUUCUUUUUGAAUUCAGUUUUUAUUUUGUUUUAUUUUAUUUUUCUUUUUCUUGGUACUUUUGCUAGUUUAUGCCCCGUUCUUCUCGCACAGGUGACUUGGUAUACGAUCCUGAGGUUGAGAAGGCAGCACGUAGGCGAAGGCAAGAGACCAAGAGACAAAAAGAAGGGUACUCAUUUUCUGAAAACGAGUCAAUAGAAGACGAAUUGAGCAUGGCCAACACCCAGACAUUACGGGAGCUGGCUACCCCAGAACUGACUCAUCAGCCCUUGUGCAUCACGUUCCCAACUCUGGCUGAGAAUACCUCAUUCGAGUUGAAAUCGGGGUUGAUUCAACUCCUACCUUCGUUCCAUGGCCUUUCUGGUGAGGAACCCCACAAACAUAUCAAGGAAUUCGAAGUGGUUUGCUCUAGCAUGAAACCCCCUGCGGUCACCGAAGAGCAAAUACGACUCAGGGCUUUCCCUUUCUCUCUCAAGGAUGCAGCGAAGGAUUGGCUAUACUACCUACCUGCAGGUAGUAUCACCACGUGGGCACAGUUGAAAAAGAAAUUUCUGGAAAAAUUUUUUCCCGCAUCCCGGGUUGCGAGUUUGAGAAAGGAAAUAUGCAGUAUCAAGCAGUACUCCGGGGAAUCAUUGUACGAUUAUUGGGAAAGGUUCAACAAGUUGUGCAAGGGAUGCCCACAGCAUCAGAUUAGCGAACAACUGUUGAUCCAGUACUUCUAUGAAGGGCUCCAGUCAACUGACAGGGGUAUUAUUGACGCUGCGAGUGGAGGAGCCCUGGCGAACAAAACACCGAGGGAAGCAUGGGACCUUAUUGAAGCCAUGGCAGAAAACUCUCAGCAGUUCGGCUUCCGUGAGAGCAAUCCUACCCGUAGGGUAAAUGAGGCAGAGACGUCAUCCAUCCAGCAGCAACUGUCAGAGUUGACGUCUGCAGUCAGGCAGUUGGCCAUGAGAGACACACCGCGAGCAAAGGUGUGUGGAAUCUGUACUAGCAUGGACCACUGCACGGAUUCGUGCCCCAUUCUGCAAGAGGACGGGGCGGAACAGGUAAACAUGGCCGGAGGCAUGCCCGCGCCCCGCAGGCAAUAUGACCCGUAUUCCAACACAUACAACCCCGGUUGGAGAGACCACCCCAAUCUCAGUUACGGGAACAGGCAACAAGGUUCAUUCCCGAAUCGUCCACCAGGAUUCCACCAGCCUUGGCAACCAAAAUCUCAACCCUCAUCCUCCAAUACAGGAAGCUCUUUGGAGGACCUAGUCAAGAACCUGGCCACGACUACUACCAACCUGGCCACGACUACUACACAGCUUCAACAGGAGAUCAGAUCCUUGGCCGCGAAAACCGAGCAGCUCCAGCAGGACACCAAAGCUGACAAGAAAGACCAAGAUGUUCGAAUAAGUCAACUGGCAACUGCCAUCAACCGCUUGGAAUCUCACGUUUAUGGGAAACUGCCAUCGCAACCCGAGGUAAAUCCCAGGAAUGUAAGUGCCAUGACGCUGAGGAGUGGCAAGGAGCUGGAAGAACCUAAAGUGAAAAAUUCAAAAAGCAAAAGCGAGGAGGAGAUAGAAAAGGAAAUUGAGGAGGAAGGACGUGUUCGUGAAGAUCCUAAGGUAUCCUCCACCUCUCCACUCACUAUCAGCUCUAACUUACCCCCUUUUCCUUGCAGGUUGGAAAAGACAAGGAAAGUAGAGAGGGAAAAGGAACUUUUGGAUGUAUUCAGAAAAGUAGAGAUUAACAUCCCCCUACUGGAUGCAAUCAAGCAAAUACCGAAAUAUGCCAAAUUUCUGAAGGACCUGUGCACCCACAAGAGGAAGCUAAGGGGAGAUGAACGAGUGGCGGUGGGAGAAAACGUGUCAGCUAUACUCCAGAGGAAGCUCCCACCAAAAUGUGGAGACCCAGGUAUGUUCACCAUUCCCUGCAAGAUAGGAGGUACUCCAAUUAGGAAAGCAAUGUUGGAUUUGGGGGCGUCAAUUAAUGUUAUGCCCAAGACAAUCUAUGCAUCUCUAAAUCUUGGCCCGUUAAAAGGCACAGGCAUUAUAAUCCAACUUGCAGACCGUACCAAUGCUUACCCGGAAGGGUUAGUUGAAGAUGUUUUGGUACAGGUCAAUGAGUUAGUUUUUCCUGCAGAUUUCUAUGUCCUAGACAUGGGGGAUGAAAGGGCACUAAAUCCGUCUCCUAUUCUGUUAGGUAGGCCAUUUUUAAGCACUGCUAGGACUAAAAUAGAUGUAAAUGAGGGUACCUUGUCGAUGGAGUUUGAUGGGAAAAUUGUAAAUUUUAAUAUUUUUGAGGCGAUGAAGUACCCAGAUGAGACUAACUCUGUUUAUGCUUUAAGUGUUGUUGAGCCCCUUGUACAGGAAAUAUUUGAAUUGGAUGGGGUUGAUGCACUGGCAGUGGCAUUGACCAAACAUCUUGAGUUGGGAGCAACUCUUGAUGUAGAAAUAAAUGAUGAGCUAGACCACGCUGUUGGAGCACUGCAUUCGCUCCCACCAAUUUCCCCAAGGUAUGAGCUUACUUCUGUUUUUGUACCAGAAACUCAGGCAAAAUUGUUGCCUUCUAUUGUGCAGGCGCCUGAGUUGGAGCUCAAACCUCUCCCAAAGCAUUUGAAGUAUGCUUUUCUCGGGGACAAUGAGACACUGCCAGUCAUCAUAUCUGCACACCUGUCACCAGGGCAAGAAGAUAGACUAAUUCGCCUUCUUCGAGAUCAUAAGGAGGCGAUUGGGUGGAGUGUAGCAGAUAUCAAAGGAAUUAGCCCCUCCUUAUGCAUGCAUCGAAUCCGGCUUGAGGAUGAUGCAAAGCCAGUUAGACAAGGGCAACGGAGAUUGAACCCACUAAUGAUGGAAGUGGUCAAGAAGGAGAUACUUAAACUCCUAGAAGUUGGAAUAAUUUUCGCCAUCUCAGAUAGUCCCUGGGUGAGUCCCGUGCAAGUAGUCCCGAAAAAGGUGGGAGUAACAGUUGAGGAGAACCAAGAGGGUGAGAUGGUCCCGGUGAGGAAACCCACAGGAUGGCGUCAGUGCAUUGACUAUCGGCGUCUGAAUGCUGUGACAAAGAAGGACCACUUCCCUCUACCUUUUAUUGAUCAGAUGAUAGAAAGGUUAGCUGGCCGUGUCUAUUACUGUUUUCUUGAUGGUUUCUCUGGUUAUUUUCAGAUCGUAAUAGCACCAGAGGAUCAGGAGAAGACUACCUUCACCUGUCCCUUUGGUACAUUUGCCUACCGGAGGAUGCCUUUCGGCCUCUGCAACGCCCCAGCAACUUUUCAGCGGUGUAUGGUAAGUAUAUUUUCUAAAUAUGUAGAAAAAAUUAUUGAGGUGUUUAUGGAUGAUUUUAGUGUGUAUGGAGAUAGUUUUGAUGAAUGCCUUGAUAAUUUAGCUUUAAUUUUGAAAAGAUGCAUUGAGACAAAUUUGGUUCUAAAUUGGGAAAAAUGUCAUUUCAUGGUGGAUCAUGGUAUUGUUUUAGGGCAUGUAGUGUCGUCCAGAGGUAUAGAGGUAGACAAGGUAAAAGUCGAUAUUAUCUCUGUUUUACCUUACCCCGCAAGUGUGCGGGAGGUGCGCUCCUUUUUGGGUCAUGCAGGGUUCUACAGGAGAUUCAUAAAAGACUUCUCGAAAAUUGGAGCGCCCCUGUUCAAGCUGUUGCAAAAAGAUGUAGCAUAUGACUUCACCGAGGAGUGCAAGGUGGCAUUUGACAGAUUGAGGGAGUCAUUGACAUCACCACCUGUUAUCCAACCUCCAGACUGGAGCCUCCCAUUUGAGAUAAUGUGUGACGCGAGUGAUUAUGCAGUGGGAGCAGUGUUGGGGCAACGGAUUGGUAGGGCGGCUCAUGCAAUCUAUUAUGCAUCAAAGGCGUUGAAUGGAGCUCAACUCAAUUAUUCUACAACAGAGAAAGAAUUACUUGCUGUGAUUUUUGCACUAGAAAAAUUUAGACCAUACUUGCUAGGUGCAAAAGUAAUAGUUUUUUCUGACCAUGCAGCCUUGAGAUAUCUGAUGACGAAGAAAGAUGCUAAACCAAGGCUUAUCAGAUGGAUCCUGCUCCUCCAAGAGUUCAAUUUGGAGAUUAAAGAUAAGAGUGGGGCAGAAAACUUAGUCGCUGAUCAUUUGAGCCGCUUGCUUGCUCAUAAGGAAGAGCCACCAUUGAGGGAGGCAUUUCCAGAGGAGCAACUACUUGCCAUUAACUCGUCUACACCCUGGUAUGCUGAUAUAGUAAAUUUCUUGGUGACUAAUCAAUUGCCUGCAGGGUGGCCCAAGGCUAAGAGAGACAAGUUGAAAAGUGAUGUCAAAUAUUACAUUUGGGACGACCCGUACCUUUGGAGACAAUGACAGGUGCCGAACCUGUGCAAUAAUAAAUACCUACUCGAGAAAAAUACAGAUUUUGUAUAUAGCGGUGAGUAGGGUCGAAUCCACAGGGACUGGGGAUAAUUCGUUUCUUCUAGAGUCCAAAGUAUGGGGGGUUUUGGAUUAAAUGCUAACUAAAUAAAUUAAUUGCAGAAAAUAAUUAAUUAAAAGAAAUGAUUGGGGAAACUCUAGCCAAGGGUACACAUCAGAAAUGGUUCAUGCACUGAUCAUUGAUGCAGAAAUAAUUCCAACAUUUAGCAGUAGAUUAGUUAUAGUUGUCAUGCACGCGAUAAACAACCAACCCUUCCUUAAUUUCUCGAUAGCUAAGGUACGACCGUUAGCUAUUUCUCUAACCCAAAAAUAACCCUAGGUACGACCGUAAGAUUUAAUUUCUAGAUUGCAUUAAUAAUUAGAAAGGCCCAAUCCUAACCAACAAACACGCUACGAGGGUUUGUUUAAAUUAGAUCAUAUGCUCCCCUGACAUAAACCCAAUUACGCCAGUUGCUACUGAGGUAGAGAUAACGAACAAUUACGGAUUCAAUUACCCAUAUUUAGCAAAAAUAGCCUAUAUGAAUAAUUAAUUAUUGCGCACUAAUCAAUCAUACACAAGGCCAUAGCAAUUAAAAUCAAGGAACAUAUAAAUACCAAUAAAUGAAGAAAAUAAUUAAAACAGAUUCGAUCUCACAGUAAUUGUCGAACCAAAUCGUCAGUUGUCCCCUUGACUAGAAAAGCUUAACCACGCCUCAUGAGAAAAUCUCCCCGUUGGGGAAUAUUGUCGAACACCUGGCGUGUGUCAGAGGCCAGUCCAAAGAAAGAAAACUAGAACUAAACUAAAACUAGAGAUGUCCCUGCUACUCUACGUUAUCCCUAUUUAAGCAACAAGAGGAAGAUGACUAAAGGCUAUCUAGGUGGUCCCCACACAUGUGGACAAAGCCCUCCAAGUACUUCUUGUUCCAAGUCUCUUUCCCGUAGCUUUCUUUUAAGAGCCCAAAUGACUAGAUGCUUUCCACUAGCUUGUGGUCCCCCACCAAUUCAAGGGCCCAAGAAUUGAAGCCCUUAGAAGUCUCCCUAUUUUCCAUAAAGUCCUUCCUUUUUGAUGGUUUUCUGCUUCAUUCCUGAAAUUAAGUCCAAUACCAAAUAUAAGUAAAUAUCAGCAAUUAACACAAUAUUUGUCAGGAAUAAAAGGGGAAAUUAAUAAUAAAAUUACUAACAAAUUAUACCCUAUCAGACAAUGUUCGGAUCAAGUGCUCAGGAGGUGUGUAAGUGCAGGUGAAUUUCACUCCAUUUUAAUCUUCUGUCAUUCGUUUGCAUGUGGAGGGCACUUUGGGCCCAAACGAACAGCUCGAAAGGUGUUGGAGAGUGGUUUUUACUGGCCCACCCUGUUCAAAGAUGCUUAUUUAUUCUGUAAAUCCUGUGAUAGGUGUCAAAGGGUGGGGAAUAUUUUUCGCAGGGACCAAAUGCUUCAAACCCCCAUGUUGUUUGUUGAAAUUUUUGAUGUUUGGGGGAUAGAUUUUAUGGGUCCUUUUCCCUCAUCUUUUGGUUUCCUAUACAUUUUACUUGCUGUGGAUUAUGUCUCUAAAUGGGUGGAAGCCAAAGCCACCCGUACUAAUGAUUCUAGAGUGGUUGCAGAGUUCUUAAAGUCUAAUAUCUUUGUCCGUUUUGGGAUGCCAAGAGCUGUGGUUAGUGAUAGAGGGACACAUUUCUGCAACAAAACUAUCACGGCCUUGUUUCGAAAAUACGGUGUACUGCACAAGGUAUCCAUACCGUAUCACCCGCAGGCGAACGGUCAGGCCGAAGUGUCGAACAGGGAAGUCAAGUCGAUCUUGGAGAAGAUGGUGCGCCCGGACAGGAAGGAUUGGAGUUUAAAGUUAGAGGACGCACUAUGGGCGUACAGAACCGCGUAUAAGACGCCAAUUGGGAUGUCUCCCUAUAGACUUGUUUUCGGUAAGGCUUGCCAUCUCCCCGUGGAGUUCGAACACAAGGCGUUUUGGGCAGUGAAGCAGUGUAACAUGGGAUUUGACGAAGCAGGGGUCCAAAGGAAAUUGCAACUACAGGAGUUAGAGGAGAUAAGAAAUGAAGCUUAUGAGAAUGCCACGAUCUAUAAGGAAAAGAGUAAAAUCUUUCAUGAUCAACAGGUUUCUAGGAAAACUUUUGUAGUGGGGCAAAAAGUCCUCUUGUAUCACUCAAGGCUUAAACUUUUUCCCGGUAAGUUGCGUUCUCGUUAGAUUGGUCCAUUUGUCGUUUCUAAUGUGUUCCAUUAUGGUGCAGUGGAGAUCCAGAGUUUAAACACGGAGAAAAAGUUCGUGGUGAAUGGCCAUCGUCUCAAACCUUAUUAUGAGGGUUUCUAUGUUGAAGAAGUAGAGGUUGAACACCUCCACGAUCCACUUUCUCAUGCUUGAGGGUUUUGGCCAUGUCUAGCCAAAGACAUUAAAGAAAGGCGCUACUUGGGAGGCAACCCAAGACUAUUUGUGGCAGUUUUCAUGCAUUUUUGAAGUUUUAGUUAUGUAUUAGUGUCGAUUGAUGGUUUGAUGUUUUGUGGCAGGAGAUUAGUGGUUAGGCGUGCCCACGCCGGGUGGUCACGCCUGACGGAGGAAAUUUUCGUUCAGGUUCUGCGGGCUACAUGGUAGUUAGACGUGCCCACGCCAGAUGGUCACGCCUGACGGAGGAAAUUUUCGUUCAGAAUCUGCGGGCUACAUGGCAGUUAGGCGUGCCCACUCUAGGUGGUCACGUUAAAAAAAAAAAAAAAAAAAAAAAAAAAAAAAAAACUUCCGUAGCCCUACUUCUCCUUUUCUUCUUUUUUUCUUUCUUUCUUCUUUCUUCUCCCUUUUCUUUCUUUUCUUCUUUUCCUUCUUUUGCUUGGUCGGCCGCCGCACCACACGCCGUCCAUCGCGGUCGCUGCACAGCCGCGUCUCCCAGCCGCGCGAGACCGCGCGCGCCUGCCGCCAGCCCAUCGCGCCGCCGCCUGCCUCGCCCAGCCUCGCUUGCCGCGCGCUAGCGCGCAGCCAGAAUCAGACCGCGCGCGUCUUCCUGCGCUGGUCCAGAUCCACCUAGCAACAGCGGGCAGCAGUCUCCUCGCGCGAGCUCCUCUCGCAGGCAGCCCAGACGCACGCGAGCUCUGUCCAGACGCGCGCACCGCCCAACAACCCGCGCGCCACUCCAGUACGCCCCAGUUGCACGACAGUGCGCUCCCGCAGCUUCGCGCGACACUACCGCCGCCGUCCACCAAGCUCCAGCCCAACUUGCAGCAGCCGCACAAGCUUCUCGAGCAGUCAACCCACCGCGCGGGCCACCAGACCCACCAGCCGCAGUCGCGGACCACAGGCGCGCCGCCCAGCAGCUCGCGCAACCUCUGCACAACUCAGCCAGCGCGCAGCCAACACCAGCGCGCCCCUUGUGCGUGCGACCAAGCAGCCUCUGCGCGACUCCGGUGAUUUCUUUUUCAAUUUCUGUCACUAAGUAGCUGAUGGUUCCGCUGCCAGAAUUUAAUUUUGUAGCUGAUGAUAGAAUGUUUAUUUGCUAGCUCAGGACAGAAAUCUUGUGCUUGAUUUUGGGUGCUGUGUUAUAUCCGUGGGUGAUUGCUGGCUAAUUGUCGAAUUUUGUGCUUAAUCAGUGAUAGUUGGGGGGGAAUUUUUACCCUGGUUGCCUGUUUAAUUAGUCUUGGGAAAAAUUGUUGUGUUUACCUACUUAAUUGAUUUUUGGGUUUAUUUGGUUGUAUUUGGGAAAAAUUUUGGUGUUCGCAGGUUUAAUUGACUCUUGGGGUAAUUUUAUUGUUGAUUUGUGCACUUGUUUGGGAUUGGGAGCUGUGGCUGGGGAUCAUUUGUUUUGAUUGGCUAUUUGUUGGCUAUUUGUUGAUCUCGUUGGGUUACCAUUCCCCUGCCUUGGACCUUCCCUCUGAUUUCAAAUGACUAAACCCAAGAACAAAGGCAAAAACACGCCCUCCACUUCCACCCCUCAGCCUACGGUCCCCUUAGAGCGACCUUCCCCAUCGACUGGGCCUGGAGGACCCCGUACUCGCCUUGGGCGGAAUAGGGAGGUUCAUAUCUCCUCUCCGGCCCAUUUUGGCGGUCACUUGACCUUCACCCGGGCUGCCGACAAGGAGCGGUAUGCAUCGGCUUGCACAAGGAAGAUUAUUUCUUGUAAAUACAUCCAUGGCCCUACACUUGAUAUUUUAAACCUGAGGGAUGAAGUCACGCAGCACUUGACUAACGUAGGUUGGACCCGCUAUGCUUCUAUCAUUUUACCUGCUUUCACUGAACUGACGUGGGAAUUCUAUGCUACCUUUGAACUUAAUAUUCCUGAUGAAUUUUCCGUUACCACUCCUGGGGUAGUGAGGUUUCGAUUAAUGGGUAGAGAGUUCAUCCAAUCUAUAACUGAGUUUAAUUUGGCUUUUGGGUUUAUUGAUAUUCCCUACUCCCAGAGUGAGGAGUACAUGCACAGUGUGUGCGAGUACUCGGAGCCAUUUUUCUCUCAUUACCUUGAUUAUUGGAGUGGUUUGUCAGUUGACCGACAGUGCUAUGACCCCAGUCAGUCUAAGGCCUCUUAUCUUAAGAGCGCCGCCUACCGCUAUUUACAUCGAUUCAUGGCCUAUAGUUUCUCAGGUAGGAAGGAUAGCUCGGGUACUCUGACUAAGCCCGAGUUCUUUUUCGUUUGGUGCAUGGUCACUCGGACUAAGGUCAAUGUGGGUGGCUGGUUUGCCCUCCAGCUCCGAACUGUGCUAACUAAGAAAAAUAAGCCAUUAAUCUUAGGCUCAUUUAUCACUCAGUUGGCAGUGAAUCUUGGGGUUUUGGACUUAAAUAACCAUAAUUUGCAUCGUGCUUGUACUAUGGAACCUCUCGAUUUGGUUUGUUUGGAGAGAAUGGGUCUUGUGCGACAGGUUAAUGGCGUUUUCCAGUUUGCUCCCCCGGGGCCAAUCUCUGUUCCUCCGAAGCGCAGCGCUUCCAAAUCCACUGCCCCGGAGACUGGUGGUCCUUCUACGGAUACACCUGGACCUUCCUCUUCGGCACCCCCACCAUCUUCCUCCGUCGAUAGCCAGCUUGCAGCUCUUCGGUUCCAGAUGCAACACAUGGACAAUCGUAUGGAUCGAAUGGAGGGCCAAAUGGCCGGCAUGGCCCAGAAUUUAGCGCAGUACCUCCACCACGUGGGUUUCCGGCCACCGUGCCCUCCACGACCUUAGUUCACCUCUGCCCCGCCAUAUUAAGGGAAGUGUCGUGCCUUUAUCGCUUUAUUUUCCUCUUUAUCCGCUUCCAUUGGGGACAAUGAAAGGUUUAGGUGUGGGGGAGGGUUAACUAUGCUUUGGUUGUGCUUUUCGUUGUCUGAUUGAGUUUUUCCUUGCCUUAGUAGUUGUCUUUUCUUUGAACGAUGAUGAAUGCGAAUUGGGAUAUAAGCGUACAUAGUAAGUUCAUGCCAUGGGGUGUUCCACUUUCCUUGAUACUGAAUUGAUUGAUUAAUAUGCUGAACUUGACAUCCAUUUGAUCACUUGUGCGAUUUUUUUUUGGCCUAAUUUUCGUUUUGUUGAGUGGUUAGUGCACAUGGUUUGUCAUUCUAGAACUUGCUCGGUUAUGCAUGUCAAGAUCACAUUUAAAUGAAUUUAAUGCAUUGAAAUGAUAGGGCACCUAGGAAUGAGCCAUUUUUGGGACUUUCUUAAAACCAACCCUUGGAUUAUUUAUUAUCAUUAGGGAGCCAAGUUGAGCCUUAACCCCUAUUCGUUGCUUGAGACCCCAGCUCUUAGCCGUGAAACCUCUUUUUAGACUUUGUUUUUGAACCUCGUGUGAAGAAGUGCUUUGAUUUCAUUAUACAGACUUUUGGAGUGUUAUUCGAAGGGCAUUACACCCAUUUAUGUAUCUAAAAAAAAAAAAGAGAAAAAAAAAGAAAGAGAGAAAGAGAAAGUUGACUUUUAUGUGAAAAGAAGACAAAGUGCAGGAAACCAGCAAGUAAAGUUGACUUUUAGGGUGCUGGUUGGGAGUAUUGGAAAAAAAAAAAAAAAAAAAAAAAAAAGGAGAAAAGGCGAAGGCUGUGGCAAGUGCUAGUUCGCUUCACUUGUGUGAUGGUUGAGGUGCCUUUAAAUUUCAAAUGUGCAAAAAUCUAUGUAAUGAAUUUCUGGGCACUUUCUUUAUACUUUUGCACCCUUUUGACUCCUUUUUAUCCUACCUUCUCACCCUAGCCCCACUACAACCUUGCAAAGUCCCUUGAUUGCUGCAUUUAAAUUCAUGAGUAGGUGGUGGAGAUAUGAUAUAUGAGCAAGCUUAUGGUAGUGUCAUUCUAUUGUGUUGAUUUGAGAGCCAUCUUAUAUACAUUUCAUAUACACUUUGGAGUGAACGAGUGCAUUUGGAACUGUGAGCAUUGUUGAUUUGGUAUAUUCUGAUUUCGAUGAGGUUAGUGGGGAGAUUGGGAUGCCGUUUUUGGUAUGAACUGCUGUGAUUAGCUUCGUAUCUCGAUUGUAUUUCUGAGUAAUUAUGCUUGAGGGCAAGCAUAGUUCAGGUGUGGGGGAGAUUGAUAGGUUGCAUUUUAGUGGGUAUUUUGGGCAUUAUUGCAUAAUUAAUUGACUAAAUAUUUUCGUUAAUUGGGUGGAUUCUACUGAUAUUUUGUUUUGGUGCUAAUUGCAGGAAUGGUUGCUGAAAAGCGCUUAAAUUCAACUUUUAGAAGAUUCAUCGGAGUGGGGCCCGUUUGAGAAGCGGAAAAAACCUAAUUGUAAUAGAUUUUAUUUUAAUAUAUAUUUCUAGGGAGUCUUGCUGCAAUUUUGGAGAAGUAACAAUUUGUAAUUUAUCUCUGGCGCGGCUUAGGUUAGAGGAGAGUCUUCGUUUUUGGUUUUUGAAUGAGAGGAGAGAGCCGCAGCCUGGAGGGGAAAAAGGCAACGGACAGAAGCCAUCAUUGUUGACUUGUGAGAAACGAAUUCUUCAUGUUUUGACUUGACAACUUGAGAAAUCAAGCAAUUGAGAAACUUUCACUCUCGUGUAUCUUGACUUCAAUUGGAAAAAGGAAGAAAGCUUAAAGGAGCCGCCAUUGUUGACUUUGCUCUUGGGCUGUCCUACCUUGUGCGAAUCGAAUUGGAGAACAAAAGCAAUCUCUCGUAUGUUUCCACUUAACAAUCGAGAGCAAUACAAAUUUGAGCUUUCUCCUCCUGUGGUGGACCGAAGCGGGAUAAUCGAAGUGCAAACCUUUCUCAGUUUUCCACGCGCGGUUUGUCCUCCAUUAAUGGAGGGCUAAUUCUCUAAUUCUAGUCAAGGGACAGCUGAUGAAUUGGUUCAAUUAAUGCUGUGAGAUCUAAACCGCUUUUAAUUAUUUCCUCCGUUUAUUGGUAUUUAUAUGUUCUUUGCUUUUAACUGUUAUAGCUCUUGUGUAUGAUUGAUUAGUGCGCAAUAAUUGAUUAUUCAUAUAGGCUAUUUUGCUAAAUAGAGGUAAUUGAAUCCGUAAUUGUUCGUUACCUCUAUCCCAGUAGCAACUGGUAUAAUUGGGUUUAUGUCAGGGGAAUAUAUGAUCUAUCUUAAAUAAACCCUCGUAGCGUGUUUAUUGGUUAGGAUUGGGCCUUUCUAAUUAUUAAUGCAAUCUGGAAAUUGAAUCCUACGGUCGUACCUAGGGUUGUUUUUGGGUUAGAGAAAUAGCUAACGGUCGUACCUUGGCUAUCGAUAAAUUAAGGAAGGGUUGGUUGUUUAGCGCGUGCGAGACAACUAGAACCAAUCUAUUAGUAAAUGUUGGAAUUACCUUUGAAUCAAUGAUCAGUGCAUGAACCAUUUCUGAAGUAUACCCUUGGCUAGAGUUUCUCUCAUUUAUUUCUUUUAAUUAAUUAUUUUCUGCAGUUAAUUUGUUUAGUUGGCAUUUGAUACCAAAACCCCCCAUUAAUCUUGAUUUGAAAAGAAACAAAUAUCUCUCCAGUCCCUGAGGAGACGACCCUGCUUACCACUAUCUACUAGUUAGAGAACUCAGUUAAAUAAUUGAUUCAGGUAUAUCGGAUUAAGCAAACUCUUCGGGAACAGGGUGAAUCAAGUAACCCAUUGCACACCUAGAGUCCCUGCUCCAGUACUCGAAUUGAUUACUAGCUGUUGCAGGUGGUAGUUAGGAUUUAUUUAUUAUUAUUGCACAGGUUCGGCACCUGUCAAUAAACUCUGCUCCACUCAACUCUUUCCUCUGUGUCUUGUGCUCUUGUCCGAAAAUGGCGGCGUCAGAAGAAGUGAAAGUGCCAAGAAUCAAGCUGGGCUCGCAAGGUCUUGAAGUUUCAGCUCAAGGGCUGGGCUGCAUGGGCAUGUCAGAAGCCUACGGGCCGCCGAAGCCCGAGCCUGAUAUGAUCAAACUCAUCCACCAUGCUAUUUGCAGAGGUAUCACCCAUCUUGACACCGCCGAUAUGUAUGGACCUCACACCAACGAAAUACUCAUUGGCAAGGUACCGUAUUUACAAAUUUUCUGCUGUUGUGUGCUGUGCAUAAAAUCUUGUACUUUUAAUUUCUGAAAGAGCAUAUUUGUAAUAUUUUAUUUGGGUAUAUUAUACUUGACCCCCUGCACUUCAAAACUUGUCUCCCUUUGGGCCCCCUUAAUUUUGUUUGUGAGCACUUGAACUCCAUUUGUUUAAAUUGUAAGUAUUAUUAGUCAAAUAGGACAUUGUUCUUCUUUUCUUUUGCUUCAUUUCUUCAUGUUACUGCCUUUUCAGUUUGUCCUCCUUUAUAGACAUGGGAUGAAUUACUUUGAUUUUGAUUUUGGCGCAAUUUUGUAUAAAAUGAUUUUUGCUAUGAAGUUAUUGAUUUAUUAUGAGCUAUGCGUUGUAUAUUUACACAAAUUCUGCUAGCUAAACUUUUACUUGAGCAAGCCUUCCAUACAUGAGCAAUAUAAUUCUCUAUGGGUGCAUUUCGUAAAAUUGAAGUUUGAAAAUUAAAAUCUAAUUUAAGUCUAAAUUCAUAAAGUUAUUAAAUUGUUAAGUAUUAAAUUUGAUACGUUUGAGUGCAUGUCACAUCAAACGAUCAGUGAAUAAUUUAUCACUUAUUUUUUGGAGCAAAUUUUGUUUAAGAAAUUCAAUGCCAUUUAAUUAAUUCCGAUAUUCAAUUUUUUAUUAUCAAACAUGUUUGAAUAUGUUAAGAUUUGAACCUAUUAAUUUUAAGUGUUGAAUUGGAUUAUCAAAUAAGACUUAUAAUCAUUAGGUAACCAAGCAGACAACAUGUUUAGUGUAUAAUAGUAAUUAACUUUCAAUUGUCUCAUUAUUCUUUGGUAAAGAACUCUUUGAAUAUUAAUAAUAAUUUUCUCAUACACGGGAAUCAAAAUAAUUGAAGUUUUAUCUCUACCAUUGAGAUAUGUUACCUUCUAAAAGAAAGGAAAGGGAAGGAAACAUGGGGGAAAAAUAGGGAAAGGGCAAAGUGAUGAUAAAUAAAGUUGGAAGUAGCAAAACGAGACAAGUGAAUUAUUGCAAGGCGUUAAGUGUAAAUUAUGUUUAUUUUAUUAGACUAUUUAACCAGAAAGACUGGACUCUUUUAAGGCACCAAUCAAAAGUUCCAAUUGCUGGAAAUAACAUAAAAACCUAGACUUUGGUUUGGCGUUUUUGGAGGUGGUUCAUGAAAAUUUUAUUGUAGUUUUUUUUUCUUCUUGAAAAAUAUAUUUGUAAGAGAAAAAAAGUGGUUGAAAAAAAAUUGAGAGUUUUUUUUAAUAAAUUGUUUUCUAAAUAGUUCAGUCACCCAAAAUUUUCAGUAUUCCGACAACGGCAUCCAUGUGGUGUCAAUUGUCAAACGUGCAACAAAGUUGAGAAGAGAAGGUCGCAGGUCUAGCGCAUACGUUGAAUAGCUAUCAUCUCUACAUCAUAAUGGAGUUGGUAAAAUAGUAGUAUUUUCGUCUUUGAUGUUAAACUUUUCAUCAAUUUAUGGAAAGUUUGCUAUUUCUCUGAUAAGAGAUAGUAAAAUUUACUUUUUAUGAGCAGUAAAGUUUUAAAGAUUAUGAAAAGAGAAUUGUAUGAAGGAAUAGAAGGGAAAGAAAGGUAAGAAAUGGAUGGAUUGUAUUUGGAUUGAUUUUGAGAGAGGAAAGGAGAGGAAACGGAAAGAAAAAGGAAAUGGAUGUAUUGUGUUUUGCUCAGACAUCAUUUCCAUACAAAAGUAGACGGAAACAGAGGGAAAGAAAAUCUUGUUGAUGAUUUUCUAGUAAAAUGCCUCAAGCACCCCAAUAAAUUGUGGGAUGCAACAGCAGGCUACGAAUGUUUGACGAAGCAACUUAUGUAAAUAUUUUAUCGUUAAGUAAAGUUCCUCUUUUGCUGUUAAAAAAAAAAGAAGAAGAGGAAAACAGUAUAUUUAGGUUUUCUUUCUUUCCCAACCAUAUCUGAUCCAAAUAAGACAAAUGAGAACUAUUUUCCUCUACUCUCCUUUCCUCUCUUUUUCACCAGGAUGUUUUAUUUAUAUAUUUAUCCUUUCCUUUGAUCCAAAUGGUUCCUAAAAGGGCAAUUAUUCUACAUUGAUCAGUUCCCUAUUUUCGUAUUAAUUUGCAUGUGCACGAUUCUGUGUAUGUUCAUGUUGUGCAUCAAAUCUUGUGAAUGAUAAAGCUAGAGUGUAAAUUUAAGUUGAAGAAACAUAAACCAAAAAAAAAAAGAAAAUGGAUUGGCUCCUUUAAAGUAUCAGACUUCUAAACCCCAAGGAUUACAUACUUUUCAUAUCCUUUGCCAUACAAAGAAGUGGCAUAGCCUUAACAAUGAAGUGUUGGAAAAACUCCAGAAGGACUGUGCCAUCCAUGAAAUCACAAAUCCACUUGUUAUACCAUGCAAUAAUGUGUAUGUCCUUGAUGAUUAAUAUAAUGAAACCAUGGUUCUAGGCCUUGAAGGAAGGAAUAAGAGCGAAAGUGGAGCUAGCAACCAAAUUUGCAAUCAGUUUUCAGGAUGGGAAGUUUGAUGUACGUGGUGAUCCAGCCUAUGUGAGGGCUUGUUGUGAAGCAAGUUUGAAGCGGCUUGAUGUGGACUGCAUUGAUCUCUAUUAUCAACAUCGCAUCGAUACAAGUGUGCCCAUUGAAGUCACGGUUUGCUCCAUCUUGCCUUUCUUUUAUUUUAGCUCCACCUCAUUCUUGAUGAAACAAAAGUUUGAUCAACUCCAAAUUUAGAAUAAUUCAGUUUCAUGUCCGUUUCAAUUCUUCAAAAAUUGCACAGAAAAGUUAGUCAACCUUAUGGUCUCGGCUAAUCUGCAGUAUGGUAUAGCUGAUUUUGCACAAGGCAUCCUGAAAAGUGAAAACAAUGAAAAUGUCUUGUAUUAGCUUGACAGUCCUGCUGAGGGAUAUACAGAUGGAUAUCAUGCUAUACAUUGUACAGCUUUCCUUUAGAACCAAGAGACCUGAGCAUUCUCUUUCAUUUGAGAUAGGCUAUUUACUUACAUUGUCAUUCGUUUUCAGUCGGUGCCAAAAGCACUGCGGAUAGACAUUUAUUAUUGAUAUCUAAAAAACAUGGUACUCAUUUUGUUCAGAGCACAGCUUUUUGUCUAAUUGUGAAAGCCAGCUGCAACUGCCCCAUUGACCUCUCCAAGCAAUUCAAAGAUUUCAGCAGCUUGCUUACAUUAAGCUUUUAUGAAACGAUUUCUCUGUCUUCUUUUUCUCAUGUAAUCAGCAAAGAAUUGUCUUGUUUUCCCUGAGUAUUAGGUAGAAACUUUCUUGCAGUUUAAUCACUCAAAAUACAGGCAAGUAUAACGGAAAUCAAGCAAAAUUGGCAACUGAUAAUUGAUAUGUACGGCCAUUAUUCUAUAUAGAAGUCAACAAUGCCAUGUAAUCAUAUUGGAGGAGCAUUAUGUUGGCAUGGUCCAGUAGAACUAAGUCCUCCGGUUGGCUGUACAUAGAGAACUAUCACUGGAUGCUUAUUGCCAUUUUCAUCAAUUAGUGAUUUCAGUUUGAUGUAUACUUUGUCCACAACUUCGUUGAACUAGUGCAACUUUUACUUUUUGCACGUAAUAUUUCGAUUAUCUGCCUAAGUGUUGAAUGUAAUAAAUCAGCUUAGCAUCUUCUUGUCCAUUGAAAUUCUCUAGAUAGGAGAGCUCAAGAAACUGGUUGAAGAGGGUAAAAUAAAGUAUAUAGGUCUGUCUGAGGCCUCAGCUUCAACAAUUCGAAGAGCACAUGCUGUUCAUCCAAUAACAGCUGUACAGUUGGAGUGGUCAUUGUGGACCAGAGAUGUCGAGGAAGAGAUUAUUCCCACUUGCAGGUAGUGCAUAUAUUCUGCUGAAUUUUCUAAAUGGUCUAGAAGAAAUAUGAAGUUCUCAAUUCAGUUUUUGGUAUAAUCUUUCAGAGAGCUUGGCAUAGGGAUUGUUGCAUACAGUCCACUUGGACGAGGUUUCUUCUCAUCAGGUCCAAAGCUGAUGGAGAAUUUGGCUGAAGGUGACUUUCGAAAGGUUUGUACAUAUGUUUUUGAGUAUAGAUUGUUUAUAGUUCGAAUAAGUUUCUCACUCAUCUACUUUUACCAGAUUCAGUGGCAAUCUGCAAGUGUCCUGAUAGCUCAAAAAUGUACCCGUUUUCUAUUUUGAGUUCCCUCGUUAAUGGGAAAUGUGUUGCAGGAUCUACCUUCUACAAUUGAUGUUUCUUAGAGUACUCAGUCCACCUUACUUGAUUGUUCCUUCCCCUGAACUUUGUACACCUCAAACAAUACUAUCCAUCAUCUUGAAGUUAUUCAUAUUGUCUUCAUUUGUAGACGACACAUGCUUCACUCCCUUUUGCAUUUCUGGCGUUACAGUUGCUUGAAAUUUUGAAAUUCAUACAAUGUAGGGUUUGCCAAGGUUUCAAGCAGAGAAUUUGGAGCACAACAAGAAGUUGUAUGAGCGGGCCACUGCCAUUGCUUCAAGGAAGGGUUGUACUCCAUCACAGCUAGCAUUGGCCUGGGUCCAUCACCAAGGCAAUGAUGUUUGUCCCAUACCUGGCACUACCAAGAUUGAGAACCUCAAUCAGAAUAUAGGAGCUUUGUCUGUAAAACUGUCGGCAGAAGAUAUGGCGGAACUUGAAUCUAUUGCUUCUGCAGGAGUCAAGGGUGAGAGAUACGGGCCUGAAAUCAGCACUUGGCAAAAUUCUGAAACUCCACCAUUGUCAACCUGGAAGAGGACAUGAAGACAUAGCUUUGUUGUGGCAAUAAUUCCUUCUAGCUAUGUGCCUGAUGGUGGAUUUCACUAUAUUAAGAGUUGAGUGAUAUGUAUUUGUUCCAAUAAAUUUCGUCAUACUAUUGUCUCCAGGGUUAAGGCAAGUAAAGUUUCUUCAGAAAGGUUGUAAUGAAUAAAGAUAUGGUCAUGUAAAAGCAGAACAUAAUUUUCCUUGCAGUUGAAUGCAUUAAAGGUUAUGUAUUGUAAAGUGGUCCAUUUUUCAUGUGCUACUGCUACGAGAGUUAUAGUGCUAAUGCUAAAGUGGUCCAUUUUUCAUGUGCUACUGCUACGAGAGUUAUAGAUUGUCGGACAGCAUUUUUUGGUUGGAAUGUUUACAUCAAAAGCGUCUCCAAGGACAUGUCAUUCUAAAGUGUAAACUACAUCAUACCAGCAAAAUGCAGAAAAAGGUCUAAAGUAUGGGAUAUUUGUAAAUUUUCAUGGGAGGCUUGUGAUAGCAAAAACUUCAGGAGGCUUCUGAAAUUAUCCCUUAAACUAAACUAAAGGAGGUAAGAUUUUAAGCACGUCUCGGUAAGUUAAAAGGUUAAAACUUUACAUACAAAUAAAUGGUCAAAUUCACUUUAAAUUUGUGGUGUCAUCCUCCACCUUAAACUUUUGUACUAUCCAAGUUCGUUUUAAUUCCUUUCGGAAAUCAAACAUCAAAUGCAUUCCAAAAAAAGAAAAAAAAGAAAAGGAAAUGGCUUACCUUUGCACUUACGUAUCCAAUUCCAAUUUGAACAUUACAUCAUCCAUCCAAUUGAAACAAACUCCUAUGGAGUUUUUUUUUUUUUUUUUGCUUUAUUUUGUUGUUAGAUAUGAAUUUAUUUCACAUUUGGUUGUCAGAUCUAAAUUUUUUUUCAAAUUUUAAAUCUAUUUCAACAUAUCUCAUUAUCAUUAUUGAAACUUAAAACCGUUUAUUGGCAAAUCUGGUGAUUGCCAUAAGCACGGAAGAUAGACACUUUUAAAAUUCUUUAUAUUUUUUUUAGAUUUGUUUGUAAUUUUCAAAUCUAUUGUAUCUGUUAAAUUAUGAUCUGUAAUUUUUAAUGGAUGUUUGGCCUGCCAUUAGGGGAGUUAUGCAAAUCAAAUCAUGUUAGAUGAUUUCCAAAAAAAACUUAACCGUCAAUUACUCUUCCCCUUUUUAUUUGUCCACUUUUCAAUUGUCAAUAACUCUUUUAAGAAACUUUGUAAUACAAAAAUCAACUGAAACCAGUAGAAUAUUACUUUGUAAUAUUUUUUUGACAAAAAAAGUAGAAUAUAUAAUUAAUAGCAGUAUUCAUAUUAUGUUUUUGUAUAUUACUUGUACAUCUAAUUAGUCCCAUUUGGAGAAAAAAAAGGAUGAAAACAAAAACAAAAACACAUAAUAGUCACAAAAAACACAGAUCUAGCUCAAAAUAUGGCAGUGACCAAUUGUUCUGCAAAAUUAGUAGGAUAAGCAGUUGACAGAUUCUAUAAUAGCUUUUGGUCAAAUAUUAUUUAAAUUAGCUGGAUGGUCAAAUAUUACUUUUAAUUUUAAUCAUUUAAAUUACCAGUUACUAUCAUCAUUGGAAGAAGCACAUUGAAGGAAUGAUACUCUAAGAUGACUACAGAAAUUUUCUAGUUGGUUAUACAACAUAUUAAUAGUUGAAUGUUGACCUCCUUUUUUUUUUUUGUUUUUGCUGACACGGUGGGUAUCCGGGAUUCGACGGGUUAUAUUCUAGGCCCGACUAUUUCCACUACGCUUGUGUCCCCGCCCCCCGAAAGACACAAGACGAUAACAGGGUUCGAACCGCGACCACGCGGUGCUAGGACCUAAGGAGGUACCCCCAGCACCAGUCGAGCCAAACCCGAGGGGCGAAUGUUGACCUCCCAUUCCACUAAAAUUUAUAGUCUUUGGUAGUGGGCAAUCAUCCAAAGAGCUAUUGGUUUGUUCCCACCCUGUUAGGAACUAAAGGUUUUCGACCUUCUAAAAAAAAUGUUUGUGUUUUUUGUUUUUUCAAAAAUUAUUUUCGUCUAUCACCAACAGCCGGCGGUCAUGGGUUAUUCAUCGAAGCAUAGAUCCGAGCAACACUAAUCCCUCACCAGCCAUCCCUCAUUCCUUGUCGCAUCCUUUUUAUGAAUUGGAUUCAUCUAUUUGGUGUUCUAAAAUCACAUUUAAAAGUUUUUGUUUGCAAAAGUGUUAUUAUUCAGGAUGUGUAUGAUAAUUUAAAAUUUUAAUAGUGGACCUAAAAAUAAAACUUGUAAAUUUUACAUAUGAGCCUACCUACUUUUAAAAUAGAGGGAAAAAACACCACAUAACUUCAAGUCCAAGAUUGUAUGCAGUUUGUCCAAUAAAUAGAUAUUCAUAAUUCAUAAUUUCAUAUAUACAUGUUAACUAGAGAUGUCAAUCACAAUCCAAUUAUAUUGAUCCGUUCAAAACUGUUCACUAAUAACCCAUCCAAAUUCACUCAUUAAAAUUUAAAUGGGUCUAAGUGAGUAUCUAAUUAAAUCCAUUUAAUUGGUGGAUAGUUGAUUGAUUCGACUCACCCAUUUAUAACCAUUUAAAAAAAUAUAUUUUUAAACUCAAUUUUUACUAAGUGUUAAGAAGAUAAAUUUGAAUUUCCUACGAAUCUAAUAACAAUCAAAUAUCAUUUUUCUUGUUAAACGACAUGCGAAAAAUUAAAAAAAAAUAGAAUUUCAAAUCAGUGUAAAUGGAUAAUUAAGUAUUUUCAUAUCCAUUUAUUAAAUAGAUAUAAAUGGAUUGAUUCAAUUAUAUCUAUUACCCAAUUAUAAUUUGUUGAAACUCGUACAAGUCACUCAUUGUGAUGCUUCUAAUGUUAAUAUAUACUCACAAGUGAAGAGUGCAACAUUGGUUAGGAAGAUAUACUUAUUUAUCUCAAUAUUAUAGUCGUUUUUUUCAUUACAAAAGUAUUGAUAAUUUCAUAAUUUCAUCGAAGUAUGUAAUCAGUGACAUAACAUUACAUGAAUUUCAACGAAGUAUGUAAUCAGUGACAUGACAUAACAUAUCAUUAGUCUUCAGUGGUGAAUCUUUUCACGAGGCUUCUUUUCAAAGCUUUGAUUAUGGCAUACACUUCUGACAAUAUGCCCCUUUUAGAAUAGGGAUAAUUUCAGAAACCUCCCUAGGGUUUGUAACAAUUUCAUCGAGAUUUCUUGAGAUUUUUCAAUAUUACACUUACCUCCCUUGAUGAUAGACAAUGACUAUAAUAACCUUCAUAAUUUUUUCAAAGACAAGCCAUUGAUAAAAAAGAUAACAAAAAAAAAAUGAAAACAAUUCUUCUUGGCUAAGCUACAUAUUGUGACUAAAUUGUUUCACCCAUGACCACUAAAUUGUAAUUUUCUAUUACUCAGAAAAGGAAGCAUUUUGAUAAUUGAGGGGCUUGAUUGUUUGAGUGGGAAAAAGGUAAGAAUUGUGAAUUUUAUGAUUGACGAUUUGGUAGACAACAUAUGGAAGAAACUUAUAGAGAGGUAAAAAUUAUAAAGGUAAAAAUUAUGAUGGUGGAUUUUGACAUCUAAAAUAACGAGCUUGUUCGAAAAAAGGAAGAAAUGAUAAGAGUUUGAAAACUUGGGCCAGAUGUAGAAAAUUAUGAGAUGGAAAAUAUUAGAACAUUGGCUAAGUAAUAAAACUCAUAGGUUUAUAGUAUACAAGUGUAUUCUUGAUUUUUGAAAAAUUUUAAUCACUAUUCAUAUUUUGAAAAUUAGAUAAGGGCAAUUUCGGGCUUUCAUAUAUUUUUUUGGUCUUACAUCAUCAAGGUGAAACUCAAACCUAUGUUUUAGUAAAUGUAUGUGUAAUUUUCAAAACGUGAGGAAAGCUGUAUGAAAUUAUCAGAAACCUCAGGGUGGUUUAUGAAAUUAUCCCUAAUUUUUUAUUUUUUAUUUUUUAUUUUUUGGUACAAAAAACUCCAAAAAAGUGGCAGUUCAAACGGGGCCAACAAUCUCCUAUCUUCGCAAGUCCUCCCGCCGGCGGCCCUGGGUCAUCUAUAAAAGCAUAGACCAAGACAACACUAAUCCCUCAUCAGUCCACUCCAUACUUCUUCUUCAGGCCUCAGCUACGAAACAAUAAACUCUGCUCCACUCAACUCUUUCCUCUGUGUCUUGUGCUCUUGUCUGAAAAUGGCGGCGUCAGAAGAAGUGAAAGUGCCAAGAAUCAAGCUGGGGUCGCAAGGUUUUGAAGUUUCAGCUCAAGGGCUGGGCUGCAUGGGCAUGUCAGCCUUCUACGGGCCGCCAAAGCCCGAACCUGAUAUGAUCAAACUCAUCCACCAUGCUAUUUGCAGAGGAAUCACCCAUCUUGACACCUCCGAUAUCUAUGGACCUCACACCAACGAAAUACUCAUUGGCAAGGUACCAUAUUUGCAAAUUUUCUGCUGUUGUCUGCUAUGCAUAAACUCUUGUAAUUUUAAUUUCUAAAAGAGCAUAUUUGUAAAUAUUUUAUUUAGGUAAAUUAUACUUAAUCCCAUGCACUUCAAAAUUUGUCUCCAUUUGUGCCCCCUUAAUUUUGUUUGUCAGCACUUAAACUCCAUGCACUUCAAAUAUGACAUUGUUCUUCUUCAUUUUUUUCAUGUUACUGCCUUUUCAGUUUGUCCUCCUUUAUAAAUAUGGGAUGAAUUACUUUGAUUUUGAUUUUGGUGCAAUUUUGUAUAAAAUGAUUUUUGCUAUGAAGUUAUUGAUUUAUUAUGAGCUAUGCGUUGUAUAUUUACACAAAUUCUGCUAGUUAAACAUUCACUUGAGCAAGCCUUCCAAACAUGAGCAAUAUAAUUCUCUAUGGGUGCAUUUGGUAAAAUUGAUGAUUGAAAAUUGAAAUCUAAUUUAAAGUCUGAAUCCAUAAAAUUAUUAAUUUGUUAAGUACUAAAUUUGAUACGUUUGAGUCCAGGUCACAUCAAACUAUCAGUGAAUAAUUUAUCACUUAUUUUUUGGAGUAAGUUUUGUUUAAGAAAUUCAAUGCCAUUUAAUUAAUUCAGAUAUUCAAUUUUUGAUUAUCAAACAUGUUUGAAUAUGUUAAGAUUUGAACCUAUUAAUUUUAAGUGUUGAAUUGGAUUAUUAAAUAGGACCUAUAAUUAUUAGGUAACCAAGCAGACAACAUGUUUAGUGUAUAAUAGUAAUUAACUUUCAAUUUGUCUCGUUAUUCUUUGGUAAAGAACUCUUAGAAUUAUUAAUAAUAAUUUUCUCAUACAUGGGAAUCAAAAUAAUUGAAGUUUUAUCUCUACCAUUGAGAUAUGUUACCAUCUAAAAGAAAGGAAAGGGAAGGAAACAUGGGGAAAAAUAGGGAAAGGGCAAAGUGAUGAUAAAUAAAAUUGGAAGUAGCAAAAUGAGACAAGUGAAUUAUUGCAAGGGGUUAAGUGUAAAUUAUGUUUAUUUUAUGAGACCAUUUAGGCAGAAAGACUGGACUCUUUUAACGCGCCAAUCAAAAGUUCCAAUUGCUGAAAAUAACAGAAAAACUUGACUUUGUUUGGUUUGGCGUUUUUGGAGGUGGUUCAUGAAAAUUUUAUUGUAGUUUUUUUUUCAUCUUGAAAAAUAUACUUGUAAGAGAAAAAAAUGGUUUAAAAAAAUUGAGAGUUUUUUUUAAUAAAUUGUUUUCUAAAUAGCUCAGUCACCCAAUAUUUUCAGUAUUCCGACAAUGGCAUCCAUGUGGUGUCAAUUGUCAAACUUGCAACAAAGUUGAGAAGAGAAGGUUGUAGGUCUAGCGCAUACGUUGAAUAGCUCUAUCCCAUUAGAAGUAACACGAAGGAUUAGAACUCUUCUACCAUCUCUUUAUUUUCUUUUGUUUUUUCCUUCAAAAUUUUAUAUCAUAAUGGAGUUGGUAAAAUAGUACUACAUCAAUUUAUGGAAAGUUUACUAUUUCUCUGAUAAGGGAUAGUAAAAUUUACUUGUUAUGAGCGGUAAAGUUUUAAAGAUUAUGAAAAGAGAAUUGUAUGAAGGAAUAGAAGGGAAAAGAAAGGUAAGAAAAUGGAUGGAUUGUGUUUGGAUUGAUUUUGGGUGGGGAAAGGAGAGGAAACGGAAAGAAAAGGAAAUGGAUGGAUUGUGUUUUGCUCAGACAUCAUUUCCAUACAAAAAUAGACGGAAACAGAGGGAAAGAAAAUCUCGUUGAUGAUUUUCUUAUAAAAUGCCUCAAGCACCCAAAUUUAAACUUGAGUAACCAUGUAUUUCAUAGCUGUAGAACUUGCCAUUUGUGAAACCUGCUUUAGAUAUGAAUUGUGGGAUGCAACAGCAGGCUAGGAAUGUUUGACUAAGCAACUUAUGUAAAUAUUUUAUCGAUAAGUAAAGUUCCUCUUUUGCUGUUAAAAAAGAAGAGAGAAAAACCAUUCCUUUAAACAGCAUAUUUAGGUUUUCUUUCUUUCCCAUCCAUAUCUAAUCCAAAUAAGACAAAUGAGAACUAUUUUCCUCUACUCUCCUUAGUCCUUUCCUUUCUUUUUCACUAGGAUGUUUUAUUUAUUUAUCUUUCCUUUCCUUUGAUCCAAAUGGUUCCAAAAAGGGCACUAAUUAAUCUACAUUGAUCAGUUCCCUAUUUUUGUAUUAAUGUGCAUGUGCACGAUUCUGUGUACGUUCAUGUUGUGCACCAAAUCUUGUGAAUGAAAAAGCUAGAUUGUAAAUUUAAGUUGAAGAAACAUAAAACAAAAAGAGAAAAUGGAUUGGGUCCUUUAAGAGUAUCAGACUUCUAAACUCCAAGGAUUACAUAAUUUUCAUAUCCUUUGCUACAUAAAGAAGUGGCAUAGCCUUAACAAUGAAGUGUUGGAAAAACUCCAGAGGGACUGUGCCAUCCAUGAAAUCACAAAUCCACUUGCUAUACCAUGCAAUAAUGUGUAUGUCCUUGAUGAUUAAUAUAAUGAAACCAUGGUUCUAGGCCUUGAAGGAAGGAAUAAGAGCGAAAGUGGAGCUAGCAACAAAAUUUGCAGUCAGUUUGCAGGAUGGGAAGUUUGAUGUGCGUGGUGAUCCAGCCUAUGUGAGGGCUUCUUGUGAAGCGAGUUUGAAGCGGCUUGAUGCGGACUGCAUUGAUCUCUAUUAUCAACAUCGCAUCGAUACACGUGUGCCCAUUGAAGUCACGGUUUGCUCGUCUUGCCUUUCUUGUUUUUUAGCUCCACUUAUUCUUGAUGAAACAAAAGUUUGAUCAACUCCAAAUUUUGAAUAAUUCAGUUUCAUGUCCGUUUCAAUUCUUCAAAAGUUGCACAGAAAAGUUAGUCAACCUUAUGGUCUCGGAUAAUCUGCAGUAUGGUAUAGCUGAUUUUGCACAAGGCAUCCUGAAAAGUGAAAACAAUGAAAAUGUUUUGUAUUAGCUUGACGGUCCUAUAUACAGGUGGAUAUCAUGCUAUACAUUGUACAGUUUUCUUUAGAACGAAGAGACCUGAGCAUUCUCUUUCGUUUGAGAUAGGCUAUCUGGUUGAGUAAUGAUCUGCUAUUUACUUACCUUGUCAACCAUUUUCAGUUGGUGCCUAAAGCACUGCAGAUAGACAUUUAUUAUUGAUAUCUAAAAAACAUGGUACUCAUUUUGUUCAGAACACAUCUUUUUGUCUAAUUGUCAAAGCCAGCUGCAACUGCCCCAUUGACCUCUCCAAACAAUUCAAAGAUUUCAGCAGCUUGCUUACAUUCAGCUUUUAUGAAACAAUUUCUGUCUUCUUUUUCUCAUGUAAUCAGCAAAGAAUUGUCUUGGUUUCCCUGAGUAUUAGGUAGAAACUUUCUUGCAGUUUAAUCACUCAAAAUACAAGCAAGUAUAAAGGAAAUCAAGCAAAAUUGGCAACUGAUAAUUGAUAUGUACAGCCAUUAUUAUAUAUAGAAGUCAACAAUGCCAUGUAAUCAUAUUGGAGGAGCAUUAUGUUGGCAUGGUCCAGUAGAACUAAGUCCUCUGGUGGGCUGUACAUAGAGAAGUAUCACCAGAUGCUUAUUGCCAUUUUCAUCAAUUAGUGAUUUCAGUUUGACGUGUACUUUGUCCAUGACUUCGAUGAACUAGUGCAACUUUUACUUUUUGUACGUAAUAUUUUGAUUAUCUGCCUGAGUGUUGAAUGUAAUAAAUCAGCUUAGCAUCUUCUUGUCCAUUGAAAUUCUCUAGAUAGGAGAGCUCAAGAAACUGGUUGAAGAGGGUAAAAUAAAGUAUAUAGGUCUGUCUGAGGCCUCAGCUUCAACAAUUCGAAGAGCACAUGCUGUUCAUCCAAUAACAGCUGUACAGUUGGAGUGGUCAUUGUGGACCAGAGAUGUCGAGGAAGAGAUUAUUCCCACUUGCAGGUAGUGCAUAUAUUCUGCUGCAUUUUCUACAUGGUCUAGAAGAAAUAUUAAGUUCUAAAUUCAGUUUUUGGUAUAAUCUUUCAGAGAGCUUGGCAUAGGGAUUGUUGCAUAUAGUCCACUUGGACGAGGUUUCUUCUCAUCAGGUCCAAAGCUGAUCGAGAAUUUGGCUGAAGGUGACUACCGAAAGGUUUGUGCAUAUCGAAAAAGAUGGAGUUUUUGAGUAUACAUUGUUUAUAGUUCGAAUAAGUUUCUCACUCAUCUACUUUUACCACAUUCAGUGGCAAUCAUGCUUGAUAUCCCUAUUGUUGUCUAUCACAAGCAAUGGGUAGUAUCAAAUUUUAAAGUGCAAAGAUGUCAAAAGAGGAAGAAACUAUGUCACUUUUUAAGUAAAAGUCUCUUUACAGUUUUGAGGGGAAACUAUCAUUUUACCUUAGACUUCAAUUUCAUCAUUUAAUCUCAGGCACAGAACUCAUGCUGUCCUGUGAAACUAUCAUUUUUCCUUUACCAUUAAUCCUAAAACUGAGUUUCAUUGGUCAGAAAUAUACUUCAUAGUAGUACCUCCUCUAUCAUUCAUAGUAGUACCUCCAUCGUUCAAACAAACAAAAAUUAGUUGAUUUGUAUUUUAAGUUUCCUCUUUGAUGGGAAAUGUAUCUCAGAACUUAACUCCAACAGUUGAUGUUUCCUACGUGGAAUAUUCAGUCGAACUUGAUGCAUUGUUCUUUCCCCUGAACUUGUGCCCUUCAAACAGUAUUUCUGAUCAUCUUGAAGUAAUUAGUACCGUCUGUUCAUUACUCCCUCCCGAUUUCUUGCAUUAUAGUUUCCUCUUUAAUGGGAAAUGUAUCUCAGGAUCUACCUUCUACAAUUGAGGUUUCUUAGAGUACUCAGUCCACCUUACUGGAUUGUUCCUUCCCCUGAACUUUGUACACCUUAAACAAUACUAUCGAUCAUCUUGAAGUUAUUCAUAUUGUCUUCAUUUGUAGACGACACAUGCUUUGCUCCCUUUUGAAUUUCUGGCAUUACAGUUGCUUAAAUUUUGAAAUUCAUACAAUGUAGGAUAUGCCAAGGUUUCAAGCUGAGAAUUUGGAGCACAACAAGAACUUGUAUGAGCGGGUCAAUGCCAUUGCUUCAAGGAAGGGUUGUACUCCAUCACAGCUAGCAUUGGCCUGGCUCCAUCACCAAGGCAAUGAUGUUUGCCCCAUACCUGGCACUACCAAGAUUGAGAACCUCAAUCAGAAUAUAGGAGCUUUGUCUGUAAAACUGUCGGCCGAGGAAAUGGCGGAACUUGAAUCUAUUGCUUCUGCGGGAGUCAAGGGUGAUAGGUAUGGGCCUGGCCAUGGUACUUGGCAAACUUCUGAAACUCCACCUUUGUCAACCUGGAAGAGAACAUGAAGACAUACUUUGUUAUGUCAAUAAUUCCUUCUAGCUAUGUGCCUGAUGGUGGAUUCCACUAUAUUAAGAGAAGUGAUAUGUAUUUGUUCCAAUAAAUUUUGACAUACUAUUGUCUCUAGGGUUAAGGCAAGUAAAGUUAUAAGAAGAAUGAAGUUUCUUCAGAGAGAUUGUAAUGAAUAAAUAUCUGGUCAUGUAAAAGCAGAAUAUAAUUUUCCUUGCAGUUGAAUGCAUUAAAGGUUAUAUAUUGUACUUUUGAAUGCUAAAGUGGUCCAUUUUUUAUGUGCUACUGCUACGAGAGUUAUAGAUUGUCGAACAGCAUUCAAUUCAGGACUUAUUAAACAUAAGCAUAUAAACAUUUUAUGCUCGGAAUGUUUACAUCAAAAGAAACUCCAAGGUCACAUCAUUGUAAAGUGUAAACUACAUCAUAUUAACAAAAAGCAAAAAAAAAGGUCUAAAUGAGGAAAAAAAUGUACUAUAGAAGAAGUCAACAAUGUCAUGUAAUCAUUUUAUCCUAAAACUGAGAUUAAAAUUUAGUUGAUUUGUAUUUUGAGUUUCAUCUUUGAUGGGAAAUGUAUCUCAGAACUUAACUCCAACAUUUGAUGUUUCCUACUUGGAGUACUCAGUCCACCUUGAUGCAUUGAUCUUUCCCCUGAACUUGUGCCCGUCAAACAAUAUUUCUGAUCAUCUUGAAGUAAUUAGUACCAUCUGUUCAUUACUCCCUUCUGAUUUCUUGCAUUAUAGUUUCCUCUUUAAUGGGAAAUGUAUAUCAAGAUCUACCUUCUACAAUUGAGAUUUCUUAGAGUACUCAGUCCACCUUACAAGACUGUUCUUUUCCCUGAACUUUGUUCACUUCAAACAAUACUAUGAUCAUCUUGAAGUUAUUCGUAUUGUUGUCUUUUGUAGACGACACAUGCUUUACUGCCUUUUGAAUUUCUGCAUUGCAGUUGCUUAAAUUUUGAAAUUCAUACAAUUUAGAAUAUGCCAAGGUUUCAAGCAGAGAAUUUGGAGCACAACAAGAAGUUGUAUGAGCGGGCCACUGCCAUUGCUUCAAGGAAGGGUUGUACUCCAUCACAGCUAGCAUUGGCCUGGGUCCAUCACCAAGGCAAUGAUGUUUGCCCCAUACCUGGCACUACCAAGAUUGAGAACCUCAAUCAGAAUAUAGGAGCUUUGUCUGUAAAACUGUCAGCAGAAGAUAUGGAUGAACUUGAAUCUAUUGCAUCAGCUGGAGUCAAGGGUGAUAGAUAUGAUCCUGGCCGUGGUACUUGGCGAACUCCUGAAACUAAACCUUUGUCAACUUAGAAGACUACAUGAAGACAUACCUUUGUUGAGGUAUUAAUUCCUUCUAGCAUUCUACCUGUUGGUGAUUUCACUGUAUUGAGAGUUGAGCGAGUUGUAUUUGAUCCAAAAACUUCGUCAUACUAUUGUCUCGAGGGUUAAGAUAUGUAAAGUUUUAAGAAGAAUGGUGUUUCUUUAGAGUGCUUAUAAUGAAUAAAGAUCUGGUCAUGUAAAAGUAGAACACAACAUACCAACAAUGUCAUUGUAAACUACAUCAUACCAACAAAAAAGUAGAAAAUGGUCUAAAGUGAAUAAGAAAUCAACAAAAACUAUGUAAGCACCAAUGGAAAGCAGAAAAGUUCUUGAUACCAUAGUAAACACCAAUGGAAAGCUAAAAGUUCUCGACGCCAUAGAAAUUAGGGAUUCGUUGGGCAAAAAAGUUCUUAACACCAUACUCCAUAGACGUAGGGGGUCCAGGUUUGGGCAUCUAGCUAAGUGGAACAGGUAAAGGAAAGCUGCAUCACAGAUGUAGCAAGUAGUUCCAAUGCCCUUGCCAAUGGUAUAGGCUUUCUUGCUUCCAACAUGGUCUUGAAAGUGCAGAUUAGAGAAGGAUAUCAAAGCCGGCCAGCUGCGAAUCCUGUGGGGUGAAAACCAUACAUUUGAGAACAUAAACAAAACAGAGCUGCCUGGUCCUCAAUUUAAGCAUUAUACUUGAGAAGGACAAUACAAGCAUUCAGGGAUAUUUGCAGCCCCAUCCUCAAUGUUUGAGAAACUAAACUUUACAUGCAGAAAGCAAAUAAAUGCUUGAAAUUACACAAUGGAUGGAUGUUGAAAAGAAUCACUAACGAAUAUGUCUAGAAGAUCGAUCUGUUAAGCAUGGGAAGUUCAAAGAGUAGCAUUUUUUUUGAGUCUCAGAAAAAUGAAGAGUAAGGUACAGUCCAACAAUUUAGGGAAUUCAAACUCUAUUUGUGAAUAAACUGCUUGUAUUUUUCCUUUUUCUAGUGUAAGAUUUAAGGAAAAGUUAAAAUCACUUGACCCCUGAUCAGUUCUUUACCAAUACAUUGAUUUUGACUUCAAUCAUGAACAAAUAAUUCAGAUUAAGACUGAAUAGUUAAUAAAUUGAAAAAAAAAGGGGAAGACAUCAGAACUUAGAUGUAACACACUAAUCCAUAACAUCCAGUCCUUCUUACUUUUCGUGCCUUUGGCCCAGUGUUGCAAAAGGCCUUGCCUGAGGUGAGGCAUUUGUCUCUACUCCAGCAGCACGAAAGCCUUGGAGCAUGGGUUGUAAUUCUCAUGAAUUUUAAAAUUUUUGAAUAUUUAAAAAUUUUAAAAAUAUUGUAAUAGUUAUGCAAAAUAUUAUUAAAACACAUAUAACUAUAAUAAAAUAUGUAAAAUUUGAAAAUUAUAGAAAAAUAUAUUAUCAUGAUAUGCGGUAGUAAUGACAGUAUAGAAAAAAAAAAUAUGGCAAAAAUUCGACGAAUACUAGUCGUGGGCAUCUGAAAAUGGUUAUAGAUGACAAGGGACGAUGAUUUUACUUGGAAACUUGGGUUUUUACAUUCUUGUGGUAUGUAUUACUAUACAAAAAUGGUAAAAUUAAAAUAUAACCAAGUUUUGGGGUUAAAUAAGAAAUUUGAGAUAACAGGUUAGCUAAAUUUUUAAAGUGAGCCAAAGCACAAGGACUUAAUACUACAUGUUUUACUAAAAUGGGACCCACAUCUCUAAAUUCAGGCCUGUGUGCUUUGUUCGCAAGCCCAAUUUCUCAGCCCAAAUCAUCAAACGCUUCCUUCCUCCCCUUUUUAUUUAAUAAACCCGAUACGACUUCCUGAUUAUUCCAGGAUCCAACAAUUAAAACUUUACAUACAAAUAAAUGGUCAAAUUCACUUAAAAAUUGUGGGGUCAUCUUCCACAUUAAACUUUUGUACUAUCCAAGUUUGUUUUAAUUCCUUUGGGAAAAUCAAACAUCGAAUGCAUUCCCCAAAAAAAACAAAAAAGGGAAAAGGAAAUGGCUUACCUUUGCCCUUACGUAUCCAAUCCCAAUUUGAACAUUACAUCAUCCAUCCAAUUGAAACAAACUCCUAUGGAGACUUUUUUUUUUUUUGCUUUAUUUUGUUGUUAUUUUUUUUCCAAACGAUAACAUUGCAUUAAAUCAUAACCGGAUACAAAAUCAGAGCAACUGCUCCUGUAGAUCAGCCUGAGCUAACUCAAGCAACCACGCUGGGAAGCUAAGCUUCCAUUCAGCUACAUCAAUCAGUGUUAUAGCAAACUUUGCUAAAUAGUGACUUACAUAGUUGUUGCUCCUUCUAGUAUAGGAACAACAACAUUUAUCAAAAUCUUUCAUCAGUCUCCAAAUAUCCAACUGAAUUGUGGCUAUGCUGACUUCCUCCUCCCUUGCAUUGAUCUUGUCCACUACUAACUUACAGUCCGAUUCCAGCUCCACUUUCCUCCAUCCCAUUCGUUUGGCUAAUACCAUAGCUUCUCUUAUUGCCAGAGCUUCCUCCACCUGUGCCUCAGCACAGCCUUCAGUUGGCCUCGCCUAUGAUCCUACCAAUUCCCCUAAGCUGUUCCUGGCCACUACACUCCACCCUGCCUUGUUACGCUUUUGGUCCAAAGCUGCAUCAGUAUUGAGCUUGAUCCAGCCAGCUUGCGGUGCAACCCAUCUCCUGCCCUUCUCCUGCUCUCCCACUGCCAAAUUGUCAUGUUUUGCUCCCCCCCUUGUGCCAGCUGAAACUCAUUCCAUGCCAUUAGUGCCUUAUUCACCACCACUAUAGGCUCACUGCUCCUGUUGUUGAAUUGCUUAUUAUUCCUGGAUUUCCAAAUCUGCCACAAGAUGUUUACCGUAAGAGUUAUGUGCUCCCUUUCUCUCUCUCGAGUCACAGCCCCCCUAACUUCUUCCCACCAAUGCCAAAAAUUGUUCCUAAACUCCUCCAAUCCAUCCCACCUCAAUGGUGCCACCUUCCAGAUUGCCCUAGCAUUACAGCACAGAAAAAACAUAUGCUCUAAUGUCUCAGGGCUAUCGCCACAACACUUGCACACAUGAUCCCCCUUACCACACUUUCCCUUCACCACUGCAUUUGUUGGUAAUAUUCCUUGCAAACAUUUCCAAAUGAAGUGUUUGAGUUUAUUUGGCAUGCUCAAGCCCCACAGAAAACUCCAGUUUUGAGACUUGAUCAUCCUACUGCUACUUGGUUCUAAAGUUCCUCCAUGCUGACACUGUCUCCUCUUCAUUUCCUUGACUAGUUUGUAUCCAGUCUUGACGGAAUACACACCAUAACUUGAUUUUGCCCAAUAGGUCCUAUCCAUUACCUUCCCCAAACUCAGUGGUAUCUUUAGUAUUUGCAACCUGUCCUUCUCCUCAAAUUCCUGCCUUAGCAAUUCUCUAUCCCACUUACCAUCCUUGAUCAACUCACUAACCCUCUGAACCUUGCUAUCAACCUUCCUCUGAGACCUUAUCUUCCCAUCCUCUAUCCUUGGCAGCCACCUAUCUUCCCAGAUUUUAAUAGAUUCCCUAUCUCCCACCCUCCUUCUUAGUCCAUCCUCCAGCACUCCUCUGGCACUCAGUAAACUCUUCCAGCACCAUGAAUCUGAGCCUUUUGGUUGUGCAUCCCAUAUGGAUUUCCCACCAAAAUACCUCGCUUUCAUAACUCUACUCAUCAGCAAAUUAGGCUGCAUCAAAAUUCUCCAUAACUGUUUCCCCAAUAAUGCCAAGUUGAAGUCCUGUAAAUCUCUAAAUCCCAGGCCCCCUUCAGCUUUGAUAUCUGUCAUUCUACUCCAUUUUAUCCAGUGAAUUUUCUUCUCAUCCUCCCUCUGCCCCCACCAGAAUUUAGCCAUUUCUGAACACACAUUCUGACACAAUGCCUUUGGCAGCCUACAGCAAGACAUCACAUAUGCCGGGAGAGCUAGAAUGACAGACUUCAAUAAAGUCUCCUUUCCUGCUUGGCUUAGAAGUUUUUCCUUCCAACCCCCAAGUCUUUUUAUUGCUUUCUGUCUAAUGAACUCAAAUACUUGUCUCUUUGACCUUCCUAUAACCAUAGGAAGCCCAAGAUAUUUGCUCUGAUGGACUUCUCUCAUGCCUUCCAGCUCCUUAAGCACCUCUUCCUUUCUCCUUCCUUUGACAUUUUUGCUGAAAAAGAUAGAGGAUUUUUCUUUGUUGAUCAACUGGCCAGAUGCUCGUCCAUAUUCUUCCAACACCUGCAUAAGCUGCACAGCCUCCCCAACCUUGGCUUUACAGAAGAUUAAUGAAUCAUCUGCAAAGAAGAGAUGAGACAAGCUAGGAGCUCCAUUAGCAAUCUUCAUUCUAGACAUUCUGCCUUGCCUAUUAGCUCUUCUGAGCAGGGCAAAGAAACCUUCUACACAUAUCAGAAAUAAGUAGGGGGAUAGGGGAUCUCCUUGCCUUAGGCCUCUAGAAGGCUUGAUAAAUCCCCUUUUUUCCCCAUUAACAUUCACAGAGUAGGUGACACUAGUAAUACACUCUAAGAUCCACUGAAUCCAAACUGGACAGAACCCCAUUUUUUGUAUCAUCUAUGCCAAAAACACCCAUUCGACCCUAUCAUAAGCCUUAGACAUAUCAAGUUUGAUAGCCAUAUAACCAUCUUUUCCAGUUCUCUUAUUAUUAAGAAAAUGAAUACUCUCAUGUGCCACUAGUACAUUGUCCAGAAUCUGCCUGCCAGGUACAAAAGCAGACUGCGAGGAACUAAUGCAACAAUCUAGCACAGUUUUAAAUUUGUUAACUAGAACUUUUGAGAUGAUCUUGUAAGUGACAUUACACAAACUGAUAGGUCUAAACUCAGUAAUCAGAUUAGGUGAAUCAGUUUUAGGGAUAAGGCUGAUCAAGGUCUCAUUUAUGGAUUUUAGAAUGUGACCAGAAUGAAAAAAACUUUGAACUGCACUAAUAACAUCACACUUGACAAUAUGCCAAAAUUUUUGAAAAAAGAUAGGGGACAUACCAUCUGGUCCAGGAGACUUGUUUGGGUGCAUGGAAUUUACAGCAUGACUGAUUUCUUGAUCAGAGACUGGCCUUGUCAACUUUCUGUUCAUGUCAGCAGUUAUAGACUGUGGAAUCUCCUCCAAAAUAGCACUGAAAUCAGUUGGAUCAUCAGACGUGAACAAAUGCUGAAAAUAAUCCCCAAUUUCCUCCUUAAUCUCCUCCUCAUUCCUACACCACUCCCCACUUCUCCUUUUCAGCCCAUUAAUCCUAUUCUGCUUCCUCCUACUCAUUACACUAGCAUGGAAGAAGCUAGUGUUUUUGUCACCCUCCUGGAGCCAUUUAAUUCUUGCCUUCUGGCUCCAGUAUAUCUCCUCUCUCUUGUAAGCCUCCACCAGCUUCCUCUUCAGUCCUAUAAUUUUUGUUCUGUCCUCUCUGCCCUGACUAUCCCUCACCUCUUUAAUUUCCUUUUUAAUCUGUUCUAUCUGCUUUUUUGAGUUCAGAUUCAAUUUUUUGCUCCAACGCAGCAGAUUCAUACAAACUUGUUUAAUUUUGCUCUGCACUCUAUACAACCUUGACCCCUGUUGCUCCUUUCCCCAUGCCUCCUUGAUCACCUCCCCAACCCCCUCCUGCAUAAUCCACCUCUUAUCAAAGGCAAAUCUCCUCUUCCUUGGUAUUUCUACAGGGGUCAGAUCUAGUACCAAGGCACAGUGAUCAGAGGCUUCUGUUUCAGUAUGAAUAACUUUAGCUUUUCCAAAGUUUCCACACCACUGCUUAGUACCCAUCACUCUAUCAAUCCUUUUCUUAAUCACUCCUUCAUUGUCCCUGUUAUUACACCAGGUCCAAGGCACUCUCUCAAAACCAACGUCUAUCAGGCCUGUCCUAUUAAUGAAACCAGUGAAACUUUCAAAACUGCUAGCAGGCCUGAUUCUACCCCCCACUUCUCCCCAUUAGACGUGAUAUCAUUCAAGUCUCCCAUUAAAGCCCAACAAUCACCCCAAAUCUGUGUUCUCCUCUCUAGCACCCUCCAUUGCUGCUCCCUAAUCUUAUCAUCUGAACUGGUAUAAGCACACACACACCACCAAUCCCUACUACCUCCCUGAUCCCCAAUAAGUAACUCUAUAGUAAAACUAGUGAACAAGAUGCUUUUCACCUGCAUAUCCCUUUUCCAGAUCACAGCUAAACCACCUGCAAUCCCCACGGGAUCUACUACAAACAGCUCAUCAAACCUUACCCAUUGCUUAACACUAUUUAUGAAGGUCUUUUUCUUUUUUGUCUCUGAUAAGAAUAUCAGAGAUGGAGAGUGGACUUGUACAAGUUCCUUAAGUUGGGGAACUAUCAAGGGGCUCCCCACACCUCGACAGUUCCACACCAGAGCUCUCAUUGAGGGGUGUGAGCCCCAUUAAGGGAGGGCUCCACCACCUCAGUCAGCAUCACCACAUCCUCAACCCCUUCAAUCAGCCUAACUUUCUUCUUACCAUCAACCUCCCUCAGGUUCCUUUCCAGCUCAUCACCACCUGCUCCCUGUCUUCUCUUUCCUAUUUUCGUGCCAUUCUGUACAGUUUCAAUCUCAGACAGAGGCUUCCUCUUACUCACCUCCUGCACCAGUCUUUUCCAAGUCUUACUGAUCCUAUACUUUCCCGUGCUAGUUUUAUUACCCUGGUCUUCCUGCUGAUCUUCCCUCCCUCCCUUUUCCCUCUCCUUCAUACUCUUACCCUUGUGCAAACAGUGGUUGUUCUCAUCAUCAACCCACAUCUUAUCCUUAUCACUCCCUCCCCCCACUGCACUCCCCACAUCCACUACCUUGAGAAUCAGUGAAUCCCCUCCCAUAUCUACUUCUGCUACCUCCUUUAUCUCCUCUAAAACCUGCCCUCUAUGCAUACUCUCUUGCUCCCCCCCACCACAUUCUUACCAAUUCCCUCACCCUCCUGCCUCCCUUUCCACUCCUCUCCUUGGCCCCCCUAGUUGCUGUUCCCCAGUUCUCCUUCUCAUUGGAUUGAGUAUCUGUCUUCCCAUUUCCCCUAUGGAAUUCUUUAGUGUAGGUAAGCAAAGGAUACAGCUGCCUCCCAGUUUCCCCAUCUGAGCUUUGAUCCCUAUACCCCCCUUUUCCUGAUGUUUCCUGUUCCCCAUCAUUCCUGCCUUUCUUCCUUGGGUUCCUAGGGAAACUGGCUCGAAACCAGUUACCAUACUGGUUUUCCCUAUCCACAUUUACCCCUUUCCUAUUGCAAAUUCGCUCAUUAUGUCCUAUCAGUCCACAACAGAAGCAAAAAUCCGAACAUUUUUCAUACUUAAACUCAAUCCAUCUAGUUCCUCAAUUACUUUUCACCAUAGUACCUCUAGGCAGAGGCUCUUUAAGGUUCACUUCAGCUAAGAUUUUAAGGUGUUUACCUUCCUUGCCCCCUCCCUGAGGAAUAAUGACAUCUCUUACCCCUGCAAAAAUUCCACCUAUUUUCCGCCCAGCCUCCUUAGUUACCUAAUGAAGAGGUAAAUUCCAGAUCUGAACCCACACUAAAGUCCUACUAAACGCCUGCUCCUUCUCCUCUAGAUCUGCCUGCCAUUCCAGCAAAACCAGAGGCUGGCCAUCAUAGAUCCAAGGCCUUUUGCUAAGCACUAACUCAAUAUCCUUUCUAGACUCAAAAACAAAUUGAAACAUAUUAACCUUAAUCUCAGUAAUUUUUACGUUUCUCAACUGAGGCCACACAUUAGUAGCAAAACUCCUCAUACCAGUUAUGUUAGUUGUUUUUCCCCCCCAAACUCUCCCUAUUAGACUCAAUCUGCACUCCUUCACACCUUUUUCCAAGUCCUCAUUCCCUAAACAAACUCCUUCCCUCUCAUUCUCAGAUAAAGUGAAUUUCCUCAUUACCUCUUCGAUGUGCUCCAUCUUCGAAGAUCCCACAGUCCAAACUGCCGCCAAUUCCAGAUUGUUGCAGAGCCAAUUCAGCUCCAGAAAUCGUCACCGUUUUCCAGUCUUCCAAUCUUCGUCUCCUUGACCACACUGCUACGCCCCUAGAUCAGCGAUCUAGCUGAGCAACCUGAAAGGCAACAGACAAACAAAAGACACAAAACAACAGAAAAAAAACUCCACGGCGAUCACGACGCAAACCACCCACGAACUGACUGAUGAACUAUAUGGCUAUCAACUGUAAAUGUUAAGGCUAAUCUAAAGAAGAUGAUGUACUUAGCUGAAACGACUAAUUUGGAAAGGAUGCUAAAAUAGGAAGGAAAAUUUGAUGAAGAGAAUCUGUUAUUUUGGGAUUCAAAUUUUUUUGAAAGGUUGUUAGAGAAAGCACGACUCCCAUAGGAGGGAGAUUUCUCUCUCUAGGAUAGAGAGAAAGGGGCUCUCAUAGUGAGAGAAGUUUUUUUCCAACUUUAUUUUGUUGUUAGAUCUGAAAUUUUUUUCAAAAUUUGAAUCUAUUUUAACAUAUCUCAUUAUCAUUAUUGAAACUUAAAACCAUUUAUUGACAAAUCUGGCAAUUGCCAUAUGCACAAAAGGGAGAAACUUUAAAAUUCUUUAUAUUUUAUUAGAUGUGUUUGUAAUUUUCAAAUCUAUUGUAUUAGUUAAAUUAUAAUCUGUAAUUUUUAAUGCAUGCUUGACCUGCCAUUAGGGGAGUUAUGUAAAUCAAAUCAUGUUGGACGAUUUUCAAAAAAAAAAAAAAAACUUAACCAUCAAUUACUCUUCCUCGUUUUAUUUGUCCACUUUUCAAUUGUCAAUAACUCUUUUAAAAUAUUUUGCAAUACAAAAAUCAACUGAAACCAGUAGACAUUGCAAUUAAUAGCAGUAUUCAAUUCAUGUUUUUGUAUAUUACUCGUACAUCUAAUUAGUCCAAUUUGGAGGAAAAAAAAGAUGAAAACAAAAAAAUAUAAUAGUCACAAAAAACACAGAUCUAGCUCAAAAUAUGGCAGUGACCAAUUGUUCUGCAAAAUUAGUGGGAUAAGCAGUUGACAGAUUCUAUAAUCCCUUUUGGUCAAAUAUUAUUUUUAAUAUUUAGGUCGUUACAAUUUCAAUCAUUUAAAUUACCAGUUACUAUCAUCAUUGGAAGAAGCACAUUGAAGGAAUGAUACUCUAAGAUGACUACAGAAUUUUUCUAGUCGGUGAUACAACAUAUUAAUAUUUGAAAAAAAUUCUAAUCACACAAUUUGUUAUGAAACAACUAAAAUGUGGAUGUUCCUUUGUAUUCCCAAGAGGAUUAAUUCAUGAUUUAUGGCUAUAUUAUGUAUAGAAGUUACAAUCCAUAAAUCUAUUCAUGUAGUGGAGAAACCGUUUCAUAGGUUUCUUCAUAUUCUUGUAGUAGUGGGUGUUUAAUAGAAUUGAUGCACUUUAAUCUUGUAGUACCUAUAUAUAGAGGUACAUUGAUACUCUUUGGGAGGACUUUUGUAUCUUAUUGGAAUAUAAGAAUAUCACUCUCCAUUUCUCUACUUCUUUCUCCAAUAUUUCACUUGAUAUUAUAGUAGUUUAUUUUAUUAGUUUUAUAACACGUUAUCAGCACGAAAUCUCUACUUUUGAGCAAAAGGUGAAAACGGGGGCUCUACCUUGAACAAAGGUGAAGUACAAGAUUUUGUCGAAAUUCUGUCCAUAUUUCUUCAAGAAAAUUUUGAGGUAAAUUUCUAACUCAAAAACUUAUUUCAAUUUCUUAUGGCUAAUAUUUGAAUUAUCGCAAAAUACAAGUACCUACUGUUGAACAACCACUAAACACAAACAUAUAUUGUUUGAUAUCUUUGAGGUAAUAUUUCUCCUUUUAAUUCUACUUAUUUAUCUUUAUAAUUAUUUGUUAUAAAUAAUUAUAUUCUGAUGCAUUGAGUUUUGGAGAUGUUAUUAUAAAAAAUCAAUUAUAUUUGAGGAUCUACUUGUCCUUUGAAAUAUUUAAAGAAAAAGAAUCGACCACUUGAAGAUGGUCGUUCUUUAACGAAAAUAUUUGACCACCAGAAGAUGGUCAUUAUUUCAAAGCCUGGUAUGAUAAAUUUACUUAUGGCUGCAAGUACAUAAUUCUGCUAUGUUUAGAAUUAUUUCUUAGUUGAAAAUAAUAUUCUCUACAUAUUUCUCAAAUAUGCUCUUGUAGUAGCAAUAUUAAGAGAAAAUUUGAGAAGUAUUUUGUACUUAUUGCAUACUAAUCCUAGUCCAUUCCCAGAAGUGAAUGCGACUAAAUUUCAAUUUACUAGUUAUGGUUGAUGCCAUGACUAUGAUUUUGGUAAAUAUAUAUUUUACCAUGACAAGAGAAAAAAUUACCACUUGAAGUGGGAUAAUAAUGAUAAGGACAAGAAAAUAAAGGUCCUAAAGAUAAAUGUCCCGAAGUACAUUUGACAAAUCAAAAUUAUAAUCGCAUCCGCACAUGGCCAAUUUCUUUAAACACCCUGAAGGUGUAUGAUGUUUGAUUUAAUUUAUGAUAGUAAUUAGCUUUUCUUCCUGAAGAAGAAAUGAAUGUUAAAUAUUUGGGAUCAAAAAAAUUAUGGUGAUGAUAUUUGUCCCAUAAGAAUUAUGGUGACAAUGAUAUGUGUCUCAUUAAUAAAUGCUACUAUUUUCCAACAAAAGAGACAAACACAAUUAGUGGUAGUGCUUAAGUGAUUGAAAGCUCCGGUAGAGCCACUGCUAUAUUUCUCCCUGUAGGAGAAAAGUUUAUCAUAAAUAAAGCACUACUUUUUACCAUAUCUCGAAAAAUUUAUUGAAUUUGAAUAUCCGUUGAAAUGGAUAUCAAAUUGAGAUAUUAAAUGAGACAACAAUAGAGAUCAUGUUUAGAAAUCAAAUGAGAUAAAGGUUAAUUAUAUCAUAAUAAUCAUUCGAGAGAGAAAUGGUUAUCAAUAUAGUUGUCUUCAUUCUCAUUUGAUUUAUAAUUAUCACCUGCAGUAAACCAGAAGUUUACUGAUCCCAAUGAAUACAUGAUUUAACGAAAGUGAAAAUAUUUGAGAGCCGACAAAUGUUUAUACAUACCCCCGUUAUAUUAUAUAUGGCUCCAAAAAAAAAUUUAAUAUUUAUGUCGGGUAUGAAUCACCUUUUACGAUUAAAUAUCGUAAAAUAUUGAUGGGUGAUCUAUUGAAUGAUUUAUUUAUUCUGAUGAACUACGAUUCCCGACAUUAGGGGGAGGAAAAGAUCAACCGAAAGGAAAUCAUUUAAAAAAAAAAUUAGAUUUCCUCGAUCCUCAUACAAAAUAACGUGAACUGGAAGUUCAAGAAAUUAUUCAUUUGCUGAAAACUGCAAAUCAAUUGUCAGAUAUAUUUAUCGACUCCAAAAGAGCCAUUAAAUCAACUAUUUCUGCGGGAAAUGCCUUGAUUAAAAUUGAUGUCCCUGAAGGACAUGCACAAGUGCUACAAAUAAAUUUAAGGCCGGCCUACCUAAAUAAGGUAUAAAUUGAUUUCGAAUAACUCCGGAGAUUAAAUAAAUGUCAUGACAAAAUUCAACCUCUUGAAGAGGUCGCUCCCGAAGAGCCAACUCCUGAAGAAAAUGAAAUCAUAGAAAAUUUAAUUGGAGCCUAAUAAAAUGUAGCACUUGAUAUUAUAGAAGUUGAUGAGGAUCAUGAAUCUAAAUCGGUUGAUGAAUGUCGGUAUAGAAAUAAUUGUUCAAAGUGAAAAGAUACAAUCCAAUCUGAAUUGGAUUUAUUGGUUAAAAGAAAAGUUUUUGGACUUGUAGUCCAAACACCUAAAGGUGUAAAGCUAAUAGCUUAAGGAUUUUCACAAACGCCUAAAUUUGAUUAUGAUGAAACGUAUUCACGUGUAGUGGAUGCUAUCAUAUCUUGUGAGUUUUGCAGUACAUGAAAAAUUAGAUAUGCGUCUAAUGGACAUCGUUAUUGCAUAUUUAUAUGAAAAUCUUGAAAAUAAUAUUUAUGUGAGAAUCUCCGAAGGAUUCAACAUGCCUGAAGCAUGCAAAUCAAAUCCUAAAGAUAUUUAUUCUAUUAAAUUACAAAGGUCUUUGUAUGGCCUAAAACAAUCUGGACGUAUGUGGUAUAAUCGCCUCAAUGAAUGUCUGACUAAAGAAGGUUUACCAAUGAUCCAAUAUGUCCAUAUGUUUUUACCAAGAAAAAUGGAUCAAAUUUUGUGAUCAUUGUUAUAUAUAUUGAUGAUCUAAAUUUGAUUGGAACUCCUGAAGAGAUUCAAAAUAAUGUUGAAUAUUUGAAGAAAGAUUUGAGAUCAAAGAUUUUGGAAAAACAAAAUUUUACCUUGAUUUACAAAUUGAGCAUUUAAAAAGUGAAAUUUUUGUUCACCAAACUGCAUAUACCCGGAAGGUAUUAAAGCGGUUUUAUAUGGAUAAGGCACAUAUAUUAAGUACUCCAAUGAUCGUCAGAUCAUUAGAUCCUAAUAAAGAUCCUUUUAGAUCUUGAGAGAAAGAUGAAGAGAUAUUUGGUCCUGAAGUACCAUAUCUCAGUACAAUUGGCGAAGAAUAUUGGAAUGCGACGAUUAAAAGAUCUCAAAUGAUGUUUGCAUCAAGGGGAGAAAUUAAUACACAGGAAUAAUGUACUCUUUUUCCUUCACUAGGGUUUUUUCCCAAUGGGUUUUUCUCUAAUAAGGUUUUAACGAGGCAUAUUCUUUGUGUAAUGGACAUCCAAGGGGGAGUGUUAUGAAACAACUAAAAUGUGGAUGUCCCUUUGUAUUCCCAAGAGGAUUAAUUCAUGAUUUAUGGCUAUAUUAUGUAUAGAAGUUACAAUUCAUAAAUCUAUUCAUGUAGUGGAGAAACCAUUUCAUAGGUUUCUUCAUAUUCUUGUAGUAGUGGGUGUUUAAUAGAAUUGAUGCACUUUAAUCUUGUAGUACCUAUAUAUAGAGGUACAUUGAUACUCUUUGGGAGGACUUUUGUAUCUUAUUGGAAUAUAAGAAUAUCACUCUCCAUUUCUCUACUUCUUUCUCCAAUAUUUCACUUGAUAUUAUAGUAGCUUAUUUUAUUAGUUUUAUAACACAAUUGUAUUUGAUCUCAACGAACCAUCACUACUUUGAAUUAAUUGGGAUCGCAAGUAAUGUCAUCCCUUUAUGUGAAUAUUAAAUAUGAAAAGUGCAUGAUAUAUAUGAGGAAAAAAAAAUAAUGCACUAGUUUUCAAUUUCUUUAUGUAGAGUAUUUUCUUGAAUAUUAAUUUUUGACGUAUCUUAGUCAAGGUCAUUAAUCAACCCGGACCUAAUCAACUCCAAAACCAGGGCAAAUUUCUUUGAAAUAUUGCCAAAAAGAAGUUCAAAAAAUAUUGUUGAAAAGUUGAGUAUUUUUCCAUCUAGACUCAUUAUUGUGUCUCUUACAUGCAGUGAACUAGUUUAUGCGUUCCAUUUUCCUUUUAUAAAAGGAACCUGCUGCAUGUCAAGAGACAUGGUGAGCCACAUUUAAAAAUUGGUACCUAUCAUAGAGCCUAUCAUGUUCUGACACACGAUGAACUGUUUUUUAAACUUUUUUUUUUUUAAAAGCAGGUGAAAAGUGUUGCAACUCUGGACUUGGAUAGUAAUUUUAAAAUUUAAUAGUGCACCUACCUUUUAACUUUUUUCGUGUGCUUUUACGGUAUCAAAUGGGGAAAAAAAACCAACACCAUCCAACUUCAAAUACAAGAUGGUACGGAAUUUGUCAAUAUGUAGAUAUUAAUAUACAUUGACAUGUAAAAAGUGCAACAUUUAUCACAAAGAUAUUUAUACUAAUAUUACAGUCAUUUUUUUUUUCCAAAAUUCAACUUUUCAUGCAAACAUGUAAUCAAUAUGCAUAAAUAGAUAACAUUAGAUGAAUUUAAACAAGUAGCCUUCAAAUUUAAAAAUAUUUGAUUCCGUAAAGGUGCAUUCGCAAUUUAGAAAAGGUACUUUUCAAAUGGCAAAUCUAGAGAGUAACAAAUACUCCUACUUUAUUUUGAUUUCAGAUCUUCUUUUGACUUGUCAAAAAAGUGAAAACAUGAAACUAAUAAUGGAUCAGAUGGAGAUGAGUAUUAGAAAUUUGUUUUCUAGACUCUUUGGUCUCGCAAUUUUUUCAACAGUCAACUCCGACCAUUAUCACGGUCAUGUGAUUGUAGGUCUACCAGGUUUCGUAGUCCACAAACAUGGAUUGGAUAUAUUGAUUAGCUGCCACCUUUUGGCAGGAGUAGAUGGUUCAAACCUCACGUGUAGUAAAAAAAAAAAAAAAAUUUAAGGGUUGUGUCACAGUAUUUCUUUAAUUUAGUUGAAUUUGUAUAUCCACUAACACCUAACAAAAGCCUCUUUAUGCUCCCCUAAAUUAGGAUAGAAUAGGCUAUAUAAUUGUAUCGUUGUCGAAAAAAAAUAUUAGUUGCCACCCUAUUGUCAUUAUUUUUCUUUUGUCAAUCAGCAACGUCUAUUCUACUCAUAGUUAUUAAACCCGGCCCGGAGAGGAGUCCGGUGAAAGAGGUGGGUCAACGGGUUACUAGUUUAACCGGUGGGUGAGUGGUCCAACCGUUAGGUCACUAUAUAUAUUUAAAUAUUAUGUUUUAUAAUUUUUUACGCCAUAAUAAAUAUUCAGUUAGUUUAAUUUAUUAUAGAUUCAUUAAUUUUUAUAAGAAUUAACAACCUAAAUUUAAUUAGUAAUCCACCAACUUUCAAGUAUAAAAUUUUAUCUCAGUGUAAUUAUCUAGUUUAUUUAUGAAUUUUAAGUGCAAAAGUUUAUUAAGAAUAAUAUUUGCCUUUAAAAUGAUUUGUGUAAUAUGUUAUUUUUAAGUCAAUUUCAUAAUUUAUAGAGUUCAGGGAAUAAUAAAAAUAUUAUUAAAAGAUUCCAAAUAACUAAUACUCUAAUAUUUAGUACAAGAACAAAAUAAUUAAUAAAUGGUUGGCUGGUCUAGCGGUAAUGGUAGUCUACUUCUUUGCAUGAGAUCACAUGUUCGUAUCUCCAUUCUAGCAAUGUUUAUACAUUUUUUUCGUAGAUCGGUUCCUUGUAAAAUCGGCCGAUUCAAUCGCCGGUCCAUUGAAAAGUUAACGGGUUCAAUGUAGAAACGAUCUUAUUAAGAACUUGUCUCAGUUUCAUGGCCGGUUCACCGGAUUGAUCGAUUGAACUACCGGGCCGGGUCGGGUUUAAUAACUAUGAUUCUACUUCUAUUUUGAUUUCUAUUUUAGGGGAAGGAGAGGUCCAAUUGAAAAAUUGAUGGCUAUUGAACCACCAUCGGAUAAAAUGAGUGCACUACGCACGUAUGCGAAUCUAGGAGAAGCCGGCGCAAUGAUGGGAGGCAAUGUUUGAAUUUUUACCUGCCAUUCCACUAAGAUUUAUAGUCUUUGGUGGUGGCUAAUCACCCAACGAGCUGUUGGUUAGCUCCCACCCUAUUAGAAACUAAAGGUUUUCAACCUUCUAAAAAAAAUGUUUUUGACUUUAAAAAAAAUGUUUUUGUUUUUUGUUUUUUCAAAAAUUAUUUUCAUCUAUCACCAACGGCAGUCAUGGGUUAUUUAUCCAAACAUUAGAUCUGAACAACACUAAUCUCUCACCAGCCAUCCCCUCAUUCCUUCUCGUAUUCUUUUUAUGAAUAGGAUUCAUCUUUUUGGUGUUCUAAAAUCACAUUUAAAAAGUUUUUUUUCCGAAAGUAUUAUUAUUUAGGAUGUGAAUGUUAAUUUUAAAAUUUUAAUAGUGGACCUAAAAAAAACUUGUAAAUUUUACAUAUGAGCACAAAGGGCAAAAAAACACCACAUAACUUCAAGUCCAAGAUUGUAUGCAGUUUGUCCAAUAAAUAGAUAUUCAUAAUUCAUAAUUUCAUAUAUACAUGUUAACUAGAAGCGUUAAUCACAAUCCAAUUAUAUUGAUAUGUUCAAACCCGUUCACUAAUAAUCCGUCCAAAUUGGCCCAUUAACUUUAAAUGGGUUAAAGUGAGUAUAUAAGUAAACCCAUUUAAUUGAUGGAUAGUUGAUUGAUUCGUCUUACCCAUUUAUACCUAUUUAAAAAUAAAUAGACAUUUAAACUCAAUUUUACUAAAUGUUAAGAAGAUAAAUUUGAAUUUCCUACGAAUCUAAUAAUAAUAAAAUAUCAUUUUUCUUGUCAAACAAUAUGUGAAAUAUAAAAAAAAGUAGAAUUUCAAAUUAAUCAUAAAUGCGUAAUUGAGUAUUCUCAUAUCUAUUUGUUAAUGAAUAUAAAUGAAUUGAUUCAAUUAUAACUAUUACUCAACUAGAAUCCGCUCAAACCCGUCUAAGUUAAUCAUUUUGACGCCCCUAAUGUUAAUAUAUAUUGACAAGUGAAAAGUGCAGCAUUUAUCACGAAGAUAUACUUAUUUAUCUCAAUAUUAAAGUCAUUUUUUCAUUACAAAAAUAUUGAUAAUUUCAUAAUUUCAUGGAAGUAUGUAACCAGUGACAUCACAUAGUCGCCAGUGGCGAAUCUUGUCACGAGUCUUCUUUUCAACGCUUUGAUUAUGGCAUACACUUUUAACAAUAUGCCCCCACGUUGUUUUUCGAUCACUUUUUUUUUUUUUUAACCUCACAUUCGUUCGUUAUGUAUGUAUAAUUUCUUUACAAAAAACUCCAAAAAAGUAGCAGCUCAAACGGGGCCAACAAUCUACUAUGUUCGCCUGUUCUCCCGCCGGACCCACCAGCCGCCGGCGGCCAUGGGUCAUCUAUAAAAGCAUAGAUCAAGACUACACUAAUCCCUCAUCAGUCCAGUCCAUCCAUACUUCUUCUUCAGGCCUCAGCUACUAAACAAUAAACUCUGCUCCACUCAAUUCUUUCCUCUGUUUCUUGUGGUUUUUGUCUGAAAAUGGCGGCAUCAGAAGAAGUGAAAGUGCCAAGAAUCAAGCUGGGGUCGCAAGGUUUUGAAGUUUCAGCUCAAGGGCUGGGCUGCAUGGGCAUGUCAGCCUUCUACGGGCCGCCAAAGCCCGAGCCUGAUAUGAUCAAACUCAUUCACCAUGCUAUUAGCAGAGGCAUCACCCAUCUUGACACCUCCGAUAUGUAUGGACCUCACACCAACGAAAUACUCAUUGGCAAGGUACCGUAUUUGCAAAUUUUCUGCUGUUGUGUGCUAUGCAUAAACUCUUGUACUUCUAAUUUCUAAAAGAGCAUAUUUGUAAGUAUUUUAUUUGGGUAUAUUAUAUUUAACCCCCUGCACUUGAAAUCUUGUCUCCCUUUGUGCCCCCUUAAUUUUGUUUGUCAGCACUUAAACUCCAUCUGUUUAAAUUAUAAGUAUUAUUAGUCAAAUAAGACAAUAAUAUUCUUCAUUUCUUCUUCUUCUUCUUCUUCUUCUUCAUUUUUUCAGAUGUUUGUCCUCAAUUGUAAGAGAAGGUCGUAGGUCUAGCACAUACGUUGAGUAGCUGUAUCCGAUUAGAAGGAUUUAGAUCAUAAUGGAGUUGGUAAAAUAGUACUAUUUUCGUCUUUGAAGUUAAAAUUGUCAUCAAUUUAUGGAAAGUUUACUAUUUCUCUGAUAAGAGAUGGUAAAAUUUACUUUUUACGAGUACUAAAGUUUUAAAGAUUAUGAAAAGAGAAUUGUACGAAUGAAUAUAAGGGAAAAGAAAGGUAAGAACAUAAAUAGAUUGUGUUUGGAUUGAUUUUGGGAGGGGCAAGGAGAGGAAAGGGAAAGAAAAGGAAAUGGAUGGAUUGUGUUUUGCUCAGACAUCAUUUCCAUACAAAAGUAGACGGAAACAGAGGGAAAGAAAAUCUAGUUGAUGAUUUUCUUAUAAAAUGCCUCAAGCACCCAAAUUUUACAUAAACUUGAGUAACCAUGUGUUUCAUAUCUGUAGAACUUGCCAUUUGUGAAACCUGCUUUAGAUAUGAAUUGUGGGAUGCAACAGCAGGCUAGGAAUGUUUGACUAAGCAACUUAUGUAAAUAUUUUAUCGUUAAGUGAAGUUCCUCUUUUGCUGUUUAAAAAAAAAAAAAAAAAAGAGAGAGAAAAACCAUUCCUUUAAUGUCUGUCAUUCUACCAAACAGCAGAUUUAGGAUUUCUUUUUUUCCCAUCCAUAUCUAAUCCAAAUAAGGCAAAUGAGAACUAUUUUCCACUACUCUCCUUUCCUUUCUUUUUCACUAGGAUGUUUUAUUUAUUCUUUCCUUUGAUCCUAAUGGUUCCUAAAAGGGCACUAAUUAUUCUACAUUGAUCGUUCCCCAUAUUUGUAUUAAUGUGCAUGUUCACGAUUCUGUGUACGUUCAUGUUGUGCAUCAAAUCUUGUGAAUGUCAAAGCUAAGAUUGUAAAUUUAAGUUGAAGAAACAUAAAAGAAAAAAGAAAAUGGAUUGGCUCCUUUAAGAGUAUCAGACUUCUAAACCCCAAGGAUUACAUAAUUUUCAUAUCCUUUGCUAUACAAAGAAGUGGCAUAGCCUUAACAAUGAAGUGCUGGAAAAACUCCAGAAGGACUGUGCCAUCCAUGAAAUCACAAUUCCGCUUGCUAUACCAUGCAUUAAUGUGUAUGCCCUUGAUGAUUAAUAUAAUGAAAUCAUGGUUCUAGGCCUUGAAGGAAGGAAUAAGAGCGAAAGUGGAGCUAGCAACAAAAUUUGCAAUCAGUUAUCAGGAUGGGAAAUUUGAUGUACGUGGUGAUCCAGCCUAUGUGAGGGCUUGUUGUGAAGCGAGUUUGAAGCGGCUUGAUGUGGACUGCAUUGAUCUCUAUUAUCAACAUCGCAUCGAUACACGUGUGCCCAUUGAAGUCACGGUUUGCUCCAUCUUGCCUUUCUUGUAUUUUAGCUCCACCUCAUUCUUGAUGAAACAAAAGCUUGAUCAACUCCAAAUUUCGAAUAAUUCAGUUUCAUGUGCGUUUCAAUUCUUCAAAAAUUGCACAGAAAAGUUAGUCAACCUUAUGGUCUAGGCUAAUCUGCAGUAUGCUAAAUCUUAUUUAGCACCAGGCACCCUGAAAAGUGAAAACAAUGAAAAUGUCUUAUAUUAGCUUGGCAGUCCUGCUGAGGGAUAUACAGGUGGAUAUCAUGCUAUACAUUGUACAGCUUUCCUUUAGAAGCAAGAGACCUGAGCAUUCUCUUUCAUUUGAGAUAGGCUAUCCAGUUGAGUAAUGAUAUGCUAUUUACUUACCUUGUCAUUCGUUUUCAGUCGGUGCCAAAAGCACUGCAGAUAGAAGUUUUUUAGUCGAUAUCUAAAAAACGUGGUACUCAUUUUGUUCAGAGUAUAGCUUUUGUCUAAUUGUGAAAGCCAGCUGCGACUACCCCAUUGACCUCUCUAAGCAAUUCAAAGAUUGCAGCUGCUUGCUUACAUUCAGCUUUUAUGAAAACAAUUUCUGUCUUCUUUUUCUAAUACAGUCAGCAAAGAAUUGUCUUGUUUUUCCUGAGUAUUAUGAAGAAACUUUCUUGCAGUUUAAUCACUCAAAAUACAGGCAAGUAUAAAGGAAAUCAAGGAAAUUGACAACUGAUAAUUGAUAUGUACAGCCAUUAUUAUAUCUAGACGAAGUCAACAAUGUCGUGUAAUCAUAUUGGAGGAGCAUUAUGUUGGCAUGGUCCAAUAGAGCUAAGUCAUCCGGUGGGCUGUACAUAGAGAAGUAUCACUGGAUGCUUAUUGCCAUUUUUGUCAAUUAUUGAUUUCAGUUUGACGUAUACUUUGUCCACGACUUCAUUGAACUAGUGCAACUUUUACUUUUUUGCACGUAAUAUUUCGAUUAUCUGCCGAAGUAUUGAAUGUAAUAAAUCAGCUUUGCAUUUUCUUGUCCAUUGAAAUUCUCUAGAUAGGAGAGCUCAAGAAACUGGUUGAAGAGGGUAAAAUAAAGUAUAUAGGUCUGUCUGAGGCCUCAGCUUCAACAAUUCGAAGAGCACAUGCUGUUCAUCCAAUAACAGCGGUACAGUUGGAGUGGUCAUUGUGGGCCAGAGAUGUCGAGGAAGAGAUUAUUUCCACUUGCAGGUAGUGCAUAUAUUCUGCUGCAUUUUCUACGUGCUCUAGAAGAAAUAUGAAGUUCUUAAUUCAGUUUUUGGUAUAAUCUUUCAGAGAGCUUGGAAUAGGGAUUGUUGCAUACAGUCCACUUGGAAGAGGAUUCUUCUCUUCAGGUCCAAAGCUGGUCGAGAAUUUGGCUGAAGGUGACUGCCGAAAGGUUUGUGCAUAUCCAAAACUAUGGAGUUUUUGAGUAUAGAUUGUUUAUAGUUCGAAUAAGUUUCUCACUCAUCUAGUUUUACCACAUUCAGUGGCAAUCUUGCUUGAUAUCCCUAUUCUUGUCUAUCUGUCAUAUGUUGCUGCACUUUUUGAUGUCCAAUAAUUUGAUUAAGCCUUAUAAUAUGAUCACAUUUAAUCAAAUUUCUAUUAAGCAGAGCAAAUCAACAGGCUUUUUUUUUUUCCUGUCGAACAAGUCUUGAGGUCUUUAGUUGAUUGAAUGAAUGCAGAUUUUGGUGUCCUCUGUAUUUAGUUCAAAUUAAAAGAUAUAGCGCUAGCUUUGUCAAAUUUUAGAUCUUAUAUUAAUUGAAGGUUGUUAUUGCAUGCUGGAGAUUUAUAUAGUGGACAACAAUCACAAGCAAUCGAUAGUAUCGAAUUUUAAAGUGCAAAGAUGUCCUAAGACGUCAAAACAGGAAGAAACUAUGUCACUUUUUAUGUAAAAGUCUCUUUUCAGUUUUGAGGGGAAAUGGACCUUGGACUUCAAUUUCAUUAUUUAGUCUCAGGCACAGAAUUUCAUCAUUUUGUCCUGUGAAACUAUCAUUUUUCCUUUACCAUUAAUCCUAAAACUGAGUUUCAUUGGUCAGAAGUGUACUUUUUAGUACAAACAUUAGUUGAUAUGCAUUUUAAGGUUCCCCUUUGAUGGGAAAUGUAUCUCAGAACUUAACUCCAACAGUUGAUGUUUCCUACUUGGAUUAUUCAGUCCACCUUGAUGCAUUGUUCUUUGCCCUGAACUUGUGUCCUUCAAACAAUAUUGCUGAUCAUCUUGAAGUAAUGUACCGUCUGUUCAUUUCUCCCUUCUGAUUUCUUGCAUUAUAGUUUCCUCUUUAAUGGGAAAUGUAUCUCAUGAUCUACCUUCUACAAUUAAUGUUUCUUAAGAGUACUCAGUCCAGCUUACUGGAUUGUUCCUUCCCCUGAACUUUGUACACCUCAAACAAUACUAUUGAUCAUCUUGAAGUUAUUCAUAUUGUCUUCAUACCUAUCACCCUUCACAGUUGCUUAAAUUUUGAAAUUCAUACAAUGUAGGAUAUGCCAAGGUUUCAAGCAGAGAAUUUGGAGCACAACAAGAACUUGUAUGAGCGGGUCAAUGCCAUUGCUUCAAGGAAGGGUUGUACUCCAUCACAGCUAGCAUUGGCCUGGGUCCAUCACCAAGGCAAUGAUGUUUGCCCCAUACCUGGCACUACCAAGAUUGAGAACCUCAAUCAGAAUAUAGGAGCUUUGUCUGUAAAACUGUCAGCCGAGGAAAUGGCGGAACUUGAAUCUAUUGCUUCUGCGGGAGUCAAGGGUGAUAGGUAUGGGCCUGGCCUUGGUACUUGGCAAACUUCUGAAACUCCACCUUUGUCAACCUGGAAGAGAACAUGAAGACAUACUUUGUUAUGGCAAUAAUUCCUUCUAGCUAUGUGCCUGAUGGUGGAUUCCACUAUAUUAAGAGUUGAGUGA